UACCAGUGGAACUCGGCAAACGUUUCUUCCCGCGCUGUUCAAAUGUGCUGGACAAGAUCAUGGACGAUGAACCUGAGCUGGCUUCGCUCGGAACAGAUGCAUGCUCCGAGAGGAAGAGGAGGUUUCACGACCUGCAAGAUACGCUUCUGAAGGCGUUCAGCGAGGACAAGGAGGAGUUUAACAGAACGACAACCCUUUCAUCUUCGUCAUCGUCGACGUCCACUGUAGCAAGGAACUUGGCAGGUCGAACUAGGAGAUGAGCACCCUGGCCAAUUCUUGCCAUAUUGAUAGCUGAUUCUUUUUCUGUCUGAAACUGCUCGCCAGAUCUUUCUUUUCUAUUUAGCGAGUACUAGUACUGUAGCAUCAUCGUCAGAUAUGAUGAAGCUGUUGGCUUUGGCCCCUGGAAAUCGCUUAGUAAUGCUCUUUUUUGCUUGUAUAGUAACAGUUGUCCAUACAGUAUUUUGUUGAUGAAGCAAAUGGAUCCAUGUAGUAGCAGCUCUUGGCUUCUGACUUUGAUUAUUGGUGAGAAACAGUUGGUAGUUUCUGCUUUGCCUGAUUGCUCUGCCUGACUGAAUACUAGCAUUGCCCCUGUAGUUUAUCUCUGAAGCAUCUACCGCUGAAAAGGGCUAUGUUUUUACCUUUUGACAGUCGCCAUUUUGCUGCGCCUUCUGUCCUACCAGUAGUAUUGCCGGAGUGAAUAUUAUCUAGUUGGACUGAACUACCGAGGCAGAGCAAAUUCACCACCAAAAACCAUGGAAUAAAUUACAUCCACGGUACGCUAGGGUUCACUUCGGUCACCAAAAGUGUCGAAGUUCAGCAAUUAAAGUUGUCAAAAUAUCUCACUCUAAGACUACCCAUGGUGGAAAUAACAUACUCAGGUAACAUCACAUAUAUUUAGAUAAAAUGGAUGAUUUGGCAACUAAUAAUGGAUGAUAACAGUGGAGUCAGGUUUUCCCCCUUCUCUCUCGNNNNNNNNNNNNNNNNNNNNNNNNNNNNNNNNNNNNNNNNNNNNNNNNNNNNNNNNNNNNNNNNNNNNNNNNNNNNNNNNNNNNNNNNNNNNNNNNNNNNNNNNNNNNNNNNNNNNNNNNNNNNNNNNNNNNNNNNNNNNNNNNNNNNNNNNNNNNNNNNNNNNNNNNNNNNNNNNNNNNNNNNNNNNNNNNNNNNNNNNNNNNNNNNNNNNNNNNNNNNNNNNNNNNNNNNNNNNNNNNNNNNNNNNNNNNNNNNNNNNNNNNNNNNNNNNNNNNNNNNNNNNNNNNNNNNNNNNNNNNNNNNNNNNNNNNNNNNNNNNNNNNNNNNNNNNNNNNNNNNNNNNNNNNNNNNNNNNNNNNNNNNNNNNNNNNNNNNNNNNNNNNNNNNNNNNNNNNNNNNNNNNNNNNNNNNNNNNNNNNNNNNNNNNNNNNNNNNNNNNNNNNNNNNNNNNNNNNNNNNNNNNNNNNNNNNNNNNNNNNNNNNNNNNNNNNNNNNNNNNNNNNNNNNNNNNNNGCGGGCCGGCGGCGGGGAUGGCUCCGGCGUGGCUUCUGGGAGGCGGGGAGAUGCGACGAGUGGCUGGGUGCCGGCGGCGAUGACGCCGGCCUGCUGCAUCGCGGCCGGUGGGGCUUAACGGGCCCGCUUCGGGCCUGGAUGGGCCAAGGGUGGCCCGGCAUGCCCCGCUGCCGCGUCCGGACGGCUACCGCGACGGUGCCGGAGGCACGGGCCUCCUGCACGACGGCGGUGGAGGUGGUUCCCUCCCGCUCGGCAUCGGUGUUGCUGCUCCCGUCGUGGUGAGCUUCUCUCCGGUCCUCUUGGCCUCGUGGUGGUGUUUGUAGUGAGGCGGCGUGGGUGGCGGCGCUACUGCGUUGGCGCAUGGUGGUGGGCGAAGGUUUGGCGGGUCGGUUCCGUCUGGUUGGGCGGUUGGGGUUGGAAUGCGGGAGAAAUCCCUACCGGCUUCGGCCCGACGCGGUGACACCUGCGGGUGCCACCAUUCCUUCCUGGAGGGUCUCGGUGGUAUCCACCCCCCACCUCCCUCCGCGUGCCCGGGGAAACCUGAGGACUCGUCCGGGCAGCAGCGCCGUCGGCGUCGCAUCCCUUCUUGGAGGUGCUGCUUGGUACGCGGCGGAUCGGAGCCUCGGUUUGUGGUGAUUUGUUUCCGGUGGGCGCCGCGGUGGCAGGUCAUCCGCGCUUUGCCAAGCUGCCGUGGUUGGCAUUUAUUUCUUCUUCUUUUUCUCUUGGUGUGUUGUGCUGCUCGCCACAGCGUUAUCUGUACUCGGUGUUGGUUGCUUUGGAAUACAAAGCGGGGGGAAACCCUUUUUCGGUAUAAUGAAGAAAGAGAGGCAUGUGGUAACAUAGUUAAUUACUAGUAGUAUGAGUAACAUCACACAUAUCAAGACAAGAUGAGUCUAUAACCUAAUAAAUGAAGUGUUGCAUGACACCACAUAUAUGUUACCCCCCACUAUAGUGGUACUCCCUCCGGUCCUUUUUACUCUGCAUAUAAGAAUUGUCUCAAGUCAAACUUCGUAAAGUUUGACCAUAUUUAUAUGAAAAGAGAUUAGCAUCUAAAAUGCUAGUUUUAUAUAAUAUGAAAACUAAAGUCAUGACACAUCUGAAUGUUGGUAUUUUUUUUAUAAACUUGGUCAGAAUUUAUGAGGUUUGACUUCAGACAAAUCUUAUAUGCGAACUAAAAAUAACCGGAGGGGGUAGUAACUGUUGGGGAACGUAGUAAUUUCAAAAAAAUUCCUACGCACACGCAAGAUCAUGGUGAUGCAUAGCAACGAGAGGGGAGAGUGUGUCCACGUACCCUUGUAGACCGAGAGCGGAAGCGUUAUGACAACGCGGUUGAUGUAGUCGUACGUCUUCACGAUCGACCGAUCCUCAGUACCGAACGUACGACACCUCCGUGUUCUGCACACGUUCAGCUCGGAGACGUCCCGUGAACUCACGAUCCAGUAGAGCUUUGCCGGAGAGUUUUGUCAGCACGACGGUGUGAUGACGGUGAUGAUGAUGCUACCGACGGAGGGCUUCGCCUAAGCACCGCUACGAUAUUACCGAGGUUGAUUAUGGUGGAGGGGGGCACCGCACACGGCUAAGAGAUCAAUGAUCAAUUGUUCUGUCUCCAAGGGGUGCCCCCCUCCCCGUAUAUAAAGGAGUGGAGGAGGGGGAGGGGGCUGGCCCCAUGAGGAGUCCUACUCCCACCGGGAGUAGGACUCCCCCCUUCCAAGUAGGAGUAGGAGAGGAGAAGGAAGGGAGAGAAGGAGAGAAGGAAAGGGGGGCACCGCCCCCCCUCAUUGUCCAAUUCGGACUAGAGGGAGAGGGGGCGCGCGGCUGCCCUGGCCGCCCCUCCUCUUCUCCCACUAGGGCCCAUUAGGCCCAAUAUACUCCCCCGGGGGGGGGGGGGUUCCGGUAACCCCCCGGUACUCCGGUAAAUGUCUGAAACCUCCCGAAACACUUCCGGUGUCCAAACAUAGUCGUCCAAUAUAUCGAUCUUUACGUCUCGACCAUUUCGAGACUCCUCGUCAUGUCCGUGAUUAAAUCCGGGACCCCGAACUACUUUCGGUACAUCAAAACACAUAAACUCAUAAUACCGAUCGUCACCGAACGUUAAGCGUGCGGACCCUACGGGUUCGAGAACUAUGUAGACAUGACCGAGACACGUCUCCGGUCAAUAACCAAUAGCGGAACCUGGAUGCUCAUAUUGGCUCCCACAUAUUCUACGAAGAUCUUUAUCGGUCAAACCGCAUAACAACAUACGUUGUUCCCUUUGUCAUCGGUAUGUUACUUGCCCGAGAUUCGAUCGUCGGUAUCUCAAUACCUAGCUCAAUCUCGUUAUCAGCAAGUCUCCUUACUCGUUCCGUAAUGCGUCAUCCCGCAACUAACUCAUUAGUCACAUUGCUUGCACGGCUUAUAGUGAUGUGCAUUACCGAGAGGGCCCAGAGAUACCUCUCCGACAAUCGGAGUGACAAAUCCUAAUCUCGAUCUAUGCCAACUCAACAAGUACCAUCGGAGACACCUGUAGAGCACCUUUAUAAUCACCCAGUUACGUUGUGACGUUUGGUAGCACACAAAGUGUUCCUCUGGUAUUCGGGAGUUGCAUAAUCUCAUAGUCAUAGGAACAUGUAUAAGUCAUGGAGAAAGCAAUAGCAGUAAACUAAACGAUCAAGUGCUAAGCUAACGGAAUGGGUCAAGUCAAUCACAUCAUUCUCCUAAUGAUGUGAUCCCGUUAAUCAAAUGACAACUCAUGUCUAUGGCUAGGAAACUCAACCAUCUUUGAUUAACGAGCUAGUCAAGUAGAGGCAUACUAGUGACACUAUGUUUGUCUAUGUAUUCACACAUGUAUUAUGUUUCCAGUUAAUACAAUUCUAGCAUGAAUAAUAAAUUUUUAUCAUGAUAUGAGGAAAUAAAUAAUAACUUUAUUAUUGCCUCUAGGGCAUAUUUCCUUCAGUCUCCCACUUGCACUAGAGUCAGUAAUCUAGAUUACACAGUAAUGAUUCUAACACCCAUGGAGUCUUGGUGAUGAUCAUGUUUUGCUCGUGGAAGAGGCUUAGUCACUGGAUCUGCAACAUCCAGAUCCGUAUGUAUCUUGCAAAUAUCUAUGUCUCCCACCUGGACUUGAUCCCGGAUGGAAUUGAAGCGUCUCUUGAUGUGCUUGGUUCUCUUGUGAAAUCUGGAUUCUAUUGCCAAGGCAAUUGCACCAGUAUUGUCACAAAAGAUUUUCAUUGGACCCGAUGCACUAGGUAUGACACCUAGAUCGGAUAUGAACUCCUUCAUCCAGACUCCUUCAUUUGCUGCUUCUGAAGCAGCUAUGUACUCCGCUUCACACGUAGAUCCCGCCACGACGCUUUGUUUAGAACUGCACCAACUGACAACUCCACCGUUUAAUAUAAACACGUAUCCGGUUUGCGAUUUAGAAUCGUCCGGAUCAGUGUCAAAGCUUGCAUCGACGUAACCAUUUACGACGAGCUCUUUGUCACCACCAUAAACGAGAAACAUAUCCUUAGUCCUUUUCAGGUAUUUCAGGAUGUUCUUGACCGCUGUCCGGUGAUCCACUCCUGGAUUACUUUGGUACCUCCCUGCUAAGCUAAUAGCAAGGCACACAUCAGGUCUGGUACACAGCAUUGCAUACAUGAUAGAGCCUAUGGCUGAAGCAUAGGGAACACUUAUCAUUUUCUCUCUAUCUUCUGCAGUGGUCGGGCAUUGAGUCUGACUCAACUUCACACCUUGUAACACAUGCAAGAACCCUUUCUUUGCUUGAUCCAUUUUGUACUUUUUCAAAACUUUGUAAAGGUAUGUGCUUUGUGAAAGUCCAAUUAAGCGUCUUGAUCUAUCUCUAUAGAUCUUGAUGCCCAAUAUGUAUGCAGCUUCACCGAGAUCUUUCAUUGAAAAACUCUUAUUCAAGUAUCCUUUUAUGCUAUCCAGAAAUUCUAUAUCAUUUCCAAUCAGCAUUACGUCAUCCACAUAUAAUAUUAGAAAUGCUACAGAGCUCCCACUCACUUUCUUGUAAAUACAGGCUUCUCCAAAAGUCUGUAUAAAACCAUAUGCUUUGAUUACACUAUCAAAACGUUUAUUCCAACUCCGAUGCACCAGUCCAUAAAUGGAUCGCUGGAGCUUGCACACUUUGUUAGCACCCUUUGGAUCGACAAAACCUUCUGGUUGCAUCAUAUACAACUCUUCUUCCAGAAAUCCAUUCAGGAAUGCAGUUUUGACGUCCAUUUGCCAAAUUUCAUAAUCAUAAAAUGCGGCGAUUGCUAACAUGAUUCGGACAGACUUAAGCAUCGCUACGGGUGAGAAAGUCUCAUCGUAGUCAACCCCUUGAACUUGUCGAAAACCUUUCGCAACAAGUCUCAUCCGCGCCAGUCUUCUUCUUGAAGAUCCAUUUAUUCUCUAUGGCUUGCCGAUCAUCGGGCAAGUCAACCAAAGUCCACACUUUGUUCUCAUACAUGGAUCCCAUCUCAGAUUUCAUGGCCUCAAGCCAUUUUGCGGAAUCUGGGCUCACCAUCGCUUCUUCAUAGUUCGUAGGUUCGCCUUGGUCAAGUAACAUGACCUCCAGAAUAGGAUUACUGUACCACUCUGGUGUGGAUCUUACUCUGGUUGACCUACGAGGUUCGGUAGUAACUUGAUCUGAAGUUUCAUGAUCAACAUCAUUAGGUUCCUCACUAAUUGGUGUAGGUGUCACAGGAACCGGUUUCUGUGAUGAACUACUUUCCAAUAAGGGAGCAGGUAUAGUUACCUCAUCAAGUUCUACUUUCCUCCCACUCACUUCUUUCGAGAGAAACUCCUUCUCUAGAAAGGAUCCAUUUUUAGCAACAAAUGUUUUGCCUUCGGAUCUGUGAUAGAAGGUGUACCCAACAGUCUCCUUUGGGUAUCCUAUGAAGACACAUUUCUCCGAUUUGGGUUCGAGCUUAUCAGGUUGAAGCUUUUUCACAUAAGCAUCGCAGCCCCAAACUUUCAGAAAUGACAACUUUGGUUUCUUGCCAAACCAUAGUUCAUAAGGUGUCGUCUCGACGGAUUUUGAUGGUGCCCUAUUUAACGUGAAUGCAGCCGUCUCUAAAGUAUAACCCCAAAACGAUAGCGGUAAAUCAGUAAGAGACAUCAUAGAUCGCACCAUAUCUAGUAAAGUACGAUUACGAUGUUCGGACACAUCAUUACGCUGUGGUGUUCCGGGUGGCGUGAGUUGCGAAACUAUUCCGCAUUGUUUCAAAUGAAGACCAAACUCGUAACUCAAAUAUUCUCCGCCACGAUCAGAUCGUAGAUACUUUAUUUUCUUGUUACGAUGAUUUUCCACUUCACUCUGAAAUUCUUUGAACUUUUCAAAUGUUUUAGACUUAUGUUUUAUUAAGUAGAUAUACCCAUAUCUGCUCAAAUCAUCUGUGAAGGUGAGGAAAUAACGAUACUCGCCGCGAGCCUCAAUAUUCAUUGGACGACAUACAUCAGUAUGUAUGAUCUCCAACAAAUCUGUUGCUCGCUCCAUUGUUUCGGAGAACGGCGUUUUAGUCAUCUUGCCCAUGAGGCAUGGUUCGCAAGUACCAAGUGAUUCAUAAUCAAGUGAUUCCAAAAGUCCAUCAGUAUGGAGUUUCUUCAUGCGCUUUACACCAAUAUGACCUAAACGGCAGUGCCACAAAUAAGUUGCACUAUCAUUAUCAACUCUGCAUCUUUUGGCUUCAAUAUUAUGAAUAUGUGUAUCACUACUAUCGAGAGUUAAUAUAAAUAGACCACUCUUCAAGGGUGCAUGACCAUAAAAGAUAUUACUCAUAUAAAUAGAACAACCAUUAUUCUUUGAUUUAAAUGAAUAACCGUCUCACAUCAAACAAGAUCCAGAUAUAAUGUUCAUGCUCAACGCUGGCACCAAAUAACAAUUAUUCAGGUCUAAAACUAAUCCCGAAGGUAGAUGUAGAGGUAGCGCGCCGACUGCGAUCACAUCGACUUUGGAACCAUUUCCCACACGCAUCAUCACCUCGUCCUUAGCCAAUCUUCGCUUAAUCCGUAGUCCCUGUUUCGAGUUGCAAAUGUUAGAAACAUAACCAGUAUCAAAUACCCAGGUGCUACUGCGAGCAUUAGUAAGGUACACAUGAAUAACAUGUAUAUCACAUAUACCUUUGUUCACCUUGCCAUCCUUCUUAUCCGCCAAAUACUUGGGGCAGUUCCGCUUCCAGUGACCAGUCCCUUUGCAGUAGAAGCACUCAGUCUCAGGCUUAGGUCCAGACUUGGGUUUCUUCUCCUGAGCAGCAACUUGUUUGCUGUUCUUCUUGAAGUUCCCCUUUUUCUUGAAACUGGUGGUCUUGUUGACCAUCAACACUUGAUGCUCCUUCUUGAUUUCUACCUCCGCAACCUUUAACAUCGCGAAGAGCUCGGGAAUUGUCUUAUCCAUCCCUUGCAUAUUAUAGUUCAUCACAAAGCUCUUGUAGCUUGGUGGUAGUGAUUGAAGAAUUUUGUCAAUGACACUAUCAUCCGGAAGAUUAACUCCCAGUUGAAUCAAGUGAUUAUUAUACCCAGACAUUUUGAGUAUAUAUUCACUGACAGAACUAUUCUCCUCCAUCUUACAGCUGUAGAACUUAUUCGAGACUUCAUAUCUCUCAAUCUGGGCAUUUGCUUGAAAUAUUAACUUCAACUCCUGGAACAUCUUAUAUGCUCCAUGACGUUCAAAAUGUCGUUGAAGUCCCGGUUCUAAGUCGUAAAGCAUGGCACACUGAACUAUCGAGUAGUCAUCAGCUUUGCUCUGCCAGACGUUCUUAACGUCGUCAGUUGCAUCUGCAGCAGGCCUGGCACCCAGCGGUGCUUCCAGGACGUAAUACUUCUGUGCAGCAAUGAGGAUAAUCCCCAAGUUACGGACCCAGUCCGUGUAAUUGCUACCAUCAUCUUUCAACUUUUCUUUCUCAAGGAACACAUUAAAAUUCAACGGAACAACAACACGGGCCAUCUAUCUACAACAACAUAGACAAGCAAAAUACUAUCAGGUACUAAGUUCAUGAUAAAUUAAAGUUCAAUUAAUCAUAUUACUUAAGAACUCCCACUUAGAUAGACAUCCCUCUAAUCAUCUAAGUGAUCACGUGAUCCAUAUCAACUAAACCAUGUCCGAUCAUCACGUGAGAUGGAGUAGUUUUCAAUGGUGAACAUCACUAUGUUGAUCAUAUCUACUAUAUGAUUCACGCUCGACCUUUCGGUCUCAGCGUUUCGAGGCCAUAUCUGCAUAUGCUAGGCUCGUCAAGUUUAACCCGAGUAUUCUGCGUGUGUAAAACUGGCUUACACGCGUUGUAUUUGAACAGCUUAUCACACCCGAUCAUCACGUGGUGUCUCGGCACGACGAACUUUCGCAACGGUGCAUACUUAGGGAGAACACUUAUACCUUGAAAUUUACUGAGAGAUCAUCUUAUAAUGCUACCGUCAAACAAAGCAGAAUAAGAUGCAUAAAAGAUAAACAUUGAUACGUCUCCAAUGUAUCUAUAAUUUUUUAUUGUUCCAUGCUAUUAUAUUAUCUGUUUUGGAUGUUUAAUGGGCUUUAAUAUACUCUUUUAUAUGAUUUUGGGGACUAACCUAUUAACCCAGAGCCCAGUGCCAGUUUUUUUUCCUUGUUUUUGAGUAUCGCAGAAAAGAAAAACCAAACGGAGUCCAAGUGACCUGGAAUUUGGCGGAGAUUAUUUUUGGACCGGAAGAAGCCCACGAAGCAUCGGAGAUGGACUAGAAGAGUCCCGGGCUGCCCACGAGGGCAGGGGGCGUGCCCACCCCCUGGGCAUGCCCCCCUGCCUCGUGGACAGCCUGGAGACCCCCUGACUUGUUCCCGACGCCAAUACCUCUCAUAUAUACCCAAACUUCCAGAAAGAAACCUAGAUCGGGAGUUCCGCCGCCGCAAACCUCCAGAGCCACCAAAAACCAAUCUAGACCCGUUUCGGCACCCUGCCGGAGGGGGAAUCGCUCUCCAGUGGCCAUCUUCAUCAUCCCGACGCUCUCCAUGACGAGGAGGGAGUAGUUCACCCUCGGGGCUGAGGGUAUGUACCAGUAGCUAUGUGUUUGAUCUCUCUCUCUCUCUCUCUCUCUCUCUCUCUCGUGUUCUUGAUUCGGCACGAUCUUGAUGUAUCGCAAGCUUUUCUAUUAUAGUUGGAUCUUAUGAUGUUUCUCCCCCUCUACUCUCUUGUAAUGGAUUGAGUUUUCCCUUUGAAGUUAUCUUAUCGGACUGAGUCUUUAAGGAUUUGAGAACACUUGAUGUAUGUCUUGCAUGUGCUUAUCUGUGGUGACAAUGGGAUAUUCACGUGAUCUACUUGAUGUAUGUUUUGGUGAUCAACUUGCAGGUUCUGUGACCUUGUGAACUUAUGCAUAGGGGUUGGUACACGUUUUCGUCUUGACUCUCCGGUAGAAACUUUGGGGCACUCUUUGAAGUUCUUUGUGUUGGUUGAAUAGAUGAAUCUGAGAUUGUGUGAUGCAUAUCAUAUAAUCAUACCCACGGAUACUUGAGGUGACAUUGGAGUAUAUAGGUGACAUUAGGGUUUUGGUUGAUUUGUGUCUUAAGGUGUUAUUCUAGUACGAACUCUAUAAUAGAUCGAACGGAAAGAAUAGCUUCAUGUUAUUUUACUAUGGACUCUUGAAUAGAUUGAUCAGAAAGAAUAACUUUGAGGUGGUUUCGUACCCUACAAUAAUCUCUUCGUUUGUUCUCCGCUAUUAGUGACUUUGGAGUGACUCUUUGUUGCAUGUUGAGGGAUAGUUAUAUGAUCCAGUUAUGUUAUUAUUGUUGAGAGAACUUGCACUAGUGAAAGUAUGAACCCUAGGCCUUGUUUCCUAGCAUUGCAAUACCCUUUUUGCUCACUUUUAUCAUUAGUUACCUUGCUGUUUUUAUAUUUUCAGAUUACAAAAACCUAUAUCCACCAUCCAUAUUGCACUUGUAUCACCAUCUCUUCACCGAACUAGUGCACCUAUACAAUUUACCAUUGUAUUGGGUGUGUUGGGGACACAAGAGACUCUUUGUUAUUUGGUUGCAGGGUUGCUUGAGAGAGACAAUCUUCAUCCUACGCCUCCCACGGAUUGAUAAACCUUAGGUCAUCCACUUGAGGGAAAUUUGCUACUGUCCUACAAAACUCUGCACUUGGAGGCCCAACAACGUCUACAAGGAGAAGGUUGCGUAGUAGACAUCAAGCUCUUUUCUGGCGCCGUUGCCGGGGAGGUGAGUGCUUGAAGGUAUAUCUUUAUAUCUUGCAAUCAAAUCUUUUAGUUUCUUGUUUUAGCACUAGUUUAGUUUAUAAAAGAAAACUACAAAAAAUGGAAUUGAGUUUGCCUCAUACGCUUCAUCUUUUUAAUAUCUUUCGUGAGAAUGAUGGAAAGGAUAAUUGUGCUCAAUUGCUAGAGGAAGAAUGCAUUAGAAUGUUUGGCACUAAAUCCUUGAAUGAUGAGCAUGAUUGCAAUGUUGUUAGUAUGAUCUCUUUGAAUAUCCAUAGUACUAAUGAUGAUUGCACUAGUCAUGAUGAAAAUGUCUCUUAUAAGCAUGUCAACUUUUGUGGAAUACAUAGAGCUUGCAAGUACACACCAAUUAGGGAAAAUAGAUUUUGCAAGAGGCAUACGUAUUUGGAAACCAAAUGGUUGCAAGAAAGGCUAGAUGUUUGUGCUGAAAAUUUGAAAUUUCUUCACCAUACUUGUGAGCUUUGCAAUGAAUAUGGUCAUUUAAAUCUCCAAUGCAAAUUGUUUCAUGAUCGAAUCGUGUCCAAAAAUUGUGAUGACUUGAUUUCCCUUGCACAUCAUAAUGAACUUAGUUUGAUUUUGGGGUAUGAAGAAAUGAAAUGUACAACUAAGCAUAUUCCAGAAUAUAACCUUGAGAAAUUCCUCGAUAUUGAUCUAGAAGAAAUUUUUAUGUAUUGUGCGGUGAAUUGCAUUGAAAAUCCUUAUAUUGCCAAUUACAUAAAUAAAAUAAAACAAAUAGAGGAUGAAGAGAAUACUAAUGAAAGGGAAGAGGCUUCCCAAUAUCCUCCUAUUAUUUCUUAUGAUGAAUCAGGUAACGAGGAGGAGCCUUCUAUCCAACCAAUCUCAUCAAUAAGGAGCUCAAAAAAGAGGGUUAAACCCACACAUGAUGUGAAGAAGAAAAAGAAAAGACGGAAAAACGAAGGUAAAAAGGUAUCUCCCCCCAGUGAUAUUGCUCCUAUUACUCAUUGUGAUGAUGAUAAUUGCUAUACUAUUGGUGCUAUCCAUACUAUUAAUGAUGAGAGUGAUUAUGCUUAUGAUAUGAAAAGGCCCAAGCUUGGGGAUGCUAUGCUUGAUGAGAAUGACAUGUUUGAGAAUAUAUUUGCUGCAAUUAAUGUUUGUCCCAAGCUUGGGGAUGCUAUGCUUAAUGAAGAUGAUAUUUUUAGCCUCCCAAGUUUUGAUGAGCAAAUUUAUUAUGAUGAUAGCAUACCUCCUAUUUAUGAUAAUUAUUGUGAUGAUACGUAUGCUAUAAAAAGUAAUGAUGAUUAUAUUUAUAAAACUUGUCAUGAUUAUGAUUACCCUUUUUCUGAACUUUAUUCUUUCAAUGUGGAAACAAUUUAUAGUAUUCGAGUCUCUUAUGAUACUCCCACUAUUCCGAUUGAGAAGAAUUUUGCUUAUGUAGAGAGUAGUAAAUUUUCUAUGCUUGUAGGUCAUGAGAAGAAUGCUUUAGGUGCUGGUUAUAUUGUUGAAUUCAUUCAUGAUGCUACUGAAAAUUAUUAUGAGGGAGGAAUAUAUGCUUGUAGGAAUUGCAAUAAUAUCAAGUUUCCUCUCUAUGUGUUAAAAGUUUUAAAGUUAUGCUUGUUUUGCCUUCCUAUGCUAGUUGAUUGUUGUUCCCAUAAGUUGUUUGCUCACAAAAUCCCAAUGCAUAGGAAGUGGGUUAGACUUAAAUGUGCUAGUCAUAUUCUUCAUGAUUCUCCCUUUAUGUUUCAAUUCUUAUCUUUUAUGUGAGCAUCAUUGUCAUCAUCAUGCCUAGCUAAAAAGGCAAUAAAGAAAAGCUCUUGUUGGGAGACAACCCAAUAUUUACCCUUACUGUUUUUAUGUGUUCACAUGAUUAUGCUACUGUAGUAAUCAUGUUUUAUAGCUUUUGUUUCAAUAAAGUGCCAAGUAAGACCUUUAGGAUAACCUACGGUGAUAGUUAAUUUGAUCUUGCUGAAAAACAGAAACUUUUGCGUGCACGAGAUUAGUUUUCAUAAAUCACAGGAACGUGCUUUUCAGUUGAUUCUUUUUUCAGAAGAUUAAAUAACAAGUUUCUUAGGACUUCCUAAUUUGGUAGAAUUUUUGGAGUUCCAGAAGUAUACGUUUGAUAUAGAUUUCUACAGACUGUUCUGUUUUUGACUGAUUCUGUUUUCUAUGUGUUGUUUGCUUAUUUUGAUGAAUCUAUGAGUAGUAUCAGAGGGUAUGAACCAUAGAGAAGUUGGAAUACAGUAGAUAUCACACCAAUAUGAAUUUAGAAUGAGUUCACAACAGUACCUAAGUGGUGGUUUUAUUUUCUUAUACUAACGGAGCUUACGAGUUUUCUAUUGAGUUUUGUGUUGUGAAGUUUUCAAGUUUUGGGUAAAGAUUCGAUGGACUAUGGAAUAAGGAGUGGCAAGAGCCUAAGCUUGGGGAUGCCCAAGGCACCCCAAGGUAUAUUCAAGGACAACCAAGAGCCUAAGCUUGGGGAAGCCCCGGAAGGCAUCCCCUCUUUCGUCUUCGUUCAUCGGUAACUUUACUUGGAGCUAUAUUUUUAUUCACCACAUGAUAUGUGUUUUGCUUCGAGUGUCACUUUGUUUUAUUUUGUUUUGCUUGCUGUUUGAAUAAUAUCCCAAGAUCUUAAAUUCUUAAAUGCUAGAGAGUCUUCACAUAGUUACAUAAUUAUUCGACUACUCAUUGAUCUUCACUUAUAUCUUUCGGAGUAGUUUGUCAUUUGCUCUAGUGCUUCACUUAUAUCCUUUUAGAGCACGGCGGUGGUUUUAUUUUGAAGAAAUAGUUGAACUCUCAUUAUUCACUUAUAUUAUUUUGAGAGUCUAGAACAGCAUGGUAAUUUGCUUUGGUUAUGAAUUUAGUCCUAAUAUGAUGGGCAUCCAAGAGGGAUAUAAUAAAAACUUUCAUAUAGAGUGCAUUGAAUACUAUGAGAAGUUUGAUACUUGAUGAUUGUUUUGAGAUGUGAAGAUGGUGAUAUUAGUCAUGCUAGUAGAGUAGUUGUGAAUUUGAGAAAUACUUGUGUUGAGGUUUGCAAGUCCCGUAGCAUGCACGUAUGGUAAGCGUUGUGUGACAAAUUUGAAGCAUGAAGUAUUUCUUUGAUUGUCUUCCUUUGUGUGGAGGUCGGGGGCGCGCGAUGGUUAACUCCUACCAACCUCCCCCCUAGGAGCAUGCGUGUAGUGCUUGGUUUUGAUGACUUGUAGAUUUUUGCAAUAAGUAUGUGAGUUCUUUAUGACUAAUGUUGAGUCCAUGGAUUAUACGCACUCUCACCCUUCCAUCAUUGCUAGCCUCUUCGGUACCGUGCAUUGCCCUUUCUCACCUUGAGAGUUGGUGCAAACUUCGCCGGUGCAUCCAAAUCCCGUGAUAUGAUACGCUCUAUCACACAUAAACCUCCUUAUAUCUUCCUCAAAACUGCCACCAUACCUACAUAUCAUGGCAUUUCCAUAGCCAUUCCGAGAUAUAUUGCCAUGCAACUUUCCACCGUUCCGUUUAUUAUGACGCACUUCAUCAUUGUCAUAUUCCCUUGCAUGAUCAUGUAGUUGACAUCGUAUUUGUGGCAAAGCCACCAUGCAUAUUAUUUCAUACAUGUCACUCUUGAUUCAUCGUCCAUCCCGGUACACCGCCGGAGGCAUUCAUAUAGAGUCAUAUUUUGUUCUAGUAUCGAGUUGUAAUCAUUGAGUUGUAAAUAAAUAGAAGUGUGAUGAUCAUCAUUCAUAGAGCAUUGUCCCCAAAAAAAAGAGAAAGGCCAAAAAAAAGGGAAAAAGAGAAAGGCCCAAAAAAAAGAAAUAAAAAGGGACAAUUCUACUAUCCUUUUUUUCCACACUUGUGCUUCAAAGUAGCACCAUGAUCCUUAUGAUAGAGAGUCUCUUGUUUUGUCACUUUCAUAUACUAGUGGGAAAUUUUCAUUAUAGAACUUGGCUUGUAUAUUCCAACGAUGGGCUUCCUCAAAUGCCCUAGGUCUUCGUGAGCAAGCAAGUUGGAUGCACACCCACUUAGUUUCUUUUGUUGAGCUUUCAUACAAUUAUAGCUCUAGUGCAUCCGUUGCAUGGCAAUCCCUACUCCUUACAUUGACAUCAAUUGAUGGGCAUCUCCAUAGCCCGUUGAUUAGCCGCGUCAAUGUGAGACUUUCCUUUUUUUGUCUUCUCCACACAACCCCCAUCAUCAUAUUCUAUUCCACCCAUAGUGCUAUGUCCAUGGCUCACGCUCAUGUAUUGCAUGAAAGUUGAAAAAGUUUGAAAAGGCUAAAGUAUGAAAUAAUUGCUUGGCUGAAACCAAGGUUGUGCAUGAUUUGGGUAUUUUGUGUAACGAAGAUGGAGCAUAGCCAAACUAUAUGAUUUUGUAGGGACGAACUUUCUUUGGCCAUGUUAUUUUGAGAAGACAUAAUUGCUUUGUUAGUAUGCUUGAAGUAUUAUUGUUUUUAUGUCAAUAUUAAACUUUUGUCUUGAAUCUUAUGGAUCUAAAUAUUCAUGUCGUAAUAAAGGAAAUUACAUUGAUAAAUAUGUUAGGUAGCAUUCCACAUCAAAAAUUCUGUUUUCAUCAUUUACCUACUCGAGGACGAGCAGGAAUUAAGCUUGGGGAUGCUUAAUACGUCUCCAACGUAUCUAUAAUUUUUGAUUGUUCCAUGCUAUUAUAUUAUCUGUUUUGGAUGUUUAAUGGGCUUUAAUAUACUAUUUUAUAUGAUUUUUGGGACUAACCUAUUAACCCAGAGCCCAGUGCCAGUUUUUGUUUUUUCCUUGUUUUUGAGUAUCGCAGAAAAGGAAAACCAAACGGAGUCCAAUUGACCUGAAAUUUGACGGAGAUUAUUUUUGGACCGGAAGAAGCCCACGAAGCAUCGGAGAUGGACCAGAAGAGUCCCGGGCUGCCCACGAGGGCAGGGGGCGUGCCCACCCCCUGGGCAUGCCCCCCUGCCGCAAACCUCCAGAGCCACCGAAAACCAAUCUAGACCCGUUCCGGCACCCUGCCGGAGGGGGAAUCCCUCUCCGGUGGCCAUCUUCAUCAUCCCGGCGCUCUCCAUGACGAGGAGGGACUAGUUCACCCUCUGGGCUGAGGGUAUGUACCAAUAGCUAUGUUUUUGAUCUCUCUCUCUCUCUCUCGUGUUCUUGAUUCGGCACGAUCUUGAUGUAUCGCGAGCUUUGCUAUUAUAGUUGGAUUUUAUGAUGUUUCUCCCCCUCUACUCUCUUGUAAUGGAUUGAGUUUUCCCUUUGAAGUUAUCUUAUCGAAUUGAGUCUUUAAGGAUUUGAGAACACUUGAUGCAUUGCUUGCAUGUGCUUAUCUGUGGUGACAAUGGGAUAUUCACGUGAUCUACUUGAUGUAUGUUUUGGUGAUAAACUUCCGGGUUCUGUGACCUUGUGAACUUAUGGAUAGGGGUUGGCACACGUUUUCAUCUUGACUCUCCGGUAGAAACUUUGGGGCACUCUUUGAAGUUCUUUGUGUUGGUUGAAUAGAUGAAUCUGAGAUUGUGUGAUGCAUAUCGUAUAAUCAUACCCACGGAUACUUGAGGUGACAUUGGAGUAUCUAGGUGACAUUAGGGUUUUGGUUGAUUUGUGUCUUAAGGUGUUAUUCUAGUAUGAACUCUAUGAUAGAUCGAAUGGAAAGAAUAGCUUCAUGUUAUUUUACUACGGACUCUUGAAUAGAUUGGUCAGAAAGAAUAACUUUGAGGUGGUUUCGUACCCUACAAUAAUCUCUUCGUUUGUUCUCCGCUAUUAGUGACUUUGGAGUGACUCUUUGUUGCAUGUUGAGGGAUAGUUAUAUGAUCCAGUUAUGUUAUUAUUGUUGAGAGAACUUGCACUAGUAAAAGUAUGAACCCUAGGCCUUGUUUCCUAGCAUUGCAAUACCCUUUUUGCUCACUUUUAUCAUUAGUUACCUUGCUGUUUUUAUAUUUUCAGAUUACAAAAACCUAUAUCCACCAUCCAUAUUGCACUUGUAUCACCAUCUCUUCGCCGAACUAGUGCACCUAUACAAUUUACCAUUGUAUUGGGUGUGUUGGGGACACAAGAGACUCUUUGUUAUUUGGUUGCAGGGUUGCUUGAGAGAGACCAUCUUCAUCCUACGCCUCCCACGGAUUGAUAAACCUUAGGUCAUCCACUUGACGGAAAUUUGCUACUAUCCUACAAACCUCUGCACUUGGAGGCCUAACAACGUCUAGAAGGAGAAGGUUGCGUAGUAGACACCAAACAUCACAUGCAAUCAAUAUAAGUGAUAUGAUAUGGCCAUCAUUAUCUUGUGCCUUUGAUCUCCAUCUCCAAAGCACCGUCAUGAUCACCAUCGUCACCGGCGCGACACCUUGAUCUUCAUCGUAGCAUCGUUGUCGUCUCGCCAACUAUUGUUUCUACGACUAUCGCUACCGCUUAGUGAUAAAGUAAAAACAAUUACAGGGCGAUUGCAUUGCAUACAAUAAAGCGACAACCAUAUGGCUCCUGGUAGUUACCGAUAACUCUGUUACAAAACAUGAUCAUCUCAUACAAUAAAAUUUAGCAUCAUGUCUUGACCAUAUCACAUCACAGCAUGCCCUGCAAAAACAUGUUAGACGUCCUCUACUUUGUUGUUGCAAGUUUUACGUGGCUGCUAUGGGCUGAGCAAGAACCGUUCUUACCUCGCAUCAAAACCGCAACGAUAUUUCGUCAAGUUAGUGCUGUUUUAACCUUCACAAGGACCGGGCGUAGCCACACUCAGUUCAACUAAAGUUGGAGAAACAGACACCCGCCAGCCACCUGUGUGCAAAGCACGUCGGUAGAACCAGUCUCGCGUAAGCGUACGCGUAAUGUCGGUCCGGGCCGCUUCAUCCAACAAUACCGCCGAACCAAAGUAUGACAUGCUGGUAAGCAGUAUGACAUGUAUCGCCCACAACUCACUUGUGUUCUACUCGUGCAUAUAACAUCUACGCAUAAACCUGGGUCGGAUGCCACUGUUGGGGAACGUAGUAAUUUCAAAAAAAUUCCUACGCACACGCAAGCAUGGUGAUGCAUAGCAACGAGAGGGGAGAGUGUGUCCACGUACCCUCGUAGACCGAAAGAGGAAGCGUUAUGACAACACGGUUGAUGUAGUCGUACGUCUUCACGAUCAACCGAUCGAUACCGAACGUACGACACCUCAGUGUUCUGCACACGUUUAGCUCAGAGACGUCCCGCGAACUCACGAUCCAGUAGAGCUUCACCGGAGAGUUUAGUCAGCACGACGGUGUGAUGACGGUGAUGAUGAUGCUACCAAUGCAGGGCUUCGCCUAAGCACCGCUACGAUAUUACCGAGGUGGAUUAUGGUGGAGGGGGCACCGCACACGCCUAAGAGAUCAAUGAUCAAUUGUUCUGUCUCCAAGGGGUGCCCCCCUCCCCGUAUAUAAAGGAGUGGAGGAGGGGGAAGGGGCCGGCCUCCUAUGGCGCGCCCCAUGAGGAGUCCUACUCCCACGGGGAGUAGGACUCCCCCUUUCCAAGUAGGAGUAGGAGAGGAGAAGGAAGGGAGAGAAGGAAAGGGGGGCGCCGCCCCCCUCCUUGUCCAAUUCGGACUAGAGGGGGAGGGGCACGCGGCUGCCCUGGCCGCCCCUCCUCUUCUCCCACUAGGGCCCAUUAGGCCCAAUAUCCUCCCGGGGGGGGGGGUCCGGUAACCCCCCGGUACUCCGGUAAAUGUCCGAAACCUCCCGAAACACUUCUGGUGUCCAAACAUAGUCGUCCAACAUAUCGAUCUUUAUGUCUCGGCCAGUUCGAGACUCCUCGUCAUGUCCGUGAUCAAAUCCGGGACUCCGAACUGCCUUCGGUACAUCAAAACACAUAAACUCAUAAUACCGAUCGUCACCGAACGUUAAGCGUGCGGACCCUACGGGUUCGAGAACUAUGUAGACAUGACCGAGACACGUCUCCGGUCAAUAACCAAUAGCGGAACCUGGAUGCUCAUAUUGGCUCCCACAUAUUCAACGAAGAUCUUUAUCGGUCAAAUCGCAUAACAACAUACGUUGUUCCCUUUGUCAUCGGUAUGUUACUUGCCCGAGAUUCGAUCGCCGGUAUCUUAAUACCUAUCUCAAUCUCGUUACCGGCAAGUCUCUUUGCUCGUUCUGUAAUGCAUCAUCCCGCAACUAACUCAUUAGUCACAUUGCUUGCAAGGCUUAUAGUGAUAUGCAUUACCGAGAGGGCCCAGAGAUACCUCUCCGACAAUCGGAGUGACAAAUCCUAAUCUCGAUCUAUGCCAACUCAACAAGUACCAUCGGAGACACCUGUAGAGGACCUUUAUAAUCAACCAGUUACGUUGUGACAUUUGGUAGCACACAAAGUUUUCCUCUGGUAUUCGGGAGUUGCAUAAUCUCAUAGUCAUAGGAACAUGUAUAAGUCAUGGAGAAAGCAAUAGCAGUAAACUAAACGAUCAAGUGCUAAGCUAACGGAAUGGGUCAAGUCAAUCACAUCAUUCUCCUAAUGAUGUGAUCCCGUUAAUCAAAUGACAACUCAUGUCUAUGGCUAGGAAACUCAACCAUCUUUGAUUAACGAGCUAGUCAAGUAGAGGCAUACUAGUGACACUAUGUUUGUCUAUGUAUUCACACAUGUACUAUGUUUCCAGUUAAUACAAUUCUAGCAUGAAUAAUAAAUAUUUAUCAUGAUAUGAGGAAAUAAAUAAUAACUUUAUUAUUGCCUCUAGGGCAUAUUUCCUUCAGUAACAUAGACUAGUAACAUAUGCAUGUGGUCGUUGCCGCCGGAACGUCGGCGCUCCGCACGAGGACGCCUGUCCUCGACGUUGGGCGUUCAGUGGAAGUGCCCGAUAGGGCGUUUGUCGAUGGGUGUAUAAUCUCCGGUCCCGUCAAGGUGGAUCAUAAUAAAAAACUACGGCCCUUGCAGGCUCUCCUCCCGCGGGCAACCCUCCGGCAGCGGCAGCCGGCCGCGACCGUCCAUCAGGCGGUCAAUGUUUGGAUACCCUAACUCAGUUAGAGGUUAGAUUUAGAUUCUAACCCUGAACUAACUCUAGCCAAGGAGGUUUUUGGAUGGCAGGGUUAGAUGGAGCGCGGAUACGGCGAGGCGCCUUCAUGGGCGAUGCGAGAGGGAGGGAGGGAGAGGACGAGAAGCUUCGAGGAAGUGGGGAGGGAUCUGCUGCAGGGAGAGCGAGAGAAAAUGUGUUUUUUUAGUGGUCCCAAGAGGAACUAACCCAAAUAAACACCUCUUGGGUGGGUUAGAUUUUUUGGAUGGGUUAGAUGCUCUAACCCAAACUAACCCUUCUGUUUGGAUAUUUUUGGGUUAAUUGAGUCCAAACUAACCCAAACUAACUCUAACCCAUGGAUCCAAACAGGGCCGAUGGUUGACCACGUGUUGGCGGUAGGGAUGUUAUCAGCGCUCCUUGCCCACACCCACGUGUACACGUACGAUGUGUUGGAGAGCGACGUGGUCUGCCUUUCAGGCGAUCCACCCAGCAAGAACGACUGAUUGCCUCCUGCACCUCUUCCUUCCUCUAGGCCUGCACCAUCAUGUUCUUUACGGCUAGGCGGAAGUAGAACCUCCAAAUGCGCCGGUGACCGUGGCCGGCCAGCGUCCAGAGCAGCAGCGAGAGGGCCACGCCACGUCAGGACGCCACUCCCGCGUCUAUAAUAUCAACAUAAUAAUUCAAACAAUGUAUAUCAGAUACACAUACCUGGCAAUCAUUUCAAAUCCCCAAUUUAUGAAUUUUUAUUUGACAUUUAGAUUCAAAUUUAGACAUAACAAAUGGUCCAAAUUAAACCAUUUGAAGUAAAACAUAAUAUAGAGAAAUUUAUUAGUCAUGAAGUGACCAUAAAUGCUCAACUAGAUCAUCGAGAAGUUAGAUCCUUGUUAUUAAAAAUAUGAAUGCCAAAUCCAAAGGUCAUUCGAUGCCACAACUUCCAGAAUUAUGGUUGCAUCUUUACCUUUCCCUAUGAAUUGUCCAUGCAAUGAUGUAGGACAAUUCUUCCACUUACAAUGCAUGCAAUCGAUGCUUUCAAGCAUACCGAGAAAGCCCUUUGAUGCACCCAUCUAAGGACUCUUGUAGUGUCCUCUUCAUCUGGCGCUCGAAGAUAUUCUUCUCUAAAUAUCUCAAUGAUAGACUUCACAAUUUUAUUCAAACUGUUAAUGCAAGUGCAAUCUGCCAUUCCAAUCCAAUCAUCAAUAUAAUCAGCAGGACAACGAUAUGCAAGCAUGCCCACCGCUGCCGAAAUCAUUCAAAGCACUAUGACCUUGUUGAUCGGCUACAUUUCUUCUUUGCAGAAAGUACGAGCAAUGAUCUUCCACGACACGAGCAAUGCACAAAGAAUAAGCCCAUUGACACUCGAAACCUUCACCUAUUUUUUAAAAACCGUACACCGGAUUCUCUCCAAAAUAUUCAUCCAUUAGUUUACCAUGGACGGCUUGCUUACUCCGACGAAGUACAAAUGCCCAGGCACCGAACCUCCCCACUUCAGCUUCUUGUUUUUUCACCGUGUCUGCAUAUAAAGCCAUCACCAUUUCAAGUUCUUCAUCCUCAUCUGAAGAUGAGUGGUCGAAAAACAACUCAACAAAGAUCUGCAAUGCAAGUGACGGUGUACAAUAUGAGCACACACAAUCUCAAUGGUAAUUUUUUGGGACAUAUAGAAAAUUUGGGUGAAGAAAUUUGUUGAAUACCUUGGGGAAAAAUGGAGACAAGGCGCUUUUGAGCCGCGGGGGAAAGUACGGGGAGGCAGCCUUGUAGAGGGCGGCACGUGGGGGCCGGGGCCAGCAUGUCCGAGCAGCGGAGGGGCGGUGCGGGACGGUGUUGCCAGUUCCUCCGGCUAGCGACGGGUCGUCUGAUGUCUACUACGCAACCUUCUUCUUGUAGACGUUGUUGGGCCUCCAAGUGCAGAGGUUUGUAUGACAGUAGCAAAUUUCCCUCAAGUGGAUGACCUAAGGUUUAUCAAUCCGUGGGAGGCGUAGGAUGAAGAUGGUCUCUCUCAAACAACCCCGCAACCAAAUAGCAAAGAGUCUCUUGUAUCCCCAACACACCCAAUACAAUGGUAAAUUGUAUAGGUGCACUUGUUCGGCGAAGAGAUGGUGAUACAGGUGUAAUAUCGAUGGUAGAUAUAGGUUUUUGUAAUCUGAAAAUAUAAAAACAGCAAGGUAACUAGUAACAAAAGUGAGCAAAACGGUAUGGCAAUGCGUCGAAACAAGGCCUAGGGUUCAUACUUUCACUAGUGCAAGUUCUCUUCACAAUGAUAACAUAAUUAGAUCAUAUAACAAUCCCUCAACAUGCAACAAAGAGUCACUCCAAAGUCACUAAUAGAGGAGAACAAACGAAGAGAUUAUUGUAGGGUACGAAACCACCUCAAAGUUAUUCUUUCUGAUCGAUCUAUUGGGCUAUUCCUAUAAGUGUCACAAACAGCCCUAGAGUUCGUACUAAAAUAACACCUUAAGAUACACAUCAACCAAAAGGCUAAUGUCACCUAGAUAUUCCAAUGUCACCACAAGUAUCCGCGGGUUUGAUUAUACGAUAUGCAUCACACAAUCUUAGAUUCAUCUAUUCAAACCAACACAAAGAACUUCAAAGAGUGCCCCAAAGUUUCUACCGGAGAGUCAAGACGAAAACGUGUGCCAACCCCUAUGCAUAAGUUCACAAGGUCACAUAACCCGCAAGUUUAUCACCAAAACAUACAUCAAGUGGAUCACGUGAAUAUCCCAUUGUCACCACAGAUAAGCACAUGCAAGACAUACAUCAAGUCUUCUAAAAUCCUUAAAGACUCAAUCCGAUAAAAUAACUUCAAAGGGAAAACUCAACCCAUUACAAGAAGGUAGAGGGGGAAAAACAUCAUAAGAUCCAACUAUAAUAGCAAAGCUCGCGGUACAUCAAGAUCGUGCCAUAUCGAGAACACGAGAGAGAGAGAGAGAGAGAGAGAGAGAGAGAGAGAGAGAGAGAGAGAGAUCAAACACAUAGCUACUGGUACAUACCCUCAUCCCUGAGGGUGAACUACUCCCUCCUCGUCAUGGAGAGCGUCGGGAUGAUGAAGAUGGCCACCGGUGAUGAUUUCCCCCUCCGGCAGGGUGCCGGAACAGGGUCCCGAUUGGUUUUUGGUGGCUACAGAGGCUUGCGGCGGCGGAACUCCCGAUCUAGGUUUCUUUUCUGGAUUUUUUGUAUUUAUAGGAAUUUUUGGCGUCGGUUUCACGUCAUGGGGGGUCCACGAGGAGCCCACAAGGACGGAGGGCGCGCCCUAGGGGGGUGGGCGUGCCCUCCACCCUUGUGGAGGUCUCGUGGCUCUUCUGGCCCAACUCCUUUGCUUCGGGGGCUUCUUCUGGUCCAUAAAAAAUCACCGUAAAUUUUCAGCUCAUUUGGACUCCGUUUGACAUUCCUUUUCUGCGAAACUCAAAAACAAGGAAAAAACAGAAACUGGCACUGGGUUCUAGGUUAAUAGGUUAGUCCCAAAAAUCAUAUAAAAUAGCAUAUAAAUGCAUAUAAAACAUCCAAGAUAGAUAAUAUAAUAGCAUGGAACAAUAAAAAAUUAUAGAUAUGUUGGAGACGUAUCAUCGUCGUGGCAGUGUGGGGAGGCAGCGGGGCGGCGAGGAGCAACACGGGACAACUGGACGAGGUGGGCCUGGAGACGAGGUUCGGGUGCCCUGAAACUUCAGCGGUUGCUAUUCGCGAAAGUUUACGGGAAGAAUCUUCUUCCCGCAUAUGGAAGGGAACUUGUGGGAGUAAAUUGCGAAAAACCACGACCAUUGAGGUCCCUAAUUCAAAAAACCAUCACAUUUCAUUUUUCUUUACAAAAAACCACCAGCAUUGUGGUGACAAUUGUGAGAAAAUGAUGAUAGGUCGAUUAAGAGCCGUUUGACACCGAAUUUGACGGGUAGGUGUAAGUGCAUCUAUUGCCACCCCUAGUUGGUUUUGGAGUAUUGACGACAAACUUGGUUGAGGGACUAAUGUGUUUGUGAGAAUUGCAGGAUAACACAGGUAGUAGUCCCUUAUUGAUUCGGUUUACCUACCAGAGAUGGCCCCUAAAAAUGUGUGAAGACAUUGAAGACAAUGGUGAUUCGUGAAGACAUUCACUUGAAGACUAUGGAGUGCGAAGACAUAGUUGUUUUGUAGUUUCCUUUUCUUCUUUGUUGAGUCAUAGGAACCAUCGUACUGUUAAGUGGGGUCCAAGUGAACAAAGUCAGAAUGACUGAUGUGAUGCUCAACCUAAAUCCUAUGUCUUCGAGCGAAGACAAUGAGAGCAAAUCUUAUCCAAAGCUGGAUGAGUCAGCUUUGCUUGUAGCCCAAAUAAAGCUGCCGCGUGUGUUUGAAAUCCGAUUGUUGGACACGUGUCGGUUCCUUAGUGACCCAGGGUCAUUUCGGACAUAUCAGGUCGGGUUGCCUCCUGGCUAUAAAUAGCCCACCCCCUACAAAUUGGUGGCUGCUCAGAGUUAGUGCACGACUUUUGUCGUUUGAGAGCAACCCACCUCCGAAACCUUUGAGAGAGCGAUCCUUGUGAGGACAAAGCCCAAAACACCCAGAGCCAAAGUGUGUUAGGCAUCACUGAAGUCUUUCUGUUCGCGUGACCUGAAGACUUGUUACACAUGAGGACUGUGUAUCCUCCAGCCGGUUAGGCGUCGCGUUUUGAGCAUCCAAGAUUCAUUGUGGAUUGCCGGUGAACGAAGUCUGUGAAGGUUUGGAAGUCUACCUUGAAUACUUACCAGAGUGAUUGGGUGAGGACUGGGUGUCCGUAGCUCAAGGGGAAUAUGGUGAAGACGCGAUCUUCAGAGUUAAAUCUCAGCCUCCCUAACCAGACGUACAGUUGUCACAGCAACUGGAACUGGUCUACCAAAUCCUUGUCUUCACCAAGCAACUGGUUCUAUCCCCCACUUUCCUUUAGUUUACAGUUUGUCUUCGUGAAUUCAUUGCUUACUUGUCUGAUCUGUUUGACUUCACUGCGUGAAGACUAUUUCCUGUUUGGCUUCAUACUGUCUUCAAUCCUGAUCCAUACUUCCUAGUUGCUGCUAGUCUUCGUGCUUUCACUUCAUUGCUUACUUGACUAUGGCUUGCCUAGUGUAGUCUAUCUUCCGCUGCAUAUCAAUAGGUUCAUUUCUAUUGUUAGUCUUCAAAGACCUCGUGUUUUGAAGACUUUCUUAAAAAUCGCCUAUUCACCCCCCUCUAGUCGAUAACUAGCACUUUAAAUUGGUAUCAUAGCAAGGUGCUCCCUUGUUCUGUGUGAUUCGGUUUAACAACCUGGAGUUUUAGCUAUGUCGACUGCAGGGAUAAUCAAGGUCUCCGCUGCGUGCCCGGUCUUCGAUGGCACUAAUUACCCCUACUGGCAGAAUAAGAUGUGCAUGCAUCUUGAAGCCAUUGACGUCGACCUCUGGUAUGUCGUCAAGACAGGCGUUCCCAAGGUUGGUGAAGGUGUCACCGCUACUGAUGUCAAGAGGUUCGCUCAACUGGACUCGACCGCGAAGAACAUCAUCUGUGGUCAUCUGACCAAAGGAUAGUAUGGCCGUGUGAGUGCACUGGAAACUCCGAAGCUAGUCUGGGACUGGCUGUCCAAGGUCAACGAAGGCGUCUCAACUCAGAGAGAUUCAAGGAUUGAUGUUCUUCGCAACCUCUUCAACUGCUUCAAGAGAAACGAUAAUGAGAAUGUCCAGCUCACAUUCGAUCGCCUCACUGAUAUCACAAAUGAGCUACGUGCUCUUGGCGCCACUGAGAUCACCAAGCAUGAAAUCAUCAAGAAGCUUCUGAGAUCACUUGACAACUCAUUUGACACCCUGGCCCUGAUGAUACAAGAACGUCCUGACUUCAAAGAUCUCGAUCCGUCUGACGUACUUGAGAGGCUCAACACACAUGAGUUCCAGCUAUCUGAGAAAAGAGACAUCUAUGGCCCCAACUAUGGCCGAACCUGUGCUUUGAAGGCAAAGGUUGUUUCCUCAUCUGAAGAAGAAUCCGACUGCAGUUCUGAGGAUCCUAAAGACAUUGGAAGGGAGCUAGCUAUGCUCGUCAAGAAGUUUCAGAAGUUCUCCAAAAGGAACCGCUUCGGAAAGUCUUCAAGAUCCAGCUCAAGAAAUGAUGAGGCUUCCACUCGUGACCACAAGAAGAGAACAUGCCACAAAUGCAAGAAGCUAGGCCACACUACAUCUCUGAGUGUCCACAAUGGGACAAGGAAUCUAAGAAGAAGAAGAAGAAGAAGAAGAAGAAGAAAAAGAGCAAGGAAUAUGAUUCUGGCGACAAGAAGAAGAAGAAAUAUUCAAAGUCUUCAUCAAAGUCUUCGUCUCACAAGAAGAGCUCAUCCAGCAAGGCUCGUGAGUUUGUUGGCAAGGAGAUGGAUUCAGAGGAGGAGUCUGCUUCUGAGGAGGCGGAGGUGGAGUCUGAGGAGGAGUCUGAUUCAGGCGUGGCAAGCCUGGCUCUAGCUUCGGCUUUCGUCGCCAAGUCCAUUUUCAACACUGAAGAGAAUGGUCACGUCGCCGAUGCUGAAGCCAAUGAUGAGGACAACUCUGCUCCGACCUAUUGCUUCAUGGCACGUGGUGCCAAGGUAAACUCACGCGAUGCUUACUUUCAAACAUCCAGUGAAGAUGACUCUGAAUGUGAAUCUAAACCUAGCUACAAGACACUUGCUAAAAUUGCAACUGAACAACAAACUGCUAUGGAACAUAUUCAAAACUUGCUAGACAAAAGCGAUGACCUGUUGGACAUGGAAAUGAAUCAAACUCAGUCCUUAAUUGAAGACAUGAAAAAUCUUCACAUUAAGUACAAGGAACUUGAAAGUCGUCAUGAAACUCUCUCAGCUACUCAUGAUAAGCUUUCCUAUGAUUAUCUUCAAAGAAAGCAAGAACUUGAGAACCUAAGAGCGUCUCAUGAAGAUCUUCAAAAAGAGAACGAUUCACUUCAUGCUCAACAAAACAGUUCCACUCAGGAAGACUUUGAGCCACCAUGUUUAAAUGUCUUGAGCGUGAUAAUGCUGUCUCUGUUGUUGAAUGUUUUACUGCUGCUACUGUUGCAAUAUCUUCAACUACUGAUGUGGUAACUAACCCCUUUUCUGAGGAUACCACUACUAUUGCUGAUGAGAAUGCUAGGUUGAAGACAUUGCUUGAAAUAGGGAUGUACAAAAGCCUCAAAGGGCAUCAGACACUAUGUGAUGUCCUCAAGAAAUAGAUUCUGAACCGAAACCCUAGGAAAGAGGGUGUUGGGUUCGAGAGGAAAAUGAAUGUUGAUGGUUCAUACUGGAAACCAGAGCAGUACCCCAAAACCACAUGGGUUGCUGCAAAGGGACCUUCAGUGGAUCCAUCUACCUUAUCUGGCUUCACUUGUGCUAACCCUAUUAUCAUUGAUGAAUCCUUUGAUGCAAACUAUAAGGUAUUUAAGAAUCAGAAUGGUGAAGUGUUUCCCAGGUAUAUUGGUACUAACUGCAGGAAUGGACCACCCUUGAAGAAGAUCUGGGUGCCCAAGAGUUGUCUUGAGAAGCUUCCUGUGAAUGUCAUCAUGACACCACCAGGGAAGAAGACAAACCCCAGACCAAAGGCUUCAUAUGGUCCAAAGGCUUCAUAAGGUCCAAAGGCUUCAUACAGACAUAGGACCCACCAGGGUCACCCUAACGCCAAUGUUUUGCAGGGAAACCAUACUCAGUCUUAUGAAUAUGAGUGUGUUUCAUCAAAUCGCUAUGUUCAUAAAACCAAGAACUUUUCUGCUUAUUCUUAUGAGUAUUAUUCACCUCUUGCAAGGCUAUUUGCUAGGGCUCCAAAGCCAAAAUUCUCAGAUGCUGUACUUAGACUCAUUGCUUCUAAGCCACCCCUGAAGAUGUGGGUGGUUAAGAAGAAUUAACUCUCUUUUGCAGGGAAAGGUCUCCAGCCUGAAAUCAAAGGCUUCUGAUGCUUAUGCUGGGGACCUAAAUCAUCUUAUGGGACGCAAGAUAAAAUGCCAAAAUGGUCUUACUAUGCAUUUCGUCCCAGGAUUUCUAGACAAACAUCCUAUCUACCCUAACAAGGAUCUGAACUUUAAUAGUAUGCUCGUUCGUCAAAUGUUUAUGCUUCACAAUACUCUUGGUGAAGCCUAUCCCACUAACUACACUGUAGGGCACGGCUCCGAAAGCUACUGAGUGGAUUAUGGACAGUGGACGCACUAGCCACAUGACUGGUGAUCGAAGUCUUAUGGAUUCAACCCUACGACCAUCUGACGAAAGUCACAUCACAUUUGCCGACACUGGUAAAAGCAAGUCUUCAAAGGGUAUCGAAAAGACGAUCUGUAUAUGGUAGAUUUCUCCGUAGCACCACAGCUUGUCGUAUGUCUUCUAGCAAAAGCUUCAGAGUGCUGGCUUUGGCAUCGGAGGCUAGGACGUGCGGGCAUGAGGAACUUGCACACUCUCGCGAAGAAGAAGCAUGUCAUUGGCAUCGAGGGCGUCAAGUUCAAGAAGGAUCAUCUAUGUGGUGCCUGUGAAGCCGGAAAAAUGACUAGAGCCAAGCAUCACUCGAAGACAAUCAUGAUAACAACACGUCCCUUCGAGUUGCUUCACAUGGACUUAUUUGGCCCUACUCACUACUCUACCCUUACUACCACUGCAUGCCUCUAUGGUUUCGUCAUUGUUGAUGAUUACUCAAGAUAUACAUGGGUGCACAUAAUUCUCUACAAGACUGAAGUGCAGGAUGUCUUCAGACGAUUCGCCAAUCGUGCCAUGACCAACUAUGGCAUCAAGAUCAAGCACAUCAGAAGUGACAAUGACACAGAAUUCAAGAACACCGGUCUCGACACUUAUCUUGAUACAUUGGGCAUCACACAUGAGUUCUCUGCUCCAUACACACCUCAGCAAAAUGGCAUCAUGGAGCGCAAGAACAGAACCCUCAUUGAGAUGGCACGAACGAUGCUUGAUGCGUACAAGACACCAAGGAAAUUCUGGCCUGAAGCCAUUGAUACAGCAUGCCACAUCAUCAACCGUGUUUAUCUUCACAAGUUCCUAAAGAAGACAUCAUAUGAGCUCUUGACUGGUAAGAAGCCAAAUGUCAGCUAUUUCAGAGUCUUUGGUACUAGGUGCUGGAUCAAGGAUCCGCAUCACGCUUCAAAAUUCGCACCGAAAGCACAUGAAGGUUUUAUGCUUGGCUACGGAAAGGAUUCGCACUCCUACAGAGUCUUCAACCUCUUUCACUACAAAGUAGUUGAAACUGUGGAUGUGUGGUUCGAUGAGACUAAUGGUUCGCAAAGAGAGCACCUGCCAAAUGUGCUAGAUGAAGCUACACCAAGUGAAUCUAUCAAGGUUAUGGGUACCAGAGAAAUCAUACCUUCAGAGGAACAUGCUGAAGAGGAAAUCAUCAUUUCUGCACCUAUUCAGCAUGAAGACACUGCUCAGCCUGAAGCCAAUGCUGAAGAUGAAGACAAUGAUCAGCAAGGGCAAAAUCUUCGUCUAGUUCAUCCUCGCAUUGCAAAUGAAGUCCAGAUUGAGAAGAUAAUUGAUAGCAUUAAUGCACCUGGUCCACUCACUCGUUCAAGAGCAACACAGCUAGCAAAUUUCUAUGGGCACUUUGCAUUUGUCUCUAUAUCUGAACCCAAGAAAGUUGAUGAAGCCUUCAUGGAACCUGAAUGGAUUCAAGCUAUGCAAGAAGAGCUUCAAUAGUUUGAGCUGAACAAUGUAUGGGAGCUAGUAAAGCGUCCUGAUCCUCGCAAGCACAAUAUCAUCGGCACCAAAUGGAUCUAUCGCAACAAACAAGAUGAGCAUGGUCAAGUUGUCAGAAACAAGGCUCGUCUCAUCGCUCAAGGCUACACACAAGUUGAAGGGAAUGACUUCGAUGAAACUUUUGCUCCCGUGGCUAGGCUUGAAGCCAUUCGCAUACUGCUAGCCUAUGCCAACCACAACAACAUUCUUCUGUACCAAAUGGAUGUAAAAAGUGCCUUCCUCAACGGCAAAAUUGAAGAAGAAGUGUAUGUUGCACAUCCACCUGGCUUUGAAGACCCAAAGCGUCCUGAUAUGGUAUACAAGCUCAACAAGGCACUGUAUGGCCUCAAGCAAGCCCCUCACGCUUGGUAUGACACACUCAAAGACUUCUUGAAGAGCAAAGGCUUCAAACCUGGUUCCCUAGAUCCCACUCUCUUCACGAAGACAUAUGUUGGUGAACUAUUUGUAUGCCAAAUCUAUGUGGAUGACAUUAUCUUCGGCUGCACUGACAAGAGAUACAAUGAUGAAUUUGGGCAUAUGAUGCAAGAGCAAUAUCAGAUGUCCAUGAUGGGUGAGCUGAAAUUGUUCCUUUGUCUUCAAAUCCGUCAGCAAAGAAAUGUCAUCUUCAUAUCACAAGAAAAAUACCUCAAAGAUUGCCUGAAGAAGUUUGGAAUGCAAGACUGCAAAGGGUACACGAUGCCAAUGCCAACCAAAGGCCAAUUGGGCCCUGACGACAAUGGUAAAGAGUUCGAACAAAAGGUAUACCGCUCCAUGAUUGGCUCUUUACUCUACUUAUGUGCAUCUAGGCCUGAUAUAAUGCUUAGCGUUUGCAUGUGUGCCCGAUUCCAAGCGGCACCAAAGGAAUCGCAUCACUUAGCUGUGAAGCGAAUUCUUCGAUAUUUGGCUUACACCCCAACACUAGGAUUAUGGUAUCCAAAGGGCUCAGAGUUUGAUCUAGUUGGAUUCUCAGAUGCUGAUUAUGCUGGUGACAAGGUUGAUCGCAAGUCCACUUCAAGCGCAUGUCACUUUCUUGGACGAUCUCUUGUCUGUUGGUCUUCAAAGAAGCAGAACUGUGUAUCACUUUCCACUGCUGAAUCCGAAUACAUUGCUGCUGGAUCUUGCUGCGCUCAGCUUCUAUGGAUGAAGCAAACUCUCAAGGACUAUGGCAUCCACCUGAAGCAUGUGCCACUCUAAUGCGACAAUGAAAGCGCCAUCAAGAUUUCCAACAACCCAGUUUAGCACUCGAAGACAAAGCACAUUCAGAUCCGUCAUCACUUUCUCAGAGAUCAUGUCAUGAAGGAAGACAUUGAUAUCAUUCACGUCAACACUGAAGAGCAAUUGGCAGAUAUCUUCACAAAGCCCUUGGAUGAGAAAAGGUUUUGCAAGCUGCGGUGUGAGCUAAAUAUCUUAGAAUCCUCGAAUUUCCUGUGAAUGGACACACAUCCUAACGCUUAUGCAUGUUGAUGACUUAGAUCUGCAACACACGAAGUAACAUAUAUCUUCAAUCAAUGAAGACUUACCUCUAAGUGUGAAUACAUUAACACGGAAUUUGACGUCGGAGCGCCACGAUAAUUAUGCGCCGUGUCUGGGUCUAAUACUCCCUAUACGGUGGGUAACACCACCACCAAACUUUCUCGAAGAUUUUCAUUUGGCGUCAUGAUUGCAUUAUCUUCAUAUUUGGUUUGUCUUCAACAUUGAUUUGACUUCAAGGUUUAUCUUCGCAAUGUUGAUUUGGUCUUUACUGAAAUAUCUAUAUAUAAAUAUGUGUUAUGUCGUCUACAACAUUCACUUAUAGUUAUGUCUUCAAACUUGCCAUUUUCUAAACUAAGUGAAUGUGAUCGGACCCUAACCCCUUCUGUGCUUCUUCCUCAAAUUCUGUCUAUCUAGUCAUAUGCAUUCUGUUGAAACGUGUCAAAUGUCUUCACUACGUCCUUGUCAGCUGAAGAUACAGAGACUCACAUUUAAAUCUGCUUUUAAUGCUAUAUCUCUGUUGCCUGAAUACCGGAGAAGCCAGAACAACCACGCGACAAAUAAGGCGCGCGUGGGAACGUGGAACAACUAUCCAUAAGUUGCAUGCAUGCCACGUGUCCAUCAGAUGUGAACCGCCAUGGGCACCUGCGUAAUUACGCUGCGCAACCCUUCUCCUUAUAAAUACACACCCGCGCGGCCAUUAUCUCCUCUUCCACCUCCCCAUCUCGCUCAAACCCUAGCGCCAUCGCUAGCUCACGUCGACGCUGAAACGAAGCGCUUAGCUGCCGCGACCUCUUCGACGCCGUCCUCACGCCGGCAGCGGACCUCGUCUUCUCCGCCGCCGCCGUAUGUGUCUUCCGCCGCCAAGUUAGGGCGUGGGAGAUUGGACUGCUCGGCAUCCGUUCUGCCUCGUCUAGCAGUUCUUCUGUGGUAAAUAAAUCUCACUUUUUACAGCGUUUUGAUCUGUCAAUCCAUCCACUUCAACCAAAAGUGGUUUCUACACUUCCAAAUCUGGAUCUUUCUCUUUCUGAAUCUCAUAUCCUGCAAAGUAUGUUCACUUAUGCUUCAUAACUAGUUAGAUUCUCACUUGUACUUAUUCAUGGAUUCGUACAAAUCUGGAACCAACUCACUUCAAAUAAGCGAAUGUCUUCGCACUAUGAGGUCAAUGUCUUCAAACAAAUUUAUCUUCAAAAUCUUCUGAGAAUGCAUAUGACCGCUUCCCCUUCCCUCGCAUCUCAAAUGCUGUCACAGGUACAUGUCCGUGGGAGAAUCCCUUGGUUCUCAUAGUCUGCAUUCAUUUGCAGAAUACUUGCAGCGUCACAUUGAAUCACCUAAAGCCAGUACUUGUUUGACAAGUCAUCAGAAGCCUUUCACUAUUUUGAAGCCUCUCUGUCUGAAUAUUAUGGAUUUUGAAAAAUCAGCAAGGAAAGGUGGCAGACAACGCCGUGGCAAUACUGCUCUGGAUCUGCCUCCGGAUCUCUAUGAACUUUAUAAGUCUGAUCCUAAGGAGAACUACAAUCAGCGCAAGACCCGAAUCCAGUGGAUCGGAAGAUAUUGGGCAGAAAAAUGGUUCAAGUAUAACUUCGUCACUCCUGAAUAUGUUGAGAGGAAUGCUAUCAAGCGCCCAUGGGCCGAUAUUCUUUACAAGAAUUUACCACCCAAGACGAAGUCUGAAGCUAUUGCUCUAGGCUUCUAUCCGUGCAUGGUUCGAGGACCUCAACCUGAGAAUGCCAACCCAUCAUCUCUUCUGUGGUGUUGUGACGACAAUCUCUUCAAGCGCAACUUUCAGUUUGCAAAGGAUUCAGCUGCCAAGAACAAAAAGGCAUUCGGACUUGACUUCAACCCUGGUCCAUCUGCUCCAAGGUUUGAUGGCACACAUGACGCCAAUCCCAAUGUCAUCGACCCCUUCAAUAGCUUCGAUGGGCUCCUCUCGCAUAUUGCUGCUCAGAGGGCCACGGCGGAACAAUCUGCUGAUGAUGCAGACUCUGAAGAUGCACCUGCAGCACCGAAGCAGAAGAAGAAGAAGUCAAAAGCUUCAAAGCCCUCUGCUGCACCAAAAGCUUCGACUGUGAAGCCAUUGAAGGAUGCACCUCCUUCACCAAGUGUGCAGUCUGAAGACUUAUCUCGUGUCUCCAAGAAGACCCAGAAGCCCACAAAGAUUUCAGAGCAAAACCUGACUCCUGCUAUUGUUCUGCGCAAUGAGGAAAACACCAUUGAUCUGUCCAGUGAUGAAGAUCUUGGUGAUGAAGCUCUAGAGAUGUUGAUCAAGAGCAAGCAAGAGGCAGAGAUCUUUCAAGAUCUGCCUCUCUUUGAUGCGGGCAUUCUGAACAACUUCAUUGAUGAAUGGUUUGAGGACCAAAGCAUCAAUAUUGAUGAUCUACAGCUGCCAAUGGACAUCAUCAUCACAUUUCACGGAGCGAUUGCAAAUGAACUUGCUCUGGCUCAGAAAAUCGUCGAGCUCAAGAACAAGAUUGAUUAUGAGAAAGCACAUUUCAAGAAGCACGUUGAGAAGCUCAGUGUUGCUGCUGUGCAAAUCUUCAAGGAGAUGAUGAAUGACCUCAAGGCCGAAUUCAACAAGAAGCGUGAAGAAGCCAAAGGCUCACGCGAGCGCAUGAAGUACUAUGCACAGAAAUGCGUGCAAGCUCACAAUGAAGUUGAGAAGAGAAAGGCUCUUGGGCGUCUUGGCAUCGACCCCAAGAUGGCUGCCAAGAAAACCAAGAAGUCUGUUGAAGCCAUACCCAAAGCUCAACGGCAGGAACGACCAAGCAUAGCCUUCCCUACCAGUAUGACUAGCUCGAAGCCAAAGGUCCCCUCAGCAGCUUCCGAGCAGAAGAAGACAAGGCAAGCUGAAGCCGAAUCCAGAAAGAGGAAGCUCAAAGAUACCUCUGAUGAUGCUCCCUCCAAGAAGAAAUUGAAGACAAAGGCUUCAAAGUCUUCAAAGAAAGAGAAUGCCUCUGCCCCAGAGCCCCUCAACGUUGAACCAAUCUCUGUUGCUCUCCCUGCCUCUACCAACCAAGAGCGCCGUCUAGUGAUUCAUGAGCCUGCUUCCACAGAGGCUCCUUUAAGCAAAGAGAUUCCAGCUGUUGACCCAAACGCAGCUGAAGAUAUUGGUCAUGAAGACAAUGUGAAUGAUGAUGAGUCCUUCCUCAACUUGAACCUAAGUCGGUAUCAUCGCCGUGAACUUGUUAGCAUUGCUCGUCCCUUGACGCCAGUUGCUCAAGAUGACUCGUGGGUUGAGCAACAACAACAAGACACCCCUCUGCAAGACGAGACCCCACGUACUCCACAUCCUCAAGUCACCACUGCGAUGCUUGAUGAUGACAAUUACAUGGAACAAACCACUCCCUCUCCAAAGGUGUCGCUAGCCUUUCGCAGGCUUCGCAAAGGCCUCAGGCCACAGGUUUCCAUGACAAGCAUUCCAGAAGAGGAUGUGCAGCACACGAGCUCAGUAGCACGUCAAGUGUUUCCUGAAGCCACCCCUUCUGCGUGUGUCUCUGAGUCUGAAACCAAAGCUGCUGAAGACAUUCCGGCUGCAUCAGCCGAUGAAGAAGAAAAAGAAGAUGAAAGAGAAGCCACACCCCUGCUAGUGAUGCAGUCAUUCCAGAAGAGAAUGUGAUCGUGCCCGACUCUCCAGUUGUUGACCAGGUGGAGGUUGAAAACAAUUAGCCUGCCACAACCAACAAUACUAAAGCCAGUGACACUGUCAUGGCUAAAGAUAAUGUGGAGCCCGAAGCCAAUGCUGCAACUGACACCAUUGUGCGGCCAAUCACUUCAGAUGACGCCGUUCCUCCACCAAGGCCUCAUACAAUGGAACGCACGUUCAAUCGUUGUGGCGAGCUUGUAACUGUCAGAUGGCCUAUCAUGGUUCCACCCACUGCUCCUGGGCCGCAAUAUGAUUAUCAUGUGAAGCAGAGGCCUCAGGUUCAGAAGCCUAAGCCAAGAUUGCCAAGGCUUCCAAGUGCUGCAACAACACAGGGCUCGUUCAGUGUGCUCAGCUUCAGAGAGCACAACACUUUCUUUGACAGCGCCAAGAACCCAUACACGAAGCCAAAGAUAUCCUCCGACAGGUUUUGGAGCCAUCAGCAGCGAAGCUACUACUCUUGCAUCCUAUACAACCAAGACCGGAUUUUUUCGCAUAAGCAUCUGGAUUGUGAUGCUACGGCUGGGCUGCCAUGCCUCAAAGAGGCCCUUGAUUGUUUUCGGGAUGUUGGGCUUCUACCAUUUGUGACUGACAAGGAGCACUGGAAUGAAGAACUUGUACUCCAGUUCUAUGCAACACUGCACAUUCGAGGUUACAACAGGGAUCCGAAGACUUGGAUCCUUGAGUGGAUGACAGGUGACAUUCAUCACGAAGCUAAAGCUCAGGACAUCAUUGAGCUUACCUCCCUGCCCACUCCAAGUGACUUGUAUGAACCUAGUUGUCAGCUUCAUCAGAACAAACUUCAAAGCAUAUUCCAUAAGCCAGAGCCCAACAUGAGCCAAAUGUUGAGCAUGAUGAAGCCAUUGCCCCAAGACGUCGAACACCCCAAGGAGUUCUUUGUUAAGGACCCUGAGUACUUGCCACGCACAGUCUAUCAUAUUAUGAGGCGUACUCUCUGGCUAAUCAAAGGAAACUCUUCUGAAGCUAAACUCGAAGGCGCCAUGAAGACAUUGGUUUUCUAUAUCAUCAAUGGCAUCAGAUUCAACACUCAGGAUUUCUUCAUCCGACAGCUUGCUGCUUCUGGGAUUGAUCUUUUUGGCCUGAAAUUUUAUGCUCCAUGGGUGAUGCGCUUGAUCAAGCUUCAUUCAACCAUCGACUAUCAACCUUCAGCGGGCAACCAUAUUGUAUUUCUGCCUGAUGUUGAUAUGUCCAUUGAAGCCAUCUACCCCGAGCCAGCAAAGAAGCCACUGCACCUUCAGAAUGCAGAAUUCCAAAGCUUCACGCAGCCUAUUGAAGGGAUUCAUGUGCCAAAUGCAUCAACUCCUUCUUAUCCUCUAGCUGGCAACUUGCGUCUGCCGCAUCAUGCUAAAACUGAAGCCACUGCCAGCACCAUUGCUCAAAGGCCUCAGAAGCAUCCUCGUGUCCUCAACGACCGUGAGCUUCUAAUGUCCUUGCAUCAAAAGCAGGAUAGGCAUCAUGACUGGCUGAAGCAUCAGAUGCAGAGUGUCUUGGUGGAUGUUAAUCAUAUUCAAAACUUGGCCACCAAGAACUCUUUUGUUGCACAUGAAGCCUGUCGGCGGUCCUGGAAGAGCCUCACAUUGCUCUGCUCUGAAGAUGACCUUUGCGAAGAUGGCUUCACAGAGAGCUUCAAGUUUGACUCCAAGCUGGCGUCGCACACCAUCCAUUGAAGAUUCUGAACAUUCGUCUUCGCCUGCAACUGUUGUUGCGAGAGUCGUCGAUGAAGAAGAUGAUGCCACUUCACCAACUCUGACUGCUCUGCACCACGAUUCUGCUUCAGGUCCUUUUGCACCACCAAACUCCUACGUCAACCCUGCUCCAUCUUCUACUCCAACUGGGAACGAGUAGAUCCUCUAUGUCUUCAAACCUUUUCGGUCAUUACUGACAAAAGGGGGAGAAGCAUAUGAGUUUGAUAGUCUUCAAGCGGGUCCAUAUGGGGUGGUUGCAUUAUUUUUGCUAAGUUCUUACAGCUCUCGUUUUGAAACUAUUUGGCUUUUGAGUUGUAACACUUAAACUUGACGGUCGUCUGCUACUUUGUGAUGCGAUGAUAAAUUCCGCAUGAAGUCAUUCUGCGGACGCCCAUUUCUCAUUAUGCAUGCCAUUAUCUUCGUUAUUCUUAUAUAUGCAUGAUGAAUUGUCUUCGUAAGUCGAGGAGGAUCUCCACAAAGUAAAACCUGCCAUGUGCAUUUGCAUUCAAAAGCAAACUACUUAUAUGCACAUCUUCAGGGGGAGCCUUUUGCAACUUAUGAAGACAAUGACCUUAAUCUUUAACUUUCACAUACUUUUAUCCCCGUUGAAAACUUCAACCAGUUUGUCAUGAAUCACCAAAAAGGGGGAGAUUGUAAGUGCAUCUAGUGCCACCCCUAGUUGGUUUUGGAGUAUUGACGACAAACUUGGUUGAGGGACUAAUGUGUUUGUGAGAAUUGCAGGAUAACACAGGUAGUAGUCCCUUAUUGAUUCGGUUUACCUACCAGAGAUGACCCCUAAAAAUGUGUGAAGACAUUGAAGACAAUGGUGGUUCGUGAAGACAUUCACUUGAAGACUAUGGAGUGCGAAGACAUAGUUGUUUCGUAGUUUCCUUUUCUUCUUUCUUGAGUCAUAGAAACAAUCGUACUAUUAAGUGGGGUCCAAGUGAACAAAGUUAGAAUGACUGAUGUGAUGCUCAACCUAAAUCCUAUGUCCUCGAGCGAAGACAAUGAGAGCAAAUCUUAUCCAGAACUGGAUGAGUCAGCUUUGCUUGUAGCCCAAGUAAAUCUAUCACGUGUGUUUGAAAUCCAACCGUUGGACACGUGUCGGUUCCUUAGUGACCCAGGGUCAUUUCGGACAUAUCAGGUCGGGUUGCCUCCUGGCUAUAAAUAGCCCACCCCCUACACCAAAAAUUGGUGGUUGCUCAGAGUUAGUGCACGGCUUUUGUCGUUUGAGAGCAACCCACCUGCGAAGCCUUUGAGAGAGAGAUCCUUGCGAGGACAAGGCCCAAAACACCCAGAGCCAAAGAGUGUUAGGCAUCACUGAAGUCUUUCUGUCUACGUGACCUGAAGACUUGUUACACUUGAGGAUUGUGUAUCCUCCAGCCGGUUAGGCAUCGCGUUCUGAGCAUCCAAGAGUCAUUGUGGAUUGCCGAUGAACAAAGUCUGUGAAGGUCUGGAAGUCUACCUUGAAGACUUACUAGAGUGAUUGGGCGAGGACUGGGUGUCCUUAGAUCAAGGGGAAUAAGGUGAAGACGCGGUCUUCUGAGUAAAAUCUUAGCCUCCUUGAUACGUCCAUUUUGCAUCAUGUUUUCUUGCUGUUAUUUAUGAUGUUUUUAUCCAUAAUAAUGCUUUUUGGAGUAAUUCUAAUGCCUUUUCUCUCAUAAUUUGCAAGGUACACAUCAAGAGGGAGAAUUCUGGCAGCUGGAAAUCUGGACCUGAAAAAGCUACGUCAGGCUACCUAUUCUGCACAACUCCAAACAAGCUGAAACUUCACGGAGAGUUUUUAUGGAAUAUUUAAGAAAUAUUGGAGCAAAUAACUACCAGAGGGGGCCCAUCAGGUGGGCACAACCCACCUGGGCGCGCCAGGGAGCCCAGGCGCGCCCUGCUGGGCUGUGCCCUCCUCGGCCCACCUCCAGUGCCCAUCUUCUGGUAUAUAAGUGUAAGUGCAUCUAGAGCCACCCCUAGUUGGUUUUGGAGUAUUGACACAAACCUGGUUGAGGGACUAACGUGUUUGUGAGAAUUGCAGGAUAACACAGGUAGUUGUCCCUCAUUGAUUCGGUUUACCUACCGGAGAUGACCCCUAAAAAUGUGUGAAGACAUUAAAGACAAUGGUGGUCUGUGAAGAUAUUCACAUUGAAGACUAUGACAUGAGAAGACAUCGCAUGAAGACUAUGGAGCGCGAAGACUUAGUUGUUUUGUUGUUUCCUUUUCUUCUUUGUUGAGUCAUAGGAACCACCGCACUGUUAAGUGGGGUCCAAGUGAACAAAGUCAGAGUGACUGAAGUGAUGCUCAACCAAAUCCUAUGUCUUCGAGCGAAGACGAUGAGAGCAAAUCUUAUCUAGAGGCGGAUGAGUCAGCUUUACUUGUAGCACAAGUCAGGCUGCCGCGUGUGUUUGAAAUCUGACCGUUGGAACACGUGUUAGUUCCUUAGUGACCCAGGGUCAUUUCAGACAAAUCAGGUCGGGUUGCCUCCUGGCUAUAAAUAGCCCACCCCCUACACCAUAAAUUGGUAGCUGCUCAGAGUUAGUGCACGGUUUUUGUCGUUUGAGAGCAUCCCACCUCUGAAGCAUUUGAGAGAGAUAUCCUUGCGAGGACAAAGCCCAAAACACCCAGAGCCAAAGAGUGUUAGGCAUCACUGAAGUCUUUCUGUCUACGUGAUCUAAAGAAUUGUUACACUUGAGGACUGUGAAUCCUCCAGCCGGUUAGGCGUCGCGUUCUGAGCAUCCAAGAGUCAUUGUGGAUUUCCGGUGAACAAAGUCUGUGAAGGUUUGGAAGUCUACCUUGAAGACUUACCAGAGUGAUUGUCGGGGGUUGGGUGCGACAUAUGCCAUAGGAUGGCUUAUCAUGGUGGGAGCGAGUAGAACAUCGCUGGUGCCUGGAAGCGGGAUGAGGCGUAGACACGUACACCGGCGAACUUUACCCAAGUUUGGGGCUCUCCGUGGAGAUAACACCCCUAGUCCUGCUUUGCGGGGUCUCUGCAUGAUCACUAAGGCACUAGUGGUACAAUGGUGCUCCUUGAGCUGUUUGCUAGAGGUGGAAGAAGGCAGGCACGCUCUCUCCUUCUCUAGGUAUGAGUCUAGUUCUAACAGGUUCGAACCCUUUGCAUGGGUGCCCUGGGGGGUUUAUAUAGGCCUAGCCCCCCCCAGGGGUACAUUGGUAAUCUACCGGGUGUAGGACCCGGCUGUCAGUGUCUCUGGCCGCCGGCAUCUUCGCCGGCUGCUGGGGCCCGCCGCCUGGUGGGUGUCGGUGUCAAAACUGGCGGAUCUCGGGUAGGGGGUCCCGAACUGUGCAUCUAAGGCGGAUGGUAACAGGAGGCGGGGGACACAAUGUUACCCAGGUUCGGGCCCUCUCGAUGGAGGUAAUACCCAACUUCCUGCUUGAUUGAUCUUGAUGAUAUGAGUAUUACAAGAGUUGAUCUACCACGAGAUCGUAGAGGCUAAACCUUAGAAGCUAGCCUAUGAUUAUGGUUGUUGUUGUCCUACGGACUAAACCCUCCAGUUUAUAUAGACACCAGAGGGGGCUAGGGUUACACAGAGUCGGUUACAAGGGAGGAGAUCUACAUAUCCGAAUUGCCAAGCUUGCCUUCCACGCAAAGGAGAGUCCCACCCGGACACGGGACGAAGUCUUCAAUCUUGUAUCUUCAUAGUCCAACAGUCCGGCCAAAGUAUAUAGUCUGGCUGUCCGAGGACCCCCUAAUCCAGGACUCCCUCAGUAGCCCCUGAACCAGGCUUCAAUGACGAUGAGUCCGGCGCGCAGAUUGUCUUCGGCAUUGCAAGGCGGGUUCUUCAUCCGAAUACUGCAUGGAAGAUUUUGAACACAAGGAUAGUGUCCGGCUCUGCAAAACAAAUUCCACACACCACUGUAGAGAGCAUAAUAUUUCCACAGAUCUAAUCUGCUGACAACUUUUUAUAACAUGACAUCCUGCCGUGGUCCGGUCAUUACGAACCGUUUUCCCAGCCUGCCACCGCACGUGUUGCGAGGCGGUUUUCUUGGCACGUCUUGUCGAAGCAGAGAUCGUGUUCCCCUUAUCACGGGAUUCUCAUCAAUACAGGUGUGGGUAACCCAAUCGGGCCCGCUGGUACGACUCCUCGAUUUUAGGCAAGUUCCAAACGGCCACGCGGAGGAUGCUUGAUAUUCACCCUCUUUAUAAAGGGGCCAAGGCCCGUCCUUUUCUUCUCGCGCUCGAUCCUUCCCUUCCCCCACCUCGAAUUCCAACACCCAAGGCUCAGGCUAAGCGCUUCGGACCUUCAAUCAUGUCCGGAUCCAACCUUCAAGGCCGGUGGAUGGCCUCCUCUGUCACAGAGGAGGACAUCAAGAAGCUAAGAGAAGCCAGGUAUCUGACCGCCGAAAUCUCGCACAGGCUGCCUGCUCAAGGGCAGGUCAUCCCCACUCCCGAACCCAACGAGAGUGUCGUAUUUGUUUCCCACUUCCUCCGAGGGCUGGGUUUUAGUCUUGAUCCCUUUGUUAGAGGGCUUAUGUUGUAUUACGGGCUCGAUUUCCAUGAUCUGGCUCCGGAUUCCAUCCUUCACAUCUCGUCGUUCAUCGUUGUGUGUGAGGCCUUCCUCUGCAUCACCCCACAAUUCAGCUUAUGGCUCAUGACCUUCAAUGUGAAGCCGAAGAUGACCGAUGGGCGACACGCAGAAUGCGGAGGUGCCAUAAUAAGCAAAGGCGCCGAUGCCCCAUGGCCAAAGGGUUCCUUCCUGAAGACGUCCGACUUAUGGCAGCGGGAGUGGUUUUACAUCACAGCUCCCCGAAGUACUAAGUGGGUAUCUGCCCCCGUCUUCCGUUCGGGCCCCCCGCCACAACUGGCAUCAUGGGUCAACAAGGGGCUGGACUGGGGGCCAGUUAAUGACGUGCCGACAUUGAAGAUUCGUAUCCGGGAUCUCCUCGAGAGAGAUGUCAGCCUUGUCAAGGUAAUGCAAGUCAUGCUAGUUCGUCGGGUCCUGCCAUGCCAACGUCGACCUCUCCGUAUGUGGGAGUUCAACCCGGAAGGACCGCGAACUAUUCAGCAAUUCUUCGGCGUGACGCUCGAAGGGAUGUAUGGAUUGUUCUUCGGAUCACGAAUAAAGUGUCCGGACACCACCGAGGAUGCGGGUCUAAACUGCAAUCAUCCAGAUACCCACGUAAGUAAUUCUGCGGCCGAACAUGCUGUCUUUUCAUUUUUCAUAACAUUAUUCUGAAAAAAUUGCUCUUGGCCAGGACUGGAUAAGAAAGCGAAGAUGAUCAGGUGUUCAACCCCCCUUCCCGAGGGCUCACCGGAUCCUGUACUAGCCAGGAUGCUUGAGCUCGCACCUUAUCAAGUGCCAUCAAGGGAAGAUAAAGGGAGGAAUAAAGAAGCUGAAAGCUGGCCUCACGCAUUACUCAUCCAAACCGGGGGAAUUAGUGUCUCCGCGAAGGAGGAUAAUCGGGGGGAAGAAUCUGAAAUUCCCUCUCCCCAAGGAAGGAAAAGGACCGCCUCUGAAGACUUGGAAACAAGGGUUUCCAAACAAGGGAAGAAACCUUUGCCAGGGGGCCCUGCCCCGGAGGGCAUCCUUACCGCACAGUGCCCGCAAGGGGAUCAGCCCUCCACCGAGCUGUAAGUGAACAAGAGUACUUUUGGUAAAUAUAUCCUGCUUCGUCUCCGAGGACAAUAACCAAGAUGUGUGUCUUGCAGUUCGGAUCAUAACCCUUCUCGACAGAGUUCGUCUUCGGGGGAUCUUCUUCCAGAGAUGAUGGACAGCGAAACGCCUCCCCCUGUCUCCUCGCCUCAUGGAGCGGAUGACCCUGAGGUGUCGUCACGGAGGAUUUCUCCUGAUCCGCCAAGGCUGAAAGGUAACCCUUCGGCCACCCGAAGUCCGGAGUAUUCGGCUCCUAAGGAGAGCAACAGAAAGAGUCCGGGACUGUCCGGUGCACGACCGGACGCACUGAUGGGUCUUCUGGAGCAAGCGGCUAUCUCAGAGGCGCAUCGUACUUUAAUGGGUACGGUGGUUGAAAGGAUUUCAUCCGCCGAAAGUGGGUUGCAUGAAGCUUUUAUGAGCCUGCUAAAAGGAUUUGAGGUACGCAAAGUAAUAUAUAUAUAUAUAUAUAUUUGACGGUACCGCACACGCUAGCUGUGCCCUGUACAGAUAGUAGCCCCUGAGACUUUGGUUGUUGUCUAGAGGCGGCAAACAGAGGAUCAUAGUCCCAGGUAAUGAUCAUGCUGCUCACAUGUGCAGGCGGCUGAGGGUCCGGUGGCUGGCCGGACUGGUGAGUUUGCCGAACUGAGGCGGCAGCUGGAUGCGGCAGAUGCUGACAUUGUGCUUGUGAACAAGCGGCUUGAUGAGGCACAGGGUAUGUAUUCUCCGGUGGUCAACAGAUAUUAAGAGGAGCAUGAUGCUAGUAUCUAUAACAUGUUGUGACUGCAGAUGGAGCUGCCGUCGUGGAGACCCUUCGGGCGGAGCUUGCCCAAGCCAAGGAACAAGCCAGGAGAAGUGAUGCGGCCGCCCUAAAGGCGGCCGAAGUGUUAAGAGCCGAACAGGCUGCUCAUCGUCAGAGCGAAGAUAAAAUAGCCAAGAUGGCUGUUGAGCUGAAGGAUGCCGCCGACCGGUAUAAGCUUCUUGAAAAGGAAAGCCAAGCGAAGGCGACGGACCUGAAGAAAGCCAUGGUAGCAGCCAAGGAAACCCGCUCUAAGAUCAGAGCGGCGAAGGAGGAGCUUCGUCAAGCCGGAGAUAUGACGGCUGGGAAGCCCUUUUUGUUGCGGACGAGGUUUGGAGAUCCGAAGUUUGCCCCUCUAGAUCAAUUAUGGAGUGCUGCAGACGCGUACUUGGACUUGGCAACGAGUGCUGCUGAUGCGACUGAGUUUUUCAAAGAUCAAAAAGAUCACGAAGUGGAAAAGUUGUUCUGGUCGCAGUUCAGUGCUCCAACGCGUCCGCUGCUGUUAAAUGAGCAAAUGGCCGAGUGGGCUGAGCUUCAUAGGUUGUCCGGGCUUGCCAUGAGGUCUGUCGUUGAUCAUCUUUGGCCGGAAGGGCCGAGGCCGAAUAGUUAUUUUGGUUUAGUGCAACGAUUCCUUGGUGCCGUGCCGCAUAUUGACGCUGUAAAGAGGUCGGCGUGCAUAGAGGGUGCGUGGAUGGCUCUUGCCCGUGUUAAGACAUACUGGGCAGAGAUGGAUGCCACCGCUAUUGCAACCUAGGAUCCGGCCGUAGGCCAGGUCUCGGCCGAGCACUAUUUUGAAGAAGUCCUAGAAGGUGCUCGUUUAAUAGAGGCUCAGUGCUCGAAGAGUAUCAUGUUCGAGUGACAUGUAUCCCAAUUGUAAAAACAAUGCUAUUUGGAUUAUAAAGGUUGUGUUUAUACUUUUGCCUGAAAGUAUUAUGAUGCCUCCUGUGCGGCCGUUUAUGUAUGUAUAUAACCUGAAAGUUUGCACUCGUCGGCUUCAGCCCCCACUCAUAUAAUGCGGGGGUGUUCGGAAAAGCGCGUAUUCACACUUGAUCCAACGUCUUGGUCCACUAAGGAGGUGAUGGCGUGGCGAACAAGGCAAUCGAACUAUAUAGCUUUAACACUUUCACUUAGCCAUAGGAGUUUGACGGUGGGGCUACUAUAUAGCCCCUGGUACUUCCGCGCUCAUCCAGAUACGGGGCGCGUACAUACAUGACCAGGAAACCAGCCCUUCGUUAAUGUGGAGGAAUCACGAAGAUUCCACUGAGUCAUCGAGUGGUUGACCAGUCUCGCGCUUUAUCAUGACAGUCGGUUUUCGGCUUUCUCUACUGAGGUGCUCGUCCAGAUGAACCAGGGCAGAAUCGCAGUAGUUCUCCCGGUGCCACCUUAGCCGAUAGAGCGGAACAUAAGGUAGCAAAACACGGGAGUCGGGCAAACUCAACUAUUGACCAAAGACAUGAUUCGGAGUUGAUGCAUAUAAGGCCAAACUCGCGACGCCGAACACUCCCUAAGGUAUUCGGACUUUACAACAUAUACUGGGCUGAGUAACACCCUCGAUAAUGAGCCCUGAAUUUCCAGGUACGUGCAUUAGUCUGACGUGACGAAAUACCAAUAACGCCAGCAUCCCUCUCGGUUGUGUUGAGUAUCCGGAGGGUAUGAAGCAACAAGAGACAGUAAAAAAGGUUUACACAGGGUCUUAAUCUAAAAAGAAACCUUUGAGCGGGGCCCUGCUGCACGUCUGCGCCUGUGUCUCCGUUGUGCCGUAUCCUGGAAGGGUGUAGCACGAUUAUCAUCUGUAAAAGAGAAAAACCCAUGUGAAAGUCUUCGUGCGAAAAAAUUGGUUAUUCUUAAUGAACCAUUAAAAUGUAAUCCAAAUAGGGCCAAGCCGAACUGUAGUCCUUUUUACAUGCGGGAAGCCCCUAGUACCACCUAUGGGGGUAUAUCCAUCGACCCAACCUCAGGUUUAUCUAAGCUGUUACAGCUAGUGGUGCGCCGGACUCGUCUAUCCGUGUUCCGCGGUCUUGACGACCGAUCAUUUAUUCUGGGUGGAGAUGCCGUUCAGCGUUCGACUGCUAGAGCCGCCACACAUUCCUCCGCAUGUAAGGAUCGCUCUGUGUUUCCGCUAACUAUGAUGAUGCCACGUGGACCGGGCAUCUUAAGCUUAAGAUAAGCAUAAUGCGGUACUGCAUUAAAACGAGCAAAUGCCGUUCUUCCGAGUAGUGCUUGAUAGCCGCUUCAGAAUGGAGUGAUGUCGAAGGUUAACUUUUCACUUCGGAAGUUGUCGGGAGAACCGAAUACAACCUCUAGUACUAGAGAGCCCGUGCAGCGGGCCUCUGGGCCUGGUAUUACUCCUUUAAAGGUAGUAUUUCUUUGGCUGAUUCUUGUCGGGUCUAUCCCCAUUUUGCGGACUGUGUCCUGAUAUAUCAGAUUAAGACUGCUGCCGCCGUCCAUAAGGACUCGGGUGAGAUGGUAUCCGUCAAUUAUUGGGUCCAGCACCAAGGCAGCCGAUCCUCCACGCCGGAUACUAGUCGGGUGAUCCCUGUAAUCAAAAGUGAUCGGGCAGGCCGACCAAGGGUUGAACUUGGGGGUGACGGGCUCCACGGCGCAUACGUCUCGGAGUGCAUGUUUGCUCCUCCUCUUAGUUACGUGAAUCAUGUUCACUGUUUUGACCUCUGGUGGGAAUUUUUUCUGUCCCCCAGUGUUUUGCUGGCGAGGCUCAUCCUCGUCUUCACUUGGUGUCUCCCUCCCCUUGUGUUCGGCGCUUAGCUUGUCGGCCUGCUUGAAGACCCAGCAUUCUCUGUUGGUGUGAUUUGCAGGUUUGUCGGAGGUGCCAUGAAUCUGACAUAAUCUGUCUAGAAUCUUGUUUAGGCUGGACAGUCCAUCUCUGCUGCCUUUGAAUGGCUUUUUCCAUUGACCGGGUCGAGAGCCCCUGAAUCCGGCGUUUAUCGCCGUGUUGUCUAGGAUGUCUUCAUUGUGUCGACGCUUGCUUUUAUUGCGUCGUGGUUUUCCAUUGCCAUCCCUGACUUCGGAUGUGCUUGGGUCGCUGGUGCCGCUACGGGCCAGCCAACUGUCUUCGCCCGCGCAGAAGCGGGUCAUAAGGCUUGUUAGGGCUGCCAUUGUCCUCGGUUUUUCCUGGCCGAGGUGUCUGGCGAGCCAUUCAUCCCGGACACUGUGUUUGAAAGCUGCUAAGGCUUCGGCGUCCGGGCAGUCGACGAUUUGAUCCUUAGUGAGAAAUCUGUUCCAAAGCUUUCGGGCUGACUCUCCGGGCUGUUGAAUUAUAUGACUUAAAUCGUCUGCAUCCGGAGGUCGGACAUAGGUCCCUUGAAAAUUAGCCCUUAAAGCAUCCUCAAGCUCUUCCCAACUUCGAAUUGAGUUUUCAGGGAGGCUUUUCAGCCAGUGCCGAGCUGGGCCCUUCAAUUUGAGGGGCAAGUAUUUGAUGGCGUGGAGAUCAUCUCCGCGAGCCAUAUGGAUAUGAAGGAUAAAGUCCUCAAUCCAGACCCCAGGGUCUGUCGUUCCGUCGUAUGCCUCUAUGUUCACGGGUUUAAAUCCCUCGGGAAAUUCGUGAUCCAGCACCUCAUCGGUGAAGCAUAGGGGGUGCGCGGCACCCCUGUAUUUGGAUGUGUCAUGGCGUUCUGACGGUUGCAGUGUUCGGUUUUGAUUCUGUGUCGGAGCGCGCUUCCUAGAUCCGUAGAUGGACCUGGUCAUACCGGCUUUUUCGAGCAAGUCCUCACAUAAGUCGUGUGCUGACUUAUAUGCGACAUCGUUAGCCGCCCUAUCGCGGCCACGGGGUGGUCGAUUCUGCUGAUCGGCCAUUUUGUUUUUCGGCUGUAUGGGCUCUAGAGCCUCGUCAAUGAAUUCAGGCAGUAGCUUGCGCUUUGGAUAGCUCUUUGUGUGGCGACUGCCACCGUACUUUUCUGCAGUGUCAAGCACUUUGUUCCAUCUACUGAUGAGUGUAUUUUGCGCGGCCUUAAGCCUUUGCUUCUGCUUCUUCAGACUCUCGCGGUGGCAAUAAGCCUUCUGUGGAGGUUCUCUUGUUCCAAGUGCCUUUCCGGGAUGAUGUGUGCAUCGUCAACUAUUCUCCUCUCCAGAGACAGGUUGAUGAUCUUUACCCUCGGUGUCGCCAUGAUCGGACAGCGGCUCCGUACUAUGUUUGCCGUCUGCUGGCUCAUCCUGCUCUGUUGCUUUGGAGUCGAACGGGGUAUUAUUCUUUCUUGCGCUGUUAUCACUGUUUUUGCUGAGGCGGGAUUUGGAGCGGCGCCUACGUCAUUGCUUUGGUUGCUUAUCGAGGGGAUUAUCCUUCGCUGCAUCCUUCCGUUCCUCGUCAUUGUCUUCUUUGGGUGUAUCCACCAUGUAUAUAUCGUGUGAUGAAGUGGCUGUCCAGCGCCCUGUGGGCGGUGGUUCCUGUUCCUCUCCUGCAUCGACGUCCAUACCGUCGAUGUCUUCGAAGCCGAAAUCGAGCAUGUCGGUUAAGUCUUCGACAGUGGCUAUUAAGUGGGUGGUGGGUGGGGAACGAAUUUCUUCAUCGUCCGCUUCCCACUCGAGCCGGACAUAGUUGGGCCAAGGGUCUCCUGACAAGGAGAGAGACCUUAACGAAUUCAGCACGUCACCCAAGGGUGAGUGUUGAAAGAUAUCCGCGGAGGAAAACUCCAUGAUCGGUGCCCAAUCAGAUUCAAUAGGCACGGACGUUGGCGGUUCGAAGCCUAUGGCCGGGGACAAAUCCAAGGGUCCGGCAACACAGGUCUCGCAGGAGGUGAAGUCAGUAUUCGGCUCUAUCGCCGCUGAGUGUGCGGCCUCCGUGGCGGGGUCCAUCCACUCGUCCUCGGACGGCGCGAUCUGCUCCGGAUCGAGGGCCGGAGUUGCCACAGGGGUGAUCUCCCGAACACUGUCCGGCGGCAGUGCUAAAUCAUGCUCGUCGUGACUGUGCGGCGCACCUGACAUGGGCUCGAAUCCGUCGAAGAUCAAGUCUCCGCGGAUGUCGGCGGUAUAGUUCAAACUUCCAAACCUGACCUGACGGCCAGGGGCGUAGCUUUCGAUCUGCUCCAGAUGGCCAAGCGAGUUGGCCCGCAGUGCGAAGCCGCCGAAUAUGAAGAUCUGUCUGGGGAGAAAAACCUCACCCUGGAUCGCAUCGUUGCCGAUGAUCGAAGGAGCCAUCAAGCCUUAUGGUGAUGGCACAGUGGAACUCUCAAUGAAAGCACCAAUGUCGGUGUCAAAACCGGCGGAUCUCGGGUAGGGGGUCCCGAACUGUGCGUCUAAGGCGGAUGGUAACAGGAGGCGGGGGACACAAUGUUUACCCAGGUUCGGGCCCUCUCGAUGGAGGUAAUACCCUACUGCCUGCUUGAUUGAUCUUGAUGAUAUGAGUAUUACAAGAGUUGAUCUACCACGAGAUUGUAGUGGCUAAACCCUAGAAGCUAGCCUAUGAUUAUGAUUGUUGUUGUCCUACGGACUAAACCCUCCGGUUUAUAUAAACACCAGAGGGGGCUAGGGUUACACAGAGUCGGUUACAAGGGAUGAGAUCUACAUAUCCGAAUUGCCAAGCUUGCCUUCCACGUAAAGGAGAGUCCCACCCGGACACAGGACGAAGUCUUCAAUCUUGUAUCUUCAUAGUCCAACAGUCCGGCCAAAGUAUAUAGUCCGGCUGUCCGAGGACCCCCUAAUCCAAGACUCCCUCAGUGGGCCCCACCGACUGGUCUGGUACGGAACCGACAGGCCGCUCCCGCCGCUCGCGGGUCUUGCCGGCUACUGAUCACUGUAGCCGUGAUGCUAAUGAUGUAGGCUUGGUCGGGGGCGUGGCUACAGUCCCGCCGCGUGGUGGGCGAUUACUGUAGCCACACCGCGUCUCAUCUGGUUGAUGGCGCACGAGGCCCGAGGGAGGGAUAAGCCGCCUGCUGGAAGCCGGCUUCCCUCAGGUCCGGCUGCCCUGGCUUCCUUCGUCUUCAGGGCUCUCACUGCCUGGUAGGGCCCGCCGCCUGCAAGCCGUACCGACAGGCCGUCGUGGGAAUAGGGCUCCGCCUGUCAGGAGUGACGUUUGGGGGGAGGGGCAGCAGUGCCGCGUCGUGCGGAGAUCUCCGCCUGUACGGGGCACUGUGGCCACGCCCGGUCCUGGAUUUGGGGGGAUGGGCUACGCUGUAGCCAUACCCUGUCUUGUCUCCUUGAUGAGGGCGCAGACUUUGAGGGCGCCACGGGCCGACUGCUAGGGGCCGGCCUCUCUGGAGGCCGCCCACUAGGAGUCGGCCUGUUGUGAUGUCGUCUUCUAGAACUCGGCCGCCUUUUGAAAGUCGGCCGUUCGGCCAACCGGCCGCCAGAAGGCGGGGAUCUAUCUUGACGUCUUGAGGAGCGCAGCCGGCCCCGAUGUCUUGAAAGGUUCGGGGGCUCGGGUUAGGCUCCCCCUGGCCCAUUACUCCGACAGUAGUCCCCGAAGCUGGUGAGGGGCCACGGUUCGAGGGGCUGGGGAGCCUCAACAGUUUACCGCUCCGGGUGCUAUGAAGGAAGCUCCAUCCGGCUUCUGGGGAGCCGGUCGACAGGAGUCAGAUACGUCCAGUCGAAUCCUUCUGGGAUUUCGAAUGCAUCAGCGGGAACCAGGUGGCGUUCUUGCUAAGCUUCUCUGCCCGCCGCCCGCCGUGGGCGUGCCACAUGGCGCCAGCCAGCCGGGUCAGCCUGCCAGCUGCUACCUCUUGAGCACUGCGUUGGUUUUCCCUUGAAGAGGAAAGGGUGAUGCAGCAAAGUAGCGUAAGUAUUUCCUCAGAUUUUGAGAACCAAGGUAUCAAUCUAGUAGGAGGCUACGCGCGAGUCCCUCGUAGCUACACAAAACAAAUAACUCCUCGCAACCAACGCGAUAAGGGGUUGUCAAUCCCUUCACGGUCACUUACGAGGGUGAGAUCUGAUAGAUAUGAUAGGAUAAUAUUUUUGGUAUUUUUGUGAUAGAGAUGCAAAGUAAAAUAAAAGCAAAGAAAAAAGCAAAGAAAAUAAAUAAGUGUUGGAAGAUUAAUAUGAUGAAGAUAGACCCGGGGGCCAUAGAUUUCACUAGUGGCUUCUCUCAAGAGCAUAAGUAUUUUACGGUGGGUGAACGAAUUACUUUUGAGCAAUUGACAGAAUUGAGCAUAGUUGUGAGAAUAUCUAGGUAUGAUCAUGUAUAUAGGCAUCACGUCCGAGACAAGUAGACCGACUCCUGCCUGCAUCUACUACUAUUACUCCACUCAUCGACCACUAUCCAGCAUGCAUCUAGAGUAUUAAGUUCAUGAAAACAGAGUAACGCCUUAAGCAAGAUGACAUGAUGUAGAGGGAUAAAUUCAUGCAAUAUGAUAAAAAACCAUCUUGUUAUCCUCGAUGGCAACAAUACAUACGUGCCUUGUUGCCCCUACUGUCACUGGGAAAGGACACCGCAAGAUUGAACCCAAAGCUAAGCACUUCUCCCAUUGCAAGAAAGAUCAAUCUAGUAGGCCAAACCAAACUGAUAAUUCGAAGAGACUUGCAAAGAUAACCAAUCAUGCAUAAAAGAAUUCAGAGAAGAUUCAAAUAUUGUUCAUAGAUAAUCUUGAUCAUAAACCCACAAUUCAUCAGUCUCAACAAACACACCGCAAAAAGAAGAUUACAUCGAAUAGAUCUCCACGAGAGAGGGGGAGAACAUUGUAUUGAGAUCCAAAAAGAGAGAAGAAGCCAUCUAGCUACUAACUAUGGACCCGAAGGUCUGAGGUAAACUACUCACACUUCAUCGGAGAGGCUAUGGUGAUGAUGUAGAAGCCCUCCGUGAUGGAUGCCCCCUCCGGCGGAGCUCCGAAACAGGCCCCAAGAUGGGAUCUCAUGGGUACAGAAGGUUGCGGCGGUGGAAUUAGGUUUUUGGCUCCGUAUCUAAUCGUUUGGGGGUACGUAGGUAUAUAUAGGAGGAAGGAGUACGUCGGUGGAGCAACAGGGGCCCCACGAGGGUGGAGGGUGCGCCCUGGGGGGUGGGCGCGCCCCCCUACCUCGUGGCCUCCUCCUUUGUUUCUUGACGUAGGGUCCAAGUCUCCUGGAUCAUAAUCUUCCUAAAAAUCACGUUCCCGAAGGUUUCAUUCCGUUUGGAGCUCCAGAAAAGGCCCCAAGAUGGGAUCUCACGGGUACAGAAGGUUGCGGCGGUGGAAUUAGGUUUUUGGAUCCGUAUCUGGUAGUUUGGGGGUACGUAGGUAUAUAUAGGAGGAAGAAGUACGUCGGUGGAGCAACGUGGGGCCCACGAGGGUGGAGGGCGCGCCCAGGGGGGUAGGCGCGCCCCCCUACCUCGUGCCCUCCUGGUUAAUGUCUUGACGUAGGGUCCAAGUCCUCUAGAUCACGUUCGUUCUGAAAAUCACGUUCCUGAAGGUUUCAUUCCGUUUGGACUCCGUUUGAUAUUCUUUCUCUGUGAAACUCUGAAAUAGGCAAAAAACAGCAAUUCUGGGCUGGGCCUCCGGUUAAUAGGUUAGUCCCAAAAAUAAUAUAAAAGUGAAUAAUAAAGCCCAAUAAUGUCCAAAAUAGUAGAUAAUAUAGCAUGGAGCAAUCAAAAAUUAUAGAUACGUUGGAGACGUAUCAGGCAUCCCCAAGCUUAAUUCUUGCUCGUCCUCGAGUAGGUAAAUGAUAAAAACAGAAUUUUUGAUGUGGAGUGCUACUUGGCAUAAUUUCAAUGUAAUUCUUCUUAAUUGUCGUACGAAUAUUCAGAUCCUAAAGAUUCAAGACAAAAGUUUAGUAUUGACAUAAAAAUAAUAAUACUUCAAGCAUACUAACAAAGCAAUCAUGUCUUCUCAAAAUAACAUGGCCAAAGAAAGUUAUCCCUACAAAAUCAUAUAGUCUGGCUAUGCUCUAUCUUCACCACACAAAGUAUUUAAAUCAUGCACAACCCCGAUGACAAGCCAAGCAAUUGUUUCAUACUUUUAAUGUUCUCAAACUUUUGCAAUCUUCACACAAUACAUGAGCGUGAGCCAUGGACAUAGCACUAUAUGUGGAUUAGAAUGGUGGUUGUGGAGAAGACAAAAGGGAGAAGAUAGUCUCACAUCAACUAGGCGUAUCAACGGGCUAUGGAGAUGCCCAUCAAUAGAUAUCAAUGUGAGUGAGUAGGGAUUGUCAUGCAAAGGAUGCACUAGAGCUAUAAGUAUAUGAAAGCUCAACAAAAGAAACUAAGUGGGUGUGCAUCCAACUCGCUUGCUCACGAAGACCUAGGGCAUUUUGAGGAAGCCCAUCAUUGGAAUAUACAAGCCAAGUUCUAUAAUGAAAAAUUCCCACUAGUAUAUGAAAGUGACAAAAUGAGAGACUCUCUAUCAUGAAGAUCAUGGUGCUACUUUGAAGCACAAGUGUGGUAAAAGGAUAGUAACAUUGUCCCUUCUCUCUUUUUCUCUUUUUUUUAUUUGGGCCUUUUCUCUUCUUUUUUAUGGCCUCUUUUUUUCUUCCGGAGUCUCAUCCCGACUUGUGGGGGAAUCAUAGUCUCCAUCAUCCUUUUCCUCACUUGGGACAAUGCUCAAAAAAUGAAGAUCAUCACACUUUUAUUUUCUUACAACUCAACAAUUACAACUCGAUACUUAGAACAAAAUAUGACUCUAUAUGAAUGCCUCCGGCGGUGUACCGGGAUAUGCAAUGAAUCAAGAGUGACAUGUAUGAAAGAAUUAUGAACAGUGGCUUUGCCACAAAUACAAUGUCAACUACAUGAUCAUGCUAAGCAAUAUGACAAUGAUGGAGCGUGUCAUAAUAAAUGGAACGGUGGAAAGUUGCAUGGCAAUAUAUCUCGGAAUGGCUAUGGAAAUGCCAUGAUAGGUAGGUAUGGUGGCUGUUUUGAGGAAGGUAUAUGGUGGGUGUAUGAUACCGGCGAAAAGUGCGCGGUGUUAGAGAGGCUAGCAAUGGUGGGAGGAAGAAAAGUGCGUAUAAUCCAUGGACUCAACAUUAGUCAUAAAGAACUCAUAUACUUAUUGCAAAAAUCUACAAGUUAUCAAAGCAAAGUAUUACGCGCAUGCUCCUAGUAGGAUAUAUUGGUAGGAAAAGACCAUCGCUCGUCCCCGACCGCCACUCAUAAGGAAGACAAUCAAUAAAUAAAUCAUGCUCCGACUUCAUCACAUAACGGUUCACCAUACGUGCAUGCUACGGGAAUCACAAACUUUAACACAAGUAUCUCUCAAAUUCACAACUACUCAACUAGCAUGACUCUAAUAUCACCAUCUUUAUAUCUCAAAACAAUUAUCAAGCAUCAAACUUCUCAUAGUAUUCAACACACUCAUAAGAGAGUUUUACAAAUCUUGAAUACCAAGCAUAUUUGGAUUGUUUAAGCAAAUUACCAUGCUAUUUAAGACUCUAAAAAUAAUCUAAGUGAAGCAUGAUAGAUCAAUAGUUUCUAUAAAACAAAUCCACCACCGUGCUCUAAAAGAUAUAAGUGAAGUACUAGAGCAAAACUAUAUAACUCAAAAGAUAUAAGCGAAGCACAUAGAGUAUUCUAACAAAUUCCAAAUCAUGUAUGGCUCUCUCAAAAGGUGUGUACAUCAAGGAUGAUUGUGGUAAACUAAAAAGCAAAGACUCAAAUCAUACAAGACGCUCCAAGCAAAACACAUAUCAUGUGGUGAAUAAAAAUAUAGCUCCAAGUAAAGUUACCGAUGGAAGUAGACGAAAGAGGGGAUGCCUUCCGGGGCAUCCCCAAGCUUUGGCUUUAUGGUAUCCUUAGAUUAUCUUGGGGUGCCAUGGGCAUCCCCAAGCUUAGGCUCUUGCCACUCCUUGUUCCAUAAUCCAUCAAAAUCUUUCACCCAAAACAUGAGAACUUCACAACACAAAACUCAACAGAAAUCUCGUGAGCUCCGUUAGCGAAAGAAAACAAAAGACCACUUAAAGAUACUGUAAUGAACUCAUUAUUUAUUUAUAUUGGUGCUAAACCUACUGUAUUCCAACUUCUCUAUGGUUUAUAAACUAUUUUACUAGCCAUAGUGUCGGGUGGUUGGUGCGACAUAUACCAACGGGUGGCUUAUCAUUGUGGGUGCCAAUAAGACGUCGCCGGUGCCUGGAAACGGGAUGAGGCGAAGACAUGCACGCCGGCGGAUCUUACCCAGGUUCGGGGCUCUCCGAGGAGAUAACACCCCUAGUCCUACUCUGCGGGGUCUCCGCAUGAUCACUAGAUCAGUAAAAGUAGCUACAAUCACUCCUAGAGCUGUUGGGUUCAAGGGAGAAGAAGAACAAGGCUAGCUCUCACUUCUCUCUCUCUAUGGUGUGUGUGCUAUGCUCAGAAGCCAACCCUUUGCAUGGGUGUCCCGGGGGGUUUAUAUAGGCCUACCCCCCGGGGGUACAAUGGUAAUCCGGCUGGGCACUGGUCCCAGCCGUCAGUGUCUAAGCUCGCCGGCUUCUCCGCCGGCCGUUGGGGCCCGCCGACUGGUGGGUCCCGCCGGCUGCCGGCCUCUUGGUCGACAGGCCGGCCCCACCGCCAAGGGUCUUGUUGGCGGCUGCUUACUGUAGCCUCGCCUCUGAUGACGAGGGCUUCGUCGAGGUAAGUGUGGCUACAGUGUGCCGCCUCGAGGGCUCUCACUGUAGCCUUACCUCGUCUUGUCUCCUUAAUGUGGCUCCUGCUUCGAGGGAGGGGGUAGCCGGCUUCUGGGGGCCGGCUAUGCCCUGGGCCGACUGGGGGAGGCCGGGCCGCCUCCGCGCUUCUCUCUGGCCGAGGGGACCCGCCGCCCGUGGGCCGUACGGGAGUCUGUCGCGGAUGACGUUGAGGCUAGCAUGGCUACAGUGCCGAGCCGAACGGGAGAGGGCCGUCCCGUACGGCCUCCUGUGGCCAUGCCUGCCUAGGUCUUCGGGGGUAGUGGGUCGCACUGUGGCCACACCCCGUCUUGUCACCGUUAUGUGGGUGUAGCUUUGGUGGUUGUGGUCUCGGCCGGCUUCUCGGAGUCGGCGCUCUUCGAGGCCGGCUUCCUGGAGUCGGCCACCCUGCGGAUAUCCUGGGGGGGAGGUUGCUGAGGCUGGGCCUUCUCCCGUGAGUCGGCUUCGGUGGUAGCCGGCCAGGGGAGGUGGUCCAAUGCUCGGAGUGCUUGGAGGCCCAAAGGCUUGAUAAUUUUUCAAAAGAACCAGGGGCAGUCGGUUAGGCUACCCGUGGCCGUUUACUCUGACAGUAGUCCCCGAAGCUGAUUGGGCUUCGAGGUUGGGUAGGAGUUGAGAAGCUCGAUCAGCUUCCUAUCUUGACAAGCCGGCAGCUGGGAGCCGGCUUUGGUUAGGCGUGCCGCCUUGGCCAAAAACUCCGGAGUCGGAGGGCGGGAGCUCGCCAGUGCGUGCACCGGGCCGCGGGCCGGCCGCUUGCCGUCUGCGAACCACGUGGCCCCUCUUGGCCGGAAAGCCUGCCAGCCCACGCGCGCGACGGGACGUCGCCGCAGGGCGGGGGCCCACCACGUCCACGCCCGGGCCCAGGCGCGGAUUCUCUGCAUCCCGAAACCGCCCGCACGUCUCCUUGCAGCAGUUUCGGCUCGCCUUUAGGGCGUAAUAAUCGCGAGGCGUGGGGGGAAUGGGUGCAGUUAAUCCCACGUCUCCCCCACGCCCGGCCUCGCCUCGCGAAGCUAUAAGUAGGGGGAGAUGGAGGGCGGCAGGCCCUCGCACGCUCCUCCUCCUUCCACCAUCUUAUUUCGCUUGCCGUUUCUUGCAACAGCGCCUCACCGCCGCGCUCUUCCACCACACGUUCCUCCGCCGCCGCGCUUGUUUUCGCCAUGCCUCCCGCCAUGGAGCAGUAUGGCGGGGAUUGGGACGGCUCCAACGUCCACGAAGAUCACGUCGAGUUCCUCCGCAAUACGCGGCGGCUGCCCGGCGCGGACAAGGUGGAGGUCCGUCUUGCGCCGGUGAAGGAAAUUACGCCGGAGCCGCGGGAGGGCGAGCGGGUGGUCUUCCGCUCGCAUUUCUUGCGCGGCAUCGGCCUGCCAGUGAGCGCCUUCUUCCGCUCCUGGCUCGAUUUCUACCAGCUCCAGCCGCACCACCUCACCCCAAACGCGGUGGUGCUGCUGUCAGCCUUCGUCACCCUGUGCGAAGGCUACCUCGGCGUCCUCCCUACCCUCGAGCUCUGGGGGGAGUUCUUCCAGUCCAAGCUGGGCACGCGCAUGCAGGGCGUGCCGGCUCAGACUGGCGCCUUCAUCGCGUCGCGGAGGUCGGUCGCCGACAACCCCUUCCCUGUCAUCACGCUGAUCGAAUCGGUGAAGAAGUGGCAAAAGUCGUACUUCUACGUGCGGAACAUCGCCCCACGGGGCGACUACAUCAACCUGCCGGCUUACGUAGCCGGCCCACCGGCGGGCAGGCGGCCCCAGUGGUCCUUCCGGGCCGUGACUCUGACGCCGGCUGGGUCCGCAGCCGUCGCCCGAGUACGAGUGAUGACCCAGUCGGAGGGCCUGACGGGGCCCGACCUUCUGGCCGCCUUCGUCACGCGUCGGGUUCUUCCGCUCCAGAGCCGUCCUCAUCUGAUCUGUCAGAUGAGCGGCCAGCUCGAUCCGAGCCGGAUGUGCACCAAGGACAUGCCGCACGAGGAGGUCGCCUAUAUGGUGAACUACCUCGCGAACUGCAAACUCUCUGAAGAGUGGCAGUUCGGCAAGGAGCCAUACAGCCGGGCCAAUCCACCGCCCACGGUAUGCUCUCCUUGUUUCUUCUUUUUCUCUUAACUUUGUUGCCGAGUUCCUCUUGGCCGACUCUAACUUAGUCGGCUUGUUUUUCGACAGAGCCCUCUUCUUCGGCCGGCCGGUGGGUCAGACACGGAGCGUCGAUUCGUCCCCGACCGGACGGAACACGAUCUGGAGGACCCUGACUUGGGGGCAGCCGCUAUGGACGACAACAUCGAGCCGGGUGGUGGACAAGCCAGCGGCGAAGCAGGCGGCUCCGGGCAUAGAGUCACCUUCGACGACUGGCCGGACGACGAUGAGGCCGAAGUCGCCCCGCGCCGCCGGCCGGCAUCUGGACGCGGCGCGGGUUCCUCCGCUGCACCGCCUGCUCGGGGCGGAGGGCAGAAGCGUCGCGCCGCCCAGGGUUUGUUCGGCAGUCGGACGAAGAAACCCAGGGGCGGGGCGGCAGCAACCAGGCGGGAGGAGGCGGCCGCGAAGGCGGCUUGCUUUCGCAAGACGGUGAAGCAACCGCAGACCGUGUCGGCGUAAGUUCGAAUUUUUUUGUAUACUCUUUUUCUUUCUUUUCUCUGGUGGUUCCUGAACCCUUGUCUUUUUCUCCAAACGAUCAGAGCUCCGUUGUCGCUUGAGCGGGCGGCUGCCGCCUCCGUCGUCGAGUCGCCGAGGGGGUCUGGGAGCACCACUCGCCGCGUGGACCCCCGUGCCGACCUUCAGGAAGCGACAGAACGGAAAGCGCGGGAGGCGCGGGAGGAACGGGAGGCGCGAGAGGCGGAGGCACAGAAGGCGGCGCAGGAGGAAGAGGCGGCGAAGGCGCUCGCCGACGCCGCAGCCAAGGCCCAAGCGGAGGCUGCAGCCGCUGUGGCGGCAGAGGAGGUCUUGAUGGUCACCCCGCUGCGCGUCGUAGCGCCUGGGGACAUGGAGCCCUCGCCAGAAGGGGCCAGCAGCGACCAGCCAGGACUUGAGAGGGACGACAACGUCGUCGUCCUGGAGAGGGCGCCGGUGCCGACCCCGCCAACUGGGGCGGCUCAAGGCGGCCGGCCUGAUCUGCCGCCUGCGCAGUCGGCGGGGGGCGAGCCGGCCGCGAGGACUGAGAUGGCGGUCCGGAUGCCGCCGAGCCGUCGUGCGGGGAAGGCUGCGUCGGAGCCACAGAAGGCCCUGUCGGAGCCGCAGCCGGCCGCGGGCUCCAGCUCAUCGGCCCGGGAUGUGGAGGUGGCCAGCGCUACCUCGGGGUGGACGCCAGGCGGAGGGAUAGCCGUGAUGAACGUGGCCGCGCAGGACGUCUGAACCCGGCUUCAGGCCCAGGCUACGGCGCUGAGGCAGUUCACCGACGAGUUCCUUGCGACGCGGGCGGCCAUCCGGGUUAGUCUUCCCAUCUUGCUUCUUCUUGAUCUUGAUUUCUUCUUGAUCUUGAUUUCUUCCGUGGGGGCGCGUCAGCACACCCACUGGGUGUAGUCCCCGAGUUCCGAGUCGGCUGCUGAGCAAGCGGCUUGGAACUUCUUAGUGGAUUUGUCUUUGCUAUUCUUGUUCUUACUUCGAUCUUCUGUCUAUCUUGCAGGACUACCACAAUCUUCGUGCGGCCGCCUUCAACUCCCAGGCUCGGGAGCUGACCCAGAAGACCGCCGACCUUACUGAGAGCCGAGGUAUGUGCUUUGUUCUUUAUCUCAUGUGGGGGCGCGUCAGCGCACCCACUGGGUGUAGUCCCCGAGAUUCGGGCCGACUGCUGAGCAGUCGGGUCGGAUCUUCCUUGACGACUUCCUCUUACUGUUCUUUCUUUUUCUGCCGUCUCUGCAGCGGCCAACGCCGGUCUGAGGGCACAGCUGGGGGAGUCUCAGACUGCCCUUCGUGCCAAGGAUGCCGAGCUCGCCGCCUUGGUGCAGGAACGCGACCGCCUGGCCAAGAAGUUGGCCGGCCAGGAGGAAGGCUACAAGGCGGCUCUGAAGGCGGUGCAGGACCGCGAAGCCGCCCUCCAGGCCGAGUACGAGACGGAGGCGGCUGGCUGGGCUGAGGCCAGGCAAACUCUGAUAUCUGGCUAUGGUCAGAUCGAAGAUCUGGUUGACGGUAAGCCGCCUACCUCUUCGUCCUUUCUUGCCAUCUGCCACUUUUGGCUCGUUUUCUGACUUGGUGCUCUUUUCUUCUUUUCUUCUUCUUUCUUGCGCAGAAUAUUUCCCUGGCUAUUCUACCGCCGCCAACCAGACCAUCGAGGCCCGCCGCCAGGCGCGGAGGCAGGCUGGCUUCGAGAUAUCGCCAACCGCCGGCCGUUCGCUGGAGGAGCAACUCUUGGCGAUCCAGGCCCGCAUCCAGCCGGCUCACCGACUGCUCCGCCGGCUUCAGCGUGCCGGGGCGCAAGUCUUGGCCGCCCUCUAACCCGGCCAAGUGGUUCCUCGCACCCCCAGUCGGACUGCCGACUGGCUGGAGGUGGCAGUCGGUCGCUUCGAAGCCUGGAAGGCCUCGACGGCUCGAUCCGGCGCCAGGCGGGCGCUGGAGUUCGUCAAGGCCUAGUAUCCCGGCCUGAGCCUGGAUCAGCUGGCUACCUGGCGGCAGCAAGCCGACACGGAGCUGGAGCCGGCGCGGCCGGCUAUCAUCCGGCGGGCUUCGGCGAUCGCCGACUACACCGACACCAGCGUCUUCGCCCCCGAGGUGGAUGACAACGGUGUCGCCCAGCUGGAGGAGUGGUUCGGGCUGAACCCGGCGGACGGUGAAGACUCGGCGGAGGAGAUCGACUCCAGCGACGAGGGCGAAGAGGAGGAGGAGGAGGGUGAAGACGCCGAGUCGGCUGGUGGAGCAGCCGACCAGCCUCAGCCUGACCACGCCUCCAGCACCACGUCACGCGCGAGUGCGUCGCCCGCGACUGGUGGUGACCAGGCCGAGACCCGCUAGGCGGCCACUCCUUCAGCCGGCGAUGCCGUCUCCACCGACCAGCCUGGCUCCCGCACUGCGCCCUAGUCUAGUCUGCCAUCUUUUGUUUUCCUGUUUUGUCACUUUUGGAACAAUACUUUGUUAAGUCUGCACAAUUCCACCCACUGGGGGUGUAUUCGAACUUAUGUCCGUAGCCAGCCUGUUUGGGGCUUUAUAUGUAUAUAUAACUUAUGCAUGCAUUUGGCUUUUCCUCGUACUUUGCUUUUUAUCCUCCGGCUGUUUCCUUUGUCGCCCUCCCUUGGUUGCCGCCUCCCCAGUCAGACAGUUGCUCUGCAAUCUGUAGCUGGAGGAGUACUUGGCCAAUUGGGAGGGCAAGUACUCUAGCUUUGCUGGAUUAGAGCUAAGUGUUUAGGAGACCGGCCAGCCGGCUGCUCUGACAGCCGGCAAGCGUGCUUGGAGGCCGUCUUUUUGCUAUAUAAGUUCGUUGGUCCUUAGCCGUUUUUCGUGUGGGCAUCCUUUCUGCCUUCUCUCUUGUUAGUCGGACAGUCGGUUCUUCGAGCUGCGACUUUCAACAAGAGAGGACUCGGGAGCCGGCACACUACUUGUUUGACUUCAGGUAGAACUUUUAAUACAGCUUAAGGCGGCCAGUCCCCAGGCCGACUAGUCGAACCCGGUGCCAGACAAGAAAUCAAAUGUAAUAAUACAUUCAUGGAUAUGACACUUGUCAUUCAUAGAUAAACAAAGGCAGUCCCCGAGUACUGUUCGGGGGGCCUGUUGGUUUGUACUUAAUACAAAAGGGUAGCAUGAUACAUACUGCUUUCAACUGUAAAAUCUUCUCAGGAGGUUCGCGUUCCAUGGUCGCUCCGACUCCUUGCCGGAGUCGUCUCUCUUGCGUGCUCUUGGUUUUUGCGCGUCGAUCAAGUAGUAGGAGUCGUUGCCGAGUGCCUUGCUGAUGACGAAGGGGCCUUCCCAAGGGGCCGAGAGCUUGUGCUGGCCGGCUGUUCGCUGGAUCAGCCGGAGCACAAGGUCGCCCUCUUAGAUGGAUCUUGGCUUGACCUUGCGGUUGUGGUAGCGGCGCAGCCCUUGCUGGUAGAUGGCGGACCGGCUGAGUGCUAACAGCCGGCCUUCUUCCAGUAGGUCGACGCCGUCUUCUCUUGCUUCCUUGGCCUCCGCCUCGUGUACAUGGUGAUCCGAGGCGAGUCGAACUCGAUGUCUGUUGGGAUGACAGCCUCGGCACCAUAUACAAGGAAGAAUGGAGUAAAGCCGGUUGACUUGUUGGGUGUAGUGCGCAGACUCCAGAGGACAGCCGGCAGCUCAUCGAGCCAGCAGCCAGCCGAUCGCUCCAGUGGUACAACCAGUCGAGGCUUGAUGUCGGAGAGGAUGAGUCCAUUUGCUCGCUCGACCUGGCCGUUUGACUGCGGGUGGGCAACGGACGCUAAGUCCAGUCGGAUGCCCUGCAUCACGCAGAAACGUGCCAGUGCUCCUUUGGCGAAGUUCGUGCCGUUGUCGGUGAUGAUGCUGUGCGGCACGCCGUACCGAGUAGUGAUGUCAGUGAUGAAUGUCACGGUAGUCGGCCUGUUCAGCUUCUUGAUCGGCUUUGCUUCGAUCCACUUUGUGAACUUGUCCACAGCAACAAGUAGAUGCGUCAGGCCGCCGCGGGCUGUCUUGAAAGGGCCCACCAUGUCCAGUCCCCAGACGGCAAAAGGCCAGGUGAGGGGAAUGGUCUUGAGUGCAGAAGCCGGCAGGUGUUGCUUGGAACUAAAAACUUGGCAUCCUCUGCAGCUCUUGACUAUUUCUUUAGCGUCCUCCAAGGCAGUCGGCCAGAAGAAACCAUGGCGGAAAGCCUUGGCCACAAGUGAUCUUGAGCUGCGUGGUGGCCGCAUUCGCCUUGGUGGAUGUCCUUGAGGAUUGCCACUCCUUUUUCUGGCUCGACACAAUGCUGGAAGACUCCAGUGACGCUGCGCUUCACAAGCUCUCUGUUGAUUAUUGCGUAUGCUGCGGCUCGUCGUUGCACUAGUCUUGCUGAGAUCUCAUCAGCCGGCAGCUCUCUCCUGACUAGGAACUUGAGGAUGGGCUGGGCCCAUGACGGAGCUGUGACUUCUUCUUCUGUUAAUGUAGCCACCAUGACUCGGGUGGGUGGGUUGGGUGGCGUGGAAUUGGAGUCGGCCACCGCUCCUUGUGUCGUUGCAGUCCCAGGACCGACUGCUGCAGUCCCCGGGCCGGGUUCUGAAGUCUCCGGGCCGGGUGCGACUACAGCAGUCCCCGGGCCAGUUGUCGAAGUCCCCGUGCCGCCUGCGGGUUUUCUCCAGUCGGAUCCGGCUGCAUCUGGCGCAGGCGGUACGAAGAUGGAGUCCGACUCUGGAGACGGCUUGAUGGACGGCUUGAGGAGGCGCUGGAGGGAGACGCCAGUCGGUAUGGCUUGUCGGGUGGAGCCGAUCCGUGCUAGGGCAUCUGCUUGGUUGUUGUCGGCCCUUGGCACGUGGAGGAACUCGCACCCUUCAAAGUAUCCGCUGAUCUGCUGGACGAGGAAUCGAUAGCUCGCCAUGUUCGCGUCCUUGGCGUCCCAGUCGCCAGACGACUGCUGGACCACCAAGUCUGAGUCGCCAUAACACAGGAUCCGGCGUAUGCCGAGUUCCUUGGCCAGCCGGAGCCCAUGCACGAGCGCCUCGUACUCGGCCACAUUGUUGGAGGCGGUGAAGUGGAUCUACAGCAUGUACUUGAGCUUGUCGCCUUUGGGAGAGGUGAGGACGAUGCCGGCUCGCAAGCCGGUGCGCAUCUUGGACCCGUCAAAGUGCAUCCACCAAUGGGUAGAGUCGGGAGCCGGCGGUAGGUACUGGGUCUCGGCCCAGUCGACGAGGAAGUCGGCCAACGCUUGGGACUUGAUGGCGGUGCGGGGUUGGUAGAAGAUCGUGUAGGGCGCCAGUGCAAUGGCCCAUUUAGCCACCCGGCCGGAUGCAUCCCGGCUGCCUAUGAUCUCGGCGAGCGGGGCGGUGCACACGACCGUGAUGGGGUGCUCUUGGAAGUAGGGCUUCAGUUUCUUGGCAGCGAAGUACACCCCAUAGCACAUCUUCUGGUAGUGUGGGUAGUUUUGCUUUGAGCUGGAUAGCACUUCGCUGAGAUAGUACACCGGCCUCUGGACUAGCUGGGCUCGGCCUUCUUCCGGGCGCUGGACCACAACAACAGUACUGAUGACUCGGCUAGUCGCGGCGAUGUAGAGGAGCAUGGGCUCCUUUUCAGUCGGUGCUGCUAGGACAGGCGGAGUGGUCAGCAUUUUCUUCAACUCAUGGAAGGCUUGGUCGGCUUGGUCGUUCCACUCAAAGUCAGUGGACUUCUUCAUGAGUCGGUACAGGGGGAGAGCCUUCUCUCCUAGUCGGCUGAUAAAACGAUUCAGGGAGGCUAAGCAGCCAGUGAACUUCUGCACAUCUCGCAGUUUGGUGGGAAUCUCCAUCCUCUCGAUGGCCUUGAUCUUGACGGGGUUGCAUUCGAUGCCGCCUUCGGAGACCAGGAAGCCUAGCAGCUGGCCGGCUGGCACUCCGAACACGCACUUCUCGGGGUUGAGCUUGAUUUGGAAUCGGCGCAAGUUGGCGAAUGUUUCUUUCAGGUCUUCCAGCAAGGUGCCGCGCUUCUCUGUCUUCACCACAAUGUCGUCUACAUAGACGUGGGCAUUUCUGCCGAGUUGUUUCAAGAGGCAUUAUGCAUGCAACGCUGAAAAGUGGCACCGGCAUUCCUCAAGCCGAAUGUCAUAGUCAGGUAGCAGAAAGCUCCAAAGGGUGUGAUGAAGGCAGUCUUCAGGCGGUCAGCUGGGUCCAACUUGAUCUGAUGGUACCCUGAGUACGCAUCCAAAAAACUUAACAGCUCACAUCCGGCCGUGGAGUCUAUCACUUGGUCAAUCCGUGGCAGAGCAAACGGAUCCUUUGGGCAAGCCUUGUUCAGGCUGGUGUAGUCUAUACACAUACGCCACUUGUUAUUCUUCUUCAGAACCAGAACUGGGUUGGCAAGCCAUUCUGGAAAGAACACUUCCAUGAUAAAGCCAGCGGCAAGGAGCUGGGCUAUCUCUUUCCCCAAAAUUCUUCGCUUCUCUUCUGACAGUCGGCGGAGGGGUUGCUUGACCGGCUUCGCGUCAGCGCGGACAUGUAAUUUGUGCUCGGCGAAAUCCUUCGGGACACCCGGCAUGUCCUUUGGGGACCAUGCAAAAAUGUCUCGAUUCUCACGGAGGAAGUCGAUGAGCUCGGCUUCCUAUUUACUGUCCAAGUUUGCCCCAAUGACAGCGAACCUCUCCGGGUUCUCCGGGUCCAGAGGUAUCUUCUUCGUCUCUUUGGCAGGCUGGAAGGAGCCCUGCGCAUCACGAUCUUUGGGGUUGGGGGACAGGGCCGGCUGCUUGUGUAACGCCCCGGAUCCGUUGCGCCACCUGUCUACCAGUAUUUCGCUGUCAUUGCCAUGUCAUUUGCUUGCGUGUUGCAUUUUGCCAUGUCAUCAUCUGCUUUUCAUAUCAUGUCAUCAUGUGCAUCGCAUUCGCAUACGUGUUCGUCUCAUGCAUCCGAGCAUUUUCCCCGUUGUCCGUUUUGCAAUCCGGCGCUCCUAUCCCCUCCGGUGCACCCCUCUUGUUUUCUUUCGUGUGCGUGUGUCAAACUUUCUCGGAAUGGACCGAGGCUUUUCAUGUGGCCCUAGUAUACCACCCGGAGACCACCGGUCAAGUUUCGUUCCAUUUGGAGGUCGUUUGGUACUCCAACGGUUAACCGGGUAACCGCGAAGUCCGUUUUGGCAUUGCAGCAAAACCCCCCUUCUAACAGUACCAAAACCCCUCUAAGUCUCCGCCAUGCUCUCGGUCGUUCGAUCAUGAUCGCGUGGGCGAAAACCGCACCUCGUUUGGACUCUCCUAGCUCCCUCUACCUAUAAAUAUGCCUCUUCCCCGAAAUCCCGCAGUCCAAAACCCUAAAAUCCUCCCCUCUCCGCACCGAACAUGUCCGUCCCGGACCGGACGAACUGCGCCGCCCACCUCGUCCACUCGCCGCCCGCCACCUGUCGCCUCCGCCGCCUCCCUCNNNNNNNNNNNNNNNNNNNNNNNNNNNNNNNNNNNNNNNNNNNNNNNNNNNNNNNNNNNNNNNNNNNNNNNNNNNNNNNNNNNNNNNNNNNNNNNNNNNNNNNNNNNNNNNNNNNNNNNNNNNNNNNNNNNNNNNNNNNNNNNNNNNNNNNNNNNNNNNNNNNNNNNNNNNNNNNNNNNNNNNNNNNNNNNNNNNNNNNNNNNNNNNNNNNNNNNNNNNNNNNNNNNNNNNNNNNNNNNNNNNNNNNNNNNNNNNNNNNNNNNNNNNNNNNNNNNNNNNNNNNNNNNNNNNNNNNNNNNNNNNNNNNNNNNNNNNNNNNNNNNNNNNNNNNNNNNNNNNNNNNNNNNNNNNNNNNNNNNNNNNNNNNNNNNNNNNNNNNNNNNNNNNNNNNNNNNNNNNNNNNNNNNNNNNNNNNNNNNNNNNNNNNNNNNNNNNNNNNNNNNNNNNNNNNNNNNNNNNNNNNNNNNNNNNNNNNNNNNNNNNNNNNNNNNNNNNNNNNNNNCACCUCCGCCACUCGCCGCCGUCGCCUUGUCGCCUCCCGUCGCGGGCCCCGCCGCGGGCCUCGCCGGAGACCGUGCCCCGGCCAGUCCCCUCCUUCCCCGGCGGCCUCCCGAGCUCCGGCGCCCUUCCGCUCCGGCGAGCCGGCCCCGCCUCGGACUUGCAGCGCCAGAUCCAGUGAGAACCCCCCCGGGUUGACUUUUCCCCUAACCCUCGAAAUCUCCAAGUCCCUGAAUUUUGUUAAUACGUGUGCAUGUUCAACUGUGUGUAUUUUCUUGCAUGUAGCUCCGAUUCGCGCGUAUUAUAUGUCAAAUUGUUUGCCUCGCGAUGCUCUUCAUUUUGUUCAAUUGCACCAUGUUCAUUAGAGGUCAUCUGGAUGCCCAAAUCUCUGUUGGAAGAGGGCUAGUUGCUGUUAUUCUCUGGUUCUUAACAGAACUUGGAGAUUUGUCAUUUUUGGUAUCAUUAAAUCUGUGCAUCUUUUGAGCAUGAGCUCUACAUGUGUCUUGAAGUAUGCCAUGCCAUAUUUCCAUUGGUGUAGUCCAUGUAUUUUUGUGAUAUCUGUGGUGACUAGCACAAGCAUGCAAACUAGGCCCCGUAAUAUUUCUGAUUUCAGAGACUUGGUGAUUUCUCUAAGUCCUUGUCUGCUGUAAUUUAGUUGCCAUGUAAACUUGAUGCUACAGAGAGAUCCAUGCAUAUUUUGGAGAUGUUCUCUAAGGAUGUUUUGUAGCUAUUGUUGUAAUUGAUCCAUUCCUGUAAUUGUUUGCAUUUAUGUAGUGCCAUAGCAUGACUCAAUCUUGCUCUACUUUUGCUAUAAUAUAUUUCUGGCAGAUUAUUAACAUGAUAUUCAUUUUUGCCAAGCUUAUUGUAGUUGAUCCAUACAUGCUAUGCUAUUGUUCUUGCCAUGGUUAGCUUCAUAAACAUGUCAUCUUUCUGUAGGUGUGCUUGUUUUGUCAUGCAUUGCUCUGUAGUGAGUGCAUCUAGCUCACAAAGAGGCCUUCAUAUUAUUAUUUCUGCCAUUCUCUGUUUUCUGCUAAGUCUGAAACCUGAUAACGAAACUUGUUAUGUUUACAUGCUUGCCAUCAUAUCUUCUGGUCCUUUUUGACUUAUGGUCAGUAAGGGACUUUUGUCAUAUGCUUUGAGUAGAUUCAUGCCAUGCCUUUCUUUGCUAUGUUAAGUCCCUAUAGCAUGUGGAUACCGUGCUCUGAACAUUGCAACCUGAUGUUAUUUCUGCCAUGUCCAGUAAUUUCUCUAAGUCUGUGAACCUGUUAUUAUUUGCAAUCUUGCCAUGCCCUUUUGAGCAUGUUCUUGUGAUUUCUGGAGAUAGCUCAGUGUUCAUAUUUUGUUGUGCUUUACCUGUACAUCAUGUCCAUGCCUUUUGUUUUCAUGUUGAGUUGCUGUAGCACCUUGUUUUGAUGUUUGCUAGGUGCAUAGUUGCUGUUUUGGACAGAUUGUUGCUAUGUCUUGGAUGGAGUGUAUGUGUUGCACCGUUGCUCCGUUUCGAGCAUGCCCUAUAUGAAACUUGCUUAGUUUUGCAUGUAGUCUCAUAUUAUCAUGUUGCAUCCUUGUUUUGAGGUGUUUGCUUGAUGUUUGUAUGCAUUUUGCAUCUAUGCCAUGUUUAUCUCGUUUUGCUCAUAUCUUCUAGGCCGUAGCUCCGAAUCUAAUGAUCUUUAUAUGUAACUUGACUAGAAUUUCGUGUAGAUCAUCAUGGUGCUCUUUAACUUGCUAUUUAACAAAUUCAACUUAAUGCUUAUUCAGUUCUGGACCAAUUUCGAAAUAUGCAUAUGAGGACUUACCGGAAUUGGUAUAUGUUGAUCCCGGCCUCAUUUAAACUUGCCUUGAUGUGUUGUUCUUGUAUGCAUCAUCUCUUGUCAUGAGUAGCUUCGUUUAGCCUUGUCAUGCAUCAUUCUUGGUUGAGCAUCAUGCCUUGUUCUUGUGUGGUGUGUUUACCUUGUUGUGUGCUUCUUCUCGAUAGUUCCCGUGUCGUUGCGAUCGUGAGGAUUCGUUCGUCUUCGUGGCUUCAUCUUCUUCAUGGAUUCGUUCUUCUUCCUAGCGGGAUUUCAGGCAAGAUGACCGUCACCUUGGAUCUCAUUACUAUCAUUGCUAUGCUAGUUGCUUCGUUCUAUCGCUUUGCUGCGCUACCUAUUCAUUUGCUCCUCAAGCCUCCCAAAUUGCCAUGAACCUCUAACCUUUGUCACCCUUCCUAGCAAACCGUUGUUUGGCUAUGUUACCGCUUUGCUCAGCCCCUCUUAUAGCGUUGCUAGUUGCAGGUGAAGAUGAAGAUUGCUCCAGGUUGGAUUAUGUUUAUGUUGGGAUAUCACAAUAUCUCUUAUAUUAUUAAUGCAUCUAUAUAUUUGGUAAAGGGUGGAAGGCUCGGCCUUAUGCCUGGUGUUUUGUUCCACUCUCGCCGCCCUAGUUACUGAUAUACCAGUGUUAUGUUCCCGGAUUUUGCGUUCCUUACACGGUUGGGUGAUUUAUGGGACCCCCUUGGCAGUUCGCCUUGAAUAAAACUCUUCCAGCAAGGCCCAACCUUGGUUUUACCAUUUGCUCAGCCUAUUUCUUUUCCCUUGGGAGUCGCGCUCUCGAGGGUCAUCUUUAUUUACCCCCCGGGCCAGUGCUCCUCCGAGUGUUGGUCCAACUUGUCAGUCGCCGGUGGCCACCAGGGGCAACUCUGGGCUGGCCUAUCGGAAGCUUGGACAAUCUGGUGUGCCCUGAGAACGAGAUAUGUGCAGCUCCUAUCAGGAUUUGUCGGCACAUUCGGGCGGCUUUGCUGGUUUUGUUUUACCAUUGUCGAAAUGUCUUGUAACCGGGAUUCCGAGACUGAUCGGGUCUUCCCGGGAGAAGGAAUAUCCUUCGUUGACCGUGAGAGCUUAUCAUGGGCUAAGUUGGGACACCCCUGCAGGGUUUUAUCUUUCGAAAGCCGUGCCCGCGGUUAUGUGGCAGAUGGGAAUUUGUUAAUAUCCGGUUGUAGAUAACUUGACACUUGACCUUAACUAAAACGCAUCAACCGCGUGUGUAGCCGUGAUGGUCUCUUCUCGGCGGAGUCCUGGAGGUGAACACGGUUUCUGUGUUAUGUUUGACGUAAGUAGGAGUUCAGGAUCACUUCUUGAUCAUUGCUAGUUUCACGACCGUUCCUUUGCUUCUCUUCUCGCUCUCAUUUGCGUAAGUUAGCCACCAUAUCAUGCUUAGUCGCUGCUGCAGCCUCACCACUUUAUCCUUUCCUUUCCCCUUAAGCUUUGCUAGUCUUGAUACCCAUGGUAAUGGGAUUGCUGAGUCCUCGUGGCUCACAGUUUACUACACCACCAGUUGCAGGUACAGGUUUUACGAUGAUCAUGACGCGAGAGCGAUGUUUAUUUGUUUGGAGUUCUUCUUCUGCUUCUUCUUCGAUCAGGGGAUAGGUUCCAGGCCGGCAGCCUGGUCUAGCAGGGUGGAUGUUGUUGAGUUUCUGUUUAUGUUUCAUCCGUAGUCGGAUGUUGAUCUCUUGUAUGAUGUAUUGAUGUAUUCUUGCAGCAUUUGUAUGCCUGGUAUGUAUCCCCAAAUAUUAUGUAAUGUUGAUGUAAUGAUAUCCACCUUGCAAAAGCGUUUCAAUAUGCGGGUCUAUCCUUGGUGGGACCUUCGAGUUCCUUUAGGAUAGGGCCGCAUAUUGGGCGUGACAGCUUGCCGGCCAUGGCCACGACCCGUUCCAGCAUCUUCUUCUCUUCUGCCACCACGAGGGACUCGGCCAGCCGGCUGCUGGCCAUGGCGCACUCGAUGGACUUCUUGUAGUCGCCGGCUACCGUGAUGAUCCCCUUCGAGCUCGGCAUCUUCAUCUUCAGGUAGGCGUAGUGGGGCACAGCCAUGAACUUGGCCAGAGCAGGUCGGCCAAGCAGGGCAUGAUAGGGGAUCUCCAAAUCCACUACCUCGAACCAGAUUGCUUCUCGGCGAAAAUGAUCUUUGUCUCCGAAGAGAACAUCCAUUUUAAUCUUGCCGAUUGGGGAGCAAGACAACCCGGGGACGAUACCAUGGAAGACGGUGCGGCUCGGCAUGAGCUGCUUCGCUUUGAUGUUCAGCUUCUCCAUGGUAUCGCGGUACAGUAUGUUGAUACUGCUUCCGCCAUCUAUCAGGAUGCGAGAGAAUCGGGCAGCUCGCCUCUCCGUCGCGAGGGUGACAUUCAAGACCAUUGCAUAGGAGCCAGGAGAGGGCAUCACCUCUGGGUGGUCGGCCUGGCUCCAGCUGAUUGGCUUCUCUGACCAGUGCAUGAACUCGGGGGUGCUAGACGCGACUGCAUUAACUUCUUGAUGCUGUCGGCGUCGACUGCGCUUGUCGUCGGCUUGACUGGUGAAGACGACGUAGGCGGCGUGCUCUUCGGGGAAUUCGUUUUGGAUGGCGCCGACUGCCGGCCGAGCCGCCGGCUACUGGGGGGCUGGAGGCGGCGGACCGGGAGGCGGAGGCGGCAACAUCCCCUCGCCCUUGGUGAUGCGGGUGAGCCAAUGGCAUUUCCGGGUUGUGUGGUUGGAUGGCUUCGCGCCGCUGUGGAAUUUGCAGGGGGCAUCAAGAGCCUGUUCGUAGGAGAAAGCCGGCUGCCAAGCCGGCCUGCCGCCCUUCUUCUUGGGAGCGGGCCGUUCUUCGGGCUGCUCGUCUUCAACGGUAGCCACCUGCCGACUGGCGGAAGUCGGCAUGGGGGCCUUGCGCUUGUGGUCGUUCUGGUAGGGGUGCCGAUUAGGGUCGCCAGCCGGCGUCUUAGGAGCCGGAGCAAUCACCUUCCCCGAGGCGUCUACUCGGAGCUCGGUCUUCAUUGAGGAGUCGGCCGUGGCGUACUUGUCCGCGAUGACUAGCAACUCGUCGAGGGUAGCCGGCUCGUCGCAGAGGAGUCGGUGCUUGAGGAGGGUGCCCUCUCGGCACCCGGCGGUGAAGUACUCGAUGGCCUGGACCUCAUGCACCCCCUCGCAGGAGUUGCGGAGCUCGGCCCACCGCGUGAGGUAGUCGCGGGUCGACUCGUUGGGCCCUUGGACAUAGAGGGAGAGCUGGCGAGGCUUGGGAGGCCGCUUGUAGGUGCUGGUGAAGUUGCGGACGAAGACUUCUGUGAAGUCCAGCCAACUGUUGAUGCUGUAGGGCUUGAGGCUGUUGAGCCAUGUGCGCGUCGUGCCUUGCAGCAUGAGGGGGACGUACUUCACGGCGACGCGCCGAUUGCCGUUGGCUAUGCUGACGGCCGUGCAGUAGUCGAUGAGCCAAUCUUCCGGCUUCACUGAGCCGUUGUACUUGGGCGUGUCUCUGGGGAGCGAGAACCCUUUGGGGAAGGGCUCGUCGCGGAUGCGGGGGCCGAAACACGGCGGGCCGACAUCGUCUUCUUCUUCUAACGCCAAGGAUCGAGCAAGGCGGUCGAUCCGGUGGCGGGCGUCGUUCUUGCCGACUCCUUCUCGGCGGCCGAGUCGGUCGCCAAGAGUCGGGUGCGUGAUAGGUGGCGGGGUGAGAUGUCUUUCUCUUCGAGGCGGAGGAGGAGGCAGAUUUCCUUGGUGCUCCACUGCUCGAGGGCGGCCCUCCGCGUCACGCUCGAUGGUGAUGCGAAUCCGGCUGCGGCUGGCAGCCGGCUCCUUGUCUUUCUUCUGGCAUGCGCCGCUCGCAGUCGGCGAGCGGGACGUCGCGGCGUGCUCCCGGCGCGGGGGAUGACGAUCAGCACGGGCGCCGGCUUCGUGCCGUUCUGCAGCCGCGUCGAUCAGCUGCUGGAUCCGUCUUGUCAUGUAGGGGAGCUCAUCGGCUCCCAGCCCAUUGAGCUCUUCUGCAGCCGCCUGAGCGGCUCGCAGAUUCUCGAGCAGGGUGGCGUAGACAGGGCGAUCCGCCCCCAGCAUGCUGGUGACGGCCGCGCUGCGCUUCUGGACGAAGCCGGCUCGGCUCGGGCCGCUAGGCGGCGGCGUGCCGAAGGCGGCACGGUCGACUUCGCGCUGGUUGGCCUUGGUGAGGCAUCUCAUGGAGGCUAUCUUCUGGCCUUCCGCGAUGAGGGCGAGGCGGCGUGCCUCCACGGUCUUGGCGUCGGCAUCGGCCGGGAUGGGGACGGAGAGGUCGUGCAUCGCCGCUUGCAGGGCGUCGUGGGCGUUCUCGCCCGAGUUGGCGACGUGGCUGAUGACCAGCACUUCGGUGACAGCGCUGCUGCCGCUGUCAGCUCGAGGGAGAGGAUCGUCGAAGACCACCACGUCGGAGGGGUAAGCGUCGAGCGAUGCCGUGUCGGAGUCGACAAGCAUUGGGUCGGUGGAACCGACCGACUCCACAUAUGCAGCAGGCUCGCUGGAGACGUGAAGCUGGUCGAGGAGGCUGACGAGGCGGCUCUCGGGGUAGUCCGUGCCUGCGUCGGACGCAGGCUCGUCGGAGAUGCGAGUCUCGCCGAGCAGAUCGGCGAGGCAGCUCGCUGCGCAGGCGUCGUCGACGCCUUGCAGCGCGUCGAGGCAAGCUCCAUCGGGCGCAGCAGGCUGGCUGCACUCGCGGGGGAGGAAGAGGGUUCCCGUCCAGAACAGGUCUCCGGAUGACGGUGCACCUGGCCCCAUGGUGGGCGCCAAAUGUCGGGUGGUUGGUGCGACAUAUGCCAACGGGUGGCUUAUCAUUGUGGGUGCCAAUAAGACGUCGCCGGUACCUGGAAACGGGAUGAGGCGAAGACAUGCACGCCGGCGGAUCUUACCCAGGUUCGGGGCUCUCCGAGGAGAUAACACCCCUAGUCCUGCUCUGCGGGGUCUCCGCAUGAUCACUAGAUCAGUAGAAGUAGCUACAAUCGCUCCUAGAGCUGUUGGGUUCAAGGGAGAAGAAGAACAAGGCUAGCUCUCACUUCUCUCUCUCUAUGGUGUGUGUGCUAUGCUCAGAAGCCAACCCUUUGCAUGGGUGUCCCGGGGGGUUUAUAUAGGCCUACCCCCCGGGGGUACAAUGGUAAUCCGGCUGGGCACUGGUCCCAGCCGUCAGUGUCUAAGCUCGCCGGCUUCUCCGCCGGCCGUUGGGGCCCGCCGACUGGUGGGUCCCGCCGGCUGCCGGCCUCUUGGUCGACAGGCCGGCCCCACCGCCUAGGGUCUUGUCGGCGGCUGCUUACUGUAGCCUCGCCUCUGAUAACGAGGGCUUCGUCAAGGUAAGCGUGGCUACAGUGUGCCGCCUCGAGGGCUCUCACUGUAGCCUUACCUCGUCUUGUCUCCUUAAUGUGGCUCCUGCUUCGAGGGAGGGGGUAGCCGGCUUCUGGGGGCCGGCUAUGCCCUGGGCCAACUGGGGGAGGCCGGGCCGCCUCCGCGCUUCUCUCUGGCCGAGGGGACCCGCCGCCCGUGGGCCGUACGGGAGUCUGUCGUGGAUGACCUUGAGGCUAGCAUGGCUACAGUGCCGAGCCGAACGGGAGACGGCCGUCCCGUACGGCCUCCUGUGGCCAUGCCUGCCUAGGUCUUCGGGGGUAGUGGGCCGCACUGUGGCCACACCCCGUCUUGUCACCGUUAUGUGGGUGCAGCUUUGGUGGUUGUGGUCUCGGCCGGCUUCUCGGAGUCGGCGCUCUUCGAGGCCGGCUUCCUGGAGUCGGCCACCCCGCGGAUACCCUGGGGGGGAGGUUGCUGAGGCUGGGCCGCCUCCCGUGAGUCGGCUUCGGGGGUAGCCGGCCAGGGGAGGUGGUCCAAUGCUCGGAGUGCUUGGAGGCCGAAAGGCCUGAUAAUUUUUCAGAAGAACCAGGGGAGUCGGUUAGGCUACCCGUGGCCGUUUACUCCGACACAUAGAUUCAUCAAAAUAAGCAAACAACACACGAAAAACAGAAUCUGUCAAAAACAGAACAGUCUGUAGUAAUCUAUAACUAUCGCAAACUUCUGGAACUCCAAAAAAUCAGCCAAAAUAGGACGACCUAGACAAUUUGUUUAUUGAUCAGCAGCAAUUGGAAUCACUAUUUUAUCACGUUGUGGUGAUUUUAAACAAUUGUUUUCGUGAACAGAAAGUUUCUGGAAAUUACAGCAAGAUCAAAUAACUAUCAUCCAAGAAGAUCCUAUAGGUUUAACUUGGCACAAAUACUAACUAAAACAUAAAAACACAUCUAACCAGAGGCUAGAUCAAAUAUUUAUUCCUAAACAGAAGCAAAAGCAAAAAAACUAAAAAUAAAAUUGGGUUGCCUCCCAACAAGCGCUAUCGUUUAACGCCCCUAGCUAGGCAUAAAAGCAAGGAUAGAUCUAGGUAUUGCCAUCUUUGGUAGGCAAUCCAUAAGUGGCUCUCACGAUAGAUUCAUAUGGUAAUUUUAUUUUCUUCCUAGGGAAGUGUUUCAUGCCUUUCUUUAGUGGAAACUGGAAUCUAAUAUUCCCUUCCUUCAUAUCAAUAAUUGCACCAAUCGUUCUAAGGAAAGGUCUACCAAGAAUAAUAGGACAUGAAGGAUUGCAAUCUAUAUCAAGAACGAUAAAAUCUACGGGCACAUAAUUCCUAUUUGCAACAAUAAGAACAUCAUUAAUUCUUCCCAUAGGUUUCUUAAUAGUGGAAUCCGCAAGGUGCAAGUUUAGAGAGCAAUUAUCAAAAUCGCGGAAAUCUAGCAAAUCGCACAAAGUUUUGGGAAUAGUGGAAACACUAGCACCCAAAUCACAUAAAGCAUAGAACUCAUGAUCCUUAAUCUUAAUUUAAAUAGUUGGUUCCCACUCAUCAUAAAGUUUUCUAGGGAUAAAAAGUUCCAACUCAAGCUUUUCUUCAUAAGAUUGCAUCAAGGCAUCAACGAUAUGUUGGGUAAAAGCUUUAUUUUGACUAUAAGCAUGAGGAGAAUUUAGCACGGAUUGCAACAAGGAAAUACAAUCAAUCAAAGAGAAAUUUUCAUAAUUAAAUUCUUUGAAAUCCAAAAUAGUGGGUUUAGCAACAUCUAGGGUUUUGAUUUCUUCAAUCCCACUUUUAUCGAUUUUAGCAUCAAGAUCUAAAAACUCCGAAUUCUUGGAACGCCUUCUAGGUAAAGGUGGAUCAUAUUCAGUCCCAUCAUUAUCAAGAUUCAUAUUGCAAAACAAAGAUUUAAUAGGGGACACAUCAAUAACUUUUAGAUCUUCAUCUUUAUUUUCAUAGAAAUCCGGUUUAGCGGCCAUCUUAUUAACUAAGGUAGCCUGCUUAUCCGAUAUUUCAGCAGUCAACUUCUCAAGACGAGCAAUUUGGGAUCUUAAACCAUCAAAUUCUUUAGACAUAUCAUCGAGCUCUUUAUUCGUAUAACUCAUAAAACUUUUUUGUUCCUUAAGCUCGUUUCUGAAGAAAUUGUUAUGCUCAAAUUGCAAAACCAUAAAACUCCUGACGUUGCUUUCGAUCUCUUCUAACCUUUUAAGGUGAAGAUCACCAAAUCUAGGUAGAGCCAUCGUGACAAACAAGCAAUCCAACACACAAGCAAACAAAAAGCAAGCGAAAAAGAGGUAGACGGAAAAGAGAGGGCGAAUAAAACGGCAAGGGUGAAGUGGGGGAGAGAAAACGAGAGGCAAAUGGCAAAUAAUGUAAUGCGGGAGAUAAGGGAUUUGUGAUGGGUACUUGGUAUGUUGACUUUUGCGUAGAAUCCCCGGCAACGGCGCCAGAAAUCCUUCUUGCUACCUCUUGAGCACUGCGUUGGUUUUCCCUUGAAGAGGAAAGGGUGAUGCAGCAAAGUAGCGUAAGUAUUUCCCUCAGUUUUUGAGAACCAAGGUAUCAAUCCAGUAGGAGGCUACGCGCGAGUCCCUCGUACCUACACAAAACAAAUAACUCCUCGCAACCAACGCGAUAAGGGGUUGUCAAUCCCUUCAUGGUCACUUACGAGAGUGAGAUCUGAUAGAUAUGAUAGGAUAAUAUUUUUGGUAUUUUGUGAUAGAGAUGCAAAGUAAAAUAAAAGCAAAGAAAAUAAAUAAGUGUUGGAAGAUUAAUAUGAUGAAGAUAGACCCGGAGGCCAUAGAUUUAACUAGUGGCCUCUCUCAAGAGCAUAAGUAUUUUAUGGUGGGUGAACAAAUUACUGUUGAGCAAUUGACAGAAUUGAGCAUAGUUAUGAGAAUAUCUAGGUAUGAUCAUGUAUAUAGGCAUCACGUCCGAGACAAGUAGACCGACUCCUGCCUGCAUCUACUACUAUUACUCCACUCAUCGACCGCUAUCCAGCAUGCAUCUAGAGUAUUAAGUUCAUGAAAAUAUAGUAACGCCUUAAGCAAGAUGACAUGAUGUAGAGGGAUAAAUUCAUGCAAUAUGAUAAAAAAAACCCAUCUUGUUAUCCUCGAUGGCAACAAUACAAUACGUGCCUUGCUGCCCCUACUGUCACUGGGAAAGGACACCGCAAGAUUGAACUCAAAGCUAAGCACUUCUCCCAUUGCAAGAAAGAUCAAUCUAGUUGGCCAAACCAAACUGAUAAUUCGAAGAGACUUGCAAAGAUCACCAAUCAUACAUAAAAGAAUUCAGAGAAGAUUCAAAUAUUGUUCAUAGAUAAUCUUGAUCAUAAACCCACAAUUCAUCGGUCUCAACAAACACACCGCAAAAAGAAGAUUACAUCGAAUAGAUCUUCACGAGAGAGGGGGAGAACAUUGUAUUGAGAUCCAAAAAGAGAGAAGAAGCCAUCUAGCUACUAACUAUGGACCCGAAGGUCUGAGGUAAACUACUCACACUUCAUCGGAGAGGCUAUGGUGAUGAUGUAGAAGCCCUCCGUGAUGGAUGCCCCCUCCGGCGGAGCUCCGGAAUAGGCCCCAAGAUGGGAUCUCGUGGGUACAGAAGGUUGCGGCGGUGGAAUUAGGUUUUUGGCUCCGUAUCUGAUCGUUUGGGGGUACGUAGGUAUAUAUAGGAGGAAGGAGUACGUCGGUGGAGCAACAGGGGGCCCACGAGGGUGGAGGGCGCGCCCUGGGGGGUGGGCGCGCCCCCCUACCUCGUGGCCUCCUCCUUUGUUUCUUGACGUAGGGUCCAAGUCUCCUGGAUCAUAAUCUUCCUAAAAAUUAUAGAUACGUUGGAGACGUAUCACCAGCCCACGCGCGUGACGGGACGCGACCGCAGGCCGGGCCCGCCACCACCGGGCCUCGGCCUACGAGCGGAUCCGCUGUGGCCGAGGCGGGCGGUUGGGUUUCCCUGCGGAGUUACUACGUGCAGUAACCCACGCAGUAAAGGCGGGAGCGUGGGGUCGUGGGCACAGUUAAUCCCACGAUCCCACGCCCACCCCCUCAGCUUCGUAGCCCAUAGGCUAUAAGUAGGGAGAGGAGAGGGAUUGGCGAAGCACGCGCGCCCCUCCACCCCUCUCUCCCUUCUUCUUCUUCCUCUCGCCGCAGCGCCCCGAGCCCCGCCGAAGCGCUGCCGCAAUUCGUCUCCGUCGAGUCCGUCCGUCAACCUCUCAUCCCCAUGGCGCGCUCCAGAGCCUGGGACGGCUCCAAAGUUCAUGAAGACCACAUCGACUUCCUCCGCCAGACGCGGUGGCUACCCAGCAAGGACUUCGUGAGGGUUCGCCUCGCGCCGGAGGGGGAGAUCUCGCCGACGCUGGAGGAGGGCGAGCGGGUUGUCUUCCGCUCGCACUGCCUGCGCGGCCUCGGCCUGCCGGCGAGCGGCUUCUUCCGGGCCUUCCUCGAAUUCUACAACCUCCAGCCGCACCACCUCACCCCGAACACGGUGGUGCUGCUGUCCGCCUUCGUCACUCUGUGCGAAGGCUUCCUUGGCGUCCUCCCCACUAUCGAGCUUUGGGGGGAGUUUUUCUACACCAAGCUCAGCAGCGUCGUCGCGGGCGUGCCGACUCAAUGCGGCGCCUUCAUCGCGGUGCGGAGGCCGGGAGGUGACAAUCCAUUUCCUCCCAUCACGCUGAUUCAGUCAGUGCAGAUGUGGCAGCAGUCGUACUUCUACGUGAAGAGCAUCUUCGCGGAGGGUGAAUGGGUCAACCUGCCGGCUUACGCUGCCGGCCCACCAGCCGGGAGGCGGCCCAACUGGUCGUACCGGGCCAAGACACUGUCGCCUUCUGGAGCCGCUGCCAUCGCGCGGCUCCGGGUGUUGGUACAAUCGGAGGGCCUGACCGGGCCCGACUUGUUGUCCGCCUUCGUGGCGCGCCGGGUGCUCCCGCUCCAGGGCCGCCCUCACAUGAUCUGUCAGAUGAGCGGGCAUCAGGACCCAAGCCAGCUGUGCACCAAGGAGAUGCCUCACGCAGAGGUAGCUCAUAUGGUGAACUACCUUGCGAACUGCAAGCUCACGGAAGAGUGGCGGUNNNNNNNNNNNNNNNNNNNNNNNNNNNNNNNNNNNNNNNNNNNNNNNNNNNNNNNNNNNNNNNNNNNNNNNNNNNNNNNNNNNNNNNNNNNNNNNNNNNNNNNNNNNNNNNNNNNNNNNNNNNNNNNNNNNNNNNNNNNNNNNNNNNNNNNNNNNNNNNNNNNNNNNNNNNNNNNNNNNNNNNNNNNNNNNNNNNNNNNNNNNNNNNNNNNNNNNNNNNNNNNNNNNNNNNNNNNNNNNNNNNNNNNNNNNNNNNNNNNNNNNNNNNNNNNNNNNNNNNNNNNNNNNNNNNNNNNNNNNNNNNNNNNNNNNNUCUCUCUCUCUCUCCUUUUGCCGAGUUCCGUUUGUCUAACCUGACCAACCGGCUCUUCGAACAGAGCUCCCUCCUCCAGCCGGCAGCCGGCGCCGCGGGGCCGGAGCGUCAAUUUCUCCCCGACCGGGCGGAGAGUGACGUGGAUGACCCCGACUUGGGGGUGGCGGCCUUGGAGGACAACGCUGAGGGAGGGGGCAGCGCAACAGGCGGCUCAGGGCUCGGAGCCUCGAGGACUGGCCAGACGACGACGCGGGGGAAGUCGUCCCGCGCCACCAGCCGGGGUCCGACCAGCAGGGCGCGAGCUCGUCUACCGCGCCGGCAGCCCGAGGUGGUGCGCACAAGCGCAGGGCCGCGCCGAGCCUGUUCGGCAGCCGGCCGAAGAAGCCCAGGGGCUCGGCCGCGUCGACCAAGCGGGAUGAAGCGGCCGCAAAAGCCAUCCGCUUCCGCAAGGCGGUGAAGGAGCCGCAGCUGGUUUCCGCGUAAGUACUGUCUUCCUCUCGUACUUUCUCCUUCCUUGUUGAUCUUGUCUGAGUUUCUUCGCUUUGUUUCCCUUGAUCUAAGGCCCCGCUCUCUCUUGAGAAGUCGGCCACCGCCUCCAUCGUGGGGUUGGCGGAGACUUCCACCACCACCCGGCGGAUCAAUCCGUCCGCCGACCUCCGGGAGGCGACGGAGCAGAACACGCGGGAGGCGCGCAAGGAGGCAGACAGGGCGGAGGCCGCCACUUUGAAGAAGCUGGCGGAGGCCGAGGCCACCAUCGCGGCAAAGAAGUAGGCCGAGGAAGCCGCGCGCCGUCAAUCGGCGAUGCUUGUCACCCCCUGAACCCUGCGCCGCCGCCACCGGAGUUCGUGGCGCAGACUGGGGAAGCUGGCGGUGAGCACCGUAUCAUGGAGAGGGACAGCGGCGACGUCGCCAUGCCAGACGUAAUCGUGCCCCGCCACCACCUUCUGAGGAGGCGCGAGACAAGCAGCCGGCCGAUCCGCCGGCGCCACCGGCCGGAAACGAGAUGGUGACGGGCCCGACUCCCGGGGUCCGCACACCCUCACGUCGCCGGCUUGCGAAGGCGGCCUCGGCGCCACGCCCGCUGGAGACCGGCGCCGCAAGCUCCUCGAUCCCGGACACCGAGGCGACCAGCGCCGCGCCCACUGGUGCAUGCGGGGAGGCGGGACGGGCCCUCUGAACAAGGCGAUCCUGGACGUUCAAGCCAAACUCCGCGCUAAGGCCGACGCUCUCAAGCACUGCAACAAGGCGUUCCUGGAAUCGCGAGAGGCCAUCCGGGUACGCUUCUUGCUUCUUCGUUUUUAAUUCUUAUAUUGCUUCAUGGGGGCGCGCCAGCGCACCCACUGGGUGUAGUCCCCGAGUUUCGGGCCGACUACUGAGCAGGCGGCUCGGAACUUUAAUUAGCAAGCCCCGAGUACUAACGUCUUUGCUGCAGGACUAUCAUAACCUCCGUGCGACCGCCUUCAACUCCAAAGUCCAGGAGUUGGAUCAACGUGUCGUCGACUUGUCGGAGAGCCAGAGUAAGUCUUCUUCUUUCUCUGCGGGGGCGCGCUUGGCGCACCCGCGGGCUGUAGUCCCCGAGAUUCGGGCCGACUGCUGAGCAGUCAGGCCGGAUCUUCCUGGCGACUUCAUCUUUCUUCACUGAUUGUUGACGUCCUUUCUUCUUCUUCUUUUGCAGAAGCCAACGCCACCUUGCAGCAGCAGCUGGGAGAAGCCAACACCGCGCUGCGCGCCAAGGAGGCGGAUUGCAACAAGCUGGCCGAGGAGAGGGACCGGCUUGUCACGCAGCUGGCGGAGCAGGCGGAGCUUCUCAAGAAGGCCCAGAAGGAGGCGGAAGACAAAGAGACCGGCCUCCUUGCUGAGUUCGCGGCCGAACGCUCCGCCUGGACCAACAAGGAGGCGAUGCUGACUGCCAGCCUCGGCGAGGUUGAAGACAUGGUCGACGCUAGGCUGCCUUCUUUACUCUUUCUUCAAACUGCCGGCCUCUGACCAAGCCGACUUCUUGUUUCUGAUCUGACUCUUAGCUUUUUUGUCCGAGCUGACUUCUUCCUGGGUCACUCUGGCGCUGCCAACCAGGCUAUCGAGGCCGACCGCGAAGGAUGGAGGGCGGAAGGCGAGCAGAUCGCUGCCGACGCCCCCCGCAAUUUUGGCGAGCAACUUCUCAGCAUCCAGGCUCGUCUUCGGCCGACUCAUCGGAUGUUGCGCUGCCUUCAGCAUGUCGGUGCCCAGGCGAUCGGCGCCCUGUGGCCGGACAUGCCGGCUCCACGCACACCCAGCCGGACUGCCGACUGGCUGGAGGUGGCGGUCGACCAUCUUGAGGCGUGGAAGGGCUCCUUGGCCCGGGCCGGAGCGCGUCGGGCCUUGGAGUUCGUCAAGGCGUGGUACGCUGGGCUAGAUCUAGCCCAGUUGACCAUGUUUCGACUGGAAGCCCAGGAGGAGCUGGUGGCGGUGGAGGAUGACCUUGUCAAGCGAGCGGCGGCAAUUGCCGAGUACACCAAUACCGGCAUCUUCGUCCCGGAGCUGGCCGAGAACGGUGCCGAGGCGCCACCGGAGUGGUUUGGGCUGAACCUGGAGGAUGGCGAGGACUCGGCUAAGGUGAUCGACUCCAGCGAUGAGGGAGAAGACGAAGAGGAGGAGGAAGGUGAAGAGGAGGCACCAGAGGUCGGAGCGGACGGCCAGCCUCAACUCGACCGCGCCUCCAGCAACGAGCCACGCCCGAGCAAGCCGGCUGCUGCUGAGGGCGAUCAAACGGAGACCGACCAGUCGGCCGCCCAACCGACUAGCCGGCCGCCCAACCGGCCGGCACCACCAACUUCACCAUUCCGUCGACUCCGUCUGCUGCUUCCUAGGCUGCUAUUUACUUUGCUUCUUCCUGCUUAUCGGUCUCAACAACUUUGUUAAUUUCGCACAACCCCACCCACUGGGUGUAUUUCAAACUCCUGUUGAAUAUCGGCCAAGGGCCUUUUGAUGUGUAAAUAUCUUAUCCGAGUUCUAUCUUUCCUUGCUUUAUGCUCUUUUGGCUUUUUUCCUUUGCCGCCUUCCCUUGGUUGCCGUCUUGCCAGCCGAACAGCCGCUUUGCGGACUGUGGCUGGGUCAAGUACUUAGCCACUUUCGGGAAGGCAAGUACUUAGCCGGCUAGAGUUUUUCUGGCAAGUUAAGUAGAAACCGGCCGGCUGCUCGGCAGCCGGUCGGUGAGGCGAGAAGCCGGCUUGGACUAUGUGUAUGCUUUAGGUCCUUAGCCAUUUUUCAUGCAGACACCCUUUUCGCCUUAGCUCCUGCUGACCAAACAGUCGCUCUGCAAGCUGCGGCCUCUGGUAGGAGAAAGCUAGGGUGCCAACACAUUACUUGUCCGGCUACAGGAAGCAUUUCAUAGUACAAAGCGGCAAGUCCCCGGGUCGACUGGUUGAUCCCGGUGCCAGACGGUCUAAUGGGAUAACACAAAUGACAUGUGUAAUACAUAUCAUAUAGAUAAAAGAGGGCAGUCCCCGAGCUCUUCUCGGGGGACCCGGAGUCUUCGUACUUAAUACAAAAGUUGGGGUGGUACAUACUGCUUUAACUGUAAAACCUUCGUAGGAGAUUCGCAUUCCAUGGUCGCUCCGUCUCCUUCCCGGAGUCGUCUCUUUUGCAUGCUCGAGGCUUCUGAGCGUCGAUGAGGUAGUAGGAGUCGUUGCCCAACACCUUGCUGAUGAUGAAGGGGCCUUCCCAAGGUGCCGAGAGCUUGUGCUGGCCGGCUGUUCGCUGGAUCAGCCAGAGCACAAGGUCUCCUUCUUGGAAGGAUCUUGUCUUGACCUUUCGGUUGUAGUAUCGGCGCAGACUCUGCUGGUAGAUGGUGGACCGGCUGAGUGCCAACAGCCGGCCCUGUUCCAGCAGAUCGAUGCCGUCUUGUCGUGCUUCUUCUGCCUCCUCUUCGCUGUACAUGGUGACUCGAGGGGAGUCGAAUUCAAGUCCGUCGGGAUGACGGCUUCGGCACCGUAGAUGAGGAAGAAAGGAGUGAAGCCGGUUGACUUGUUCGGGGUUGUGCGCAGACUCCAGAGGACGGCCGGCAGCUCGUCGAGCCAGCAGCCGGCCGAACGCUCCAGAGGCUCGACCAGUCGGGGCUUGAUGCCGGACAAAAUAAGGCCGUUUGCUCGCUCCACUUGGUCGUUUGACUGCGGAUGGGCUACAGAUGCUAAGUCCAGUCGGAUGCCCUGCGUCGCGCAGAAACGGGCCAAGGAGCCUUUGGCGAAGUUUGUGCCGUUGUCGGUGAUGCUGCUGUGUGGUAUGCCAUACCGGAUGGUGAUGUCGGAGAUGAAAGUCACAACAGUCGGACCAUUCAAUUUCUUGAUUGGUUUUGCUUCUAUCCACUUGGUGAACUUGUCCACCACGACAAGCAAAUGAGUCAUGCCACCUCGUGCUGUUUUGAAUGGUCCCACCAUGUCCAGGCCCUAGACAGCAAAGGGCCACGCAAUGGGGAUAGUCUUGAGUGCAGAAGCCGGCUGAUGAGGCUUGGAGUGGAACUUCUGGCACCCUUUGCACUUCUGGACCAAGUCUUUGGCGUCUUCUAGAGCAGUCGGCCAGAAAAAACCAUGGCGGAAAGCUUUGGCAACAAGUGCUCUUGAAGCCGCAUGGUGACCACACUCGCCUUGAUGGAUAUCUUUGAGGACUGCUUGGCCUUGCUCCGGCUCCACGCAGCGCUGGUAAACACCAGUGACGCUGUGCCUCACAAGUUCUCUGUUGACGAUGGUGUAUGCUGCUGCCCGGCGUUGCACUUGUUGGGCCGAGAUCUCGUCAGUCGGCAGCUCUUUUUUCACCAGAAAAUUGAGGAUGGGCUGAGCCCAGGAAGGUGCUGCAACUUCUUCGACUGCUAGGACUGCUACUUGCACGAGGACGGUUGGGCUGGGAGGCGGUGGGUUGGAGUCGGCCGCCGCUUGCUGAAUUGAUGAAGUCCCCGGGCCGACUGUUGCAGUCCCCGGGCCAGGCUCUGAGGUCCCGUGGCCAGGUGCGACUGCUGCAGUCCCCGGGCCGCCUGCCGAAGUUCCCGUGCCGGCUGCUGGGGCUCUCAAGUCGGAUCUGACUGCUUCAGGAGGAGCCGGCACAAAGAUGGAAUCCGACACUGGCGAUGGUUUAACAGAUGGCUUGAGGAGGCGUUGCAGGGCGACGCCGGCUGGUAUUGCUUGCCGGGUGGAGCCAAUUCGUGCCAAGGCAUCGGCUUGCUCAUUGUCAUUUCUUGGCACGUGGAGGAACUCGCACCCUUCGAAGUAUCCACUGAGUUGCUGUACAAGGAAGCGGUAGCUCACCAUAUUUGCAUCCUUGGCGUCCCAGUCGCCCGAUGACUGCUGGACCACCAAGUCAGAGUCUCCAUAGCACAGGAUCCGGCGAAUACCAAGUUCCUUGGCAAGCCGGAGCCCGUGUAUGAGCGCUUCGUAUUCAGCUACGUUGUUGGAGGCGGCAAAGUGAAUUUGCAGCACAUAUCUGAGCUUGUCGCCUUUGGGAGAGGUGAGGACGAUGCCGGCUCCCAAACCGGUGCGCAUUUUUGAACCAUCAAAAUGCAUCCGCCAAUGGGUGGAAUCUGGCGCUGGCGGCAGGUACUAGGUCUCGGCCCAGUCGACGAGGAAGUCGGCCAGUGCUUGUGACUUGAUGGCGGUGCGAGGCUGGUAGUAGAUGGUGUAGGGGGGCAAAUCUAUGGCCCAUUUGGCCACUCGGCCCGAGGCAUCUCGGCUUCCAAUGAUCUCGGCAAGCAGAGCUGUGUAGACCACAGUGAUUGGGUGCUCUUGGAAGUAUGGCUUCAGCUUCUUGGCAGCAAAGUGCAUGCCAUAACACAUCUUCUGGUAGUGGGGAUAGUUCUGCUUGGAAGCGGAUAGUACUUCGCUCAGGUAAUACAUCGGCCUUUGGACUGGUAGGGCUUUGCCUUCUUCCUUGCGCUCCACCACUAUGACUGUGCUGACCACCCGGCUGGUAGCGGCGAUGUAGAGGAGCAUGGGCUCCUUAGGAGUCGGGGCCGCCAAGACAGGCGGAGUGGUCAACAUUUUCUUGAGCUGGAGAAAGGCUUCAUCCGCCUUGUCAUUCCACUCGAAAAAAGUGGUCUUCUUCAUGAGCUGAUAUAGGGGAAGAGCUUUUUCGCCCAGCCGACUGAUGAAACGGCUGAUGGAUGCCAAGCAGCCGGUGAAUUUUUGCACGUCCAGCAGUCGGGUGGGCACCUCCAUCCUCUCGAUAGCCUUGAUAUUCACAGGGUUGCACUCUAUGCCGCGCUCUGAGACCAAGAAACCAAGAAGCUGGCCGGCUGGUACUCCAAAGACGCAUUUCUCCGGGUUGAGCUUGAUCUGAAAUCGGCGUAAAUUCUCAAAGGUCUCCUUGAGAUCUUCUAGUAGCGUCCCGCGCUUCUCCGUCUUCACCACCACAUCGUCCACAUAGACAUCGGCAUUUCUGCCGAGUUGCUUGAGGAGACACUUCUACAUGCAUCGUUGAAACAUGGUGCCAGCGUUUCUCAAGCCAAACGUCAUGGUCAGGUAACAAAAGGCUCCGAAUGGCGUGAUGAAGGCGGUCUUCAGCCUGUCGGCCGGGUUCAGCUUGAUCUGGUGAUACCCGGAGUAUGCAUCCAAAAAACUCAACAGCUCACAUCCGGCUGUAGAGUCAAUCACUUGGUCGAUUCUUGGCAGAGCAAGUGGGUCUUCGGGGCAUGCUUUGUUGAGGCUGGUAUAAUCAAUACACAUGCACCACUGCUUCUUUGGACCGGGUUGGCUAACCAUUCUGGAAAGAACACCACCAUGAUGAAGCCGGCUGCCAGAAGCCGGGCUAUCUCUUCUCCAACAACUCUUCCUUUCUCUUCUGACAAGCAGCGCAAGGGCUGUCGGACUGGCUUGGCAUCAGGUCGGACGUGUAGCUUGUGCUCGGCGAAAUCCGUCGGAACACCCGGCAUGUCCUUGGGGGACCAUGCAAAGAUGUCCCGAUUCUCACGGAGGAAAUCGACGAGCUCGCCUUCCUAUUUACUGUCAAGGUUUGCACCUAUGACAGCGUACCUCUCCAGGUGCUCCGGGUCCAAGGGUAUCUUCUUUGUUUCUUUGGCCGGCUUGAACGAGCCCUCGGCUUCCGACUCCUUGGGGUUGGGUGACAUUUCCGGCCGCUUGCCUGCCAUUGCCACAACCCGGUCAAGGAGCCGCUUCUCCGCUGCGACCACGAGGGACUCGGCCAACCGACCGCUUUCUGCGGCGCAGGCAGACGACUUCUUGUAGUCUCCUACUAUGGUCAGGAUCCCCUUGGAGCUCGGCAUCUUCAUCUUUAGGUAAGCAUAGUGGGGAACCGCCAUGAACUUGGCCAGGGCAGGCCGGCCAAGUAAUGCAUGAUAAGGGCUCUCAAGGUCCACCACUUCAAACCAGACUGGCUCUCGGUGGAAAUGAUUUUUGUCCCCGAAGAGGACAUCUAUCUGAGUCUUGCCGAUUGGUGAGCAGGAAAGGCCAGGAACUAUGCCAUGAAAAACAGUCCGGCUGGGCUGAAGAUAUCUCUGCUUGAUCCCCAACUUCUCCAUGGUAUCUUUGUACAGAAUGUUGAUGCUGCUGCCGCCAUCUAUCAGGACUAAGGAGAAGCGAGCAGCUUGCCUCUCUGUGGCAAACGUGGCAUCCAACACCAAGGCAUAAGAGCCGGGAUUUGGCAUCACCUCCGGGUGGUCAGCUCUGCUUCAGCUGAUGGGCUUCUCUGACCAAUGCAUGAACUCGGGGGUCUCUUAUGCUACUGCAUUCACUUCUAGCAGCUGUUGCCGUCUGCCGCGCCUGUCGUCGGCCACGCUGGUGAACACGACGUAGGCCCCAUGCUCCUCGGGAUAAUCAUCUUGUAUGGCACCGACUGGUCAGGCCGCCGGUUGCUGAGGAGGAGGAGGCGACGGGCCGGCUGGCGGAGGAGGCUGGAGUCCGUCGCCCUUGGUGAUCCUGGUGAGCUAGUGGCACUUCCGAGUAGUGUGAUUGGACGGCUUCGCACCGCUAUGGAACUUGCAAGGUGCAUCAAGAGUCUGCUCGUACGAGAAAGUGGGCAGCCAGUUGGGCUUGCCGCCCUUCUGGCGCUUGGGAGGAGGCGGCCCUUCUGGCUGCUGAUCUUCAACUGCCGCCACCUGCCGGCUCGUGGAAGCCGGCUGCAUGACCUUGCGCUUGUUGUAGUUCGAUUGCUGUCACCGACUGGAGUCACCAGCCGGGGUCUGAGGAGCUUGAGGGGCUACCUUGCCCGACACGUUGACCUGAAUCUCCGUCUUCAUGGAGGAGUCGGCCGUGGCGUACUUGUCUACUAUGAUUGGCAGUUCGUCGAGGGUCGCCGGCUCGUCGCAGAGAAGCUUAUGCUUGAGGAGGGUGCCCUCUAUGCACCCGGCAGUGAAGUACUCGAUGGCCUGCACCUCGUGCACACCCUCACACGAGUUGCGCAACUCAGCCCAGCGCGUAAGAUAGUCGCGAGUCGACUCGUUGGGGCCUUGGACGCAUAAGGAGAGUUGGCGGGGCCUGGGCGGCCGCUUGUACAUGCUGGUGAAGUUGCGGAUGAAUGCUUCGGUGAAAUCAACCCAGCUGUUGAUGCUGCGGGGCUUCAGGCUGUUCAACCACGUCCGGGCCGUGCCCUAGAGCAUUAGCGGGACGUACUUCACGGCAACGCACUUGUUGCCAUUGGCGAUGCUGACGGCUGUGGAGUAGUCGACUAGCCAGUCCUCCGGCUUCACGUAGCCGGUGUACUUGGGUGUGUCUCUCGGGAGAGUGAAUCCUUUGGGGAAGGGCUCAUCUCGGAUGCGGGGGGCAAAACAAGGCGGACCCAGCUCAUCUUCCUCUUCUAGCGCCAGCGAUCGAUUGAGGCGAUCGAUCCGGUGGCAGGCAUCGUUUUCUCCGAUUCCUUCUCGGCGGCCAAGGCGGUCGCCGAGUGAUGGGUGAUCAACAUGCGGCGGGGAAAUGCGCCUUUCCCUGCGGGGAGGAGGAGGCGGACAGUCGUCUCGCCGCCACACUGCUCUUGGGCGACCGUCUUGGUCGCGCUCGAUGGUGAUGUGCGUCCGGCUGCGGCUGGCAGCCGGCUCCUUGUCUCUUCUGUCGCGGAUGCCACCAGUCUGCGUCCGGGAUGUCGCGCCUUGGUCUCGUCGAGGUGGCGGAUCGUCGUUUCGCCGGUUGGGCGCUUCAGUCUGGCACCCGGCAUCUUGCUGCUCAGCAGCCGCGUCGAGGAGCUGCUGAACUCGCUCCGUCAUAUGGCGACGCUCGUCGCCCUCGAGCUUGUCUAACUCGUUUGCUGCCGCCUGGGCAGCUCGUAUGCUCUCCGCAGGCGUGGCGUAGACGGGACGAUCCGUCUCGAACAUGCUGGUGAUGGUUGCGCCAUGCUGCCGGACCAAGCCAAUGCGGCUAGGCCCACCAGGAGCCGGCGUGCCGCCGACGGCACGGUCCAUUUCCCGCUGGUAGGCCUCCGAAAGGCGUCUCAUGCUGGCCAGUCGGUUGGCGCUCUCGAUGAGCUGGAUGCGGCGCGCUUCCAGCGUCUCGGCGUCAGGAUAGGCGCAGCCAGGUCUUGCAUUGCCGCCUGCAACGGGUCCUGGCCACCUCCGCCAGAGUGCUCGCCAUGGCUGAUGACGAGCACCUCCGUGACAGUGCUGCCGCCGUUGUCCGUCGAGGAAGCGGCUCGUCGUAGACCAACACGUUGGAGGGGAACGCGUCGAGCGAUGCCGUGUCGGAUUCGGCCAACAUCGGGUCGGUGGAGCCAACCGACUCCAAGUCAGCAGCAGGCUCGCUGGCGAUGUGGAGCUGAUCGAGGAGGCUCACGAGGCGGCUCUCAGGGCCAUCGGUGCCCGCAUCAGACGCGGGCUCGUCGGAGAGGCGAAUCUCGCCAACAAGAUCAGCGAGGCAGCUCGCCGUGCAGGCGACCUUCGCGCCGCACAGCGCGUCGGUGCAGACGCCGUCUGGCGUGCCGGGCUGGCUGGGCUCGCCAGGAAGGAACAAGGUUCCCGUCCAGAGCAGGUCUUCGGGAGACGGUGCACCUCGCCCCAUGGUGGGCGCCAAAUGUCGGGGGUUGGGUGCGACAUAUGCCAAAGGAUGGCUUAUCAUGGUGGGAGCGAGUAGAGCGUCGCCGGUGCCUGGAAGCGGGAUGAGGCGUAGACACAUACGCCGGCAAACUUUACCCAGGUUAGGGGCUCUCCGUGGAGAUAACACCCCUAGUCCUGCUCUGCGGGGUCUCCGCAUGAUCACUAAGGCACUACUGGUACAAUGGUGCUCCUUGAGCUGUUUGCUAGAGGUGGAAGAAGGCAGGCACGCUCUCUCCUUCUCUAGGUAUGAGUCUAGUUCUAACAGGUUCGAACCCUUUGCAUGGGUGCCCUAGGGGGUUUAUAUAGGCCUACCCCCCAGGGGUAUAUUGGUAAUCUGCCGGGUGUAGGACCCGGCUCAGUGUCUUUGGCCGCCGGCUUCUCCGCCGGCUGCUGGGGCCCGCCGCCUGGUCUGGUAUGGAGCCGACAGGCCACUCCCGCCGCUCGCGGGUCUUGCCGGCUGCUGAUCACUAUAGCCGUGAUGCUAAUGACGCAGGCUUGGUCGGGGGGGCGUGGCUACAGUCCCGCCGCCUGGCGGGCGAUUACUGUAGCCACACCGCGUCUCAUCUGGUUGAUGGCACACGGGGCCUGAGGGAGGGAUAAGCCGCCUGCUGGAAGCCAGCUUCCCUCAGGUCCGGCUGCCCUGGCUUCCUCCGUCUUCAGGGCUCUCACUGCCUGGUAGGGCCCGCCGCCUGCAAGCCGUACCGACAGGCCAUGGUGGUAACAGGGCUCCGCCUGUAAGGAGUGACGUUUGGGGGGAGGGGCAGCAGUGUCGCGUCGUGCGGAGAUCUCCGCCUGUACGGGGCACUGUGGCCACGCCCGGCCCUGGAUUUGGGGGGAUGGGCUACGUUGUAGCCAUACCCUGUCUUGUCUCCUUGAGGAGGGCGCAGACUUUGAGGGCGCCACGGGCCGACUGCUAGGGGUCGGCCUCUCUGGAGGCCGUCCAGUAGGAGUCGGCCUGUUGUGAUGUUGUCUUCUAGAACUCGGCCGCCUUCUGACAGUCGGCCGUUCGGCCAACUGGCCGCCAGAAGGCGGAGAUCUAUCUUGACGUCUUGAGGAGCGCAGCCGGCCCCGAUGUCUUGAAAGGAUCGGGGGCUCGGGUUAGGCUACCCGUGGCCCAUUACUCCGACAGUGAUUGGGCGAGGACUGGGUGUCCUUGGCUCAAGGGGAAUAAGGUGAAGACGCGGUCUUCUGAGUUAAAUCUCAGCCUCCCUAACCAGACGUACAGUUGUCACAGCAACUGGAACUGGUCGAACAAAUCUCUUUCCUCUCCAAGCUACUGGUUCCAUCUCUUUCUUCUCUUUAUUUUCAGUUUGUCUUCGUGAAGUCAUUGCCUGCUUGCAUUAUCUGUUUGACUUCACUGCGUGACUACUUGUUCUGAUUGGCUUCAUAUUGUCUUUCAUCCUGAUUCAUACUGCCUAGCUGCUAAUAGUCUUCCUGCUUUCACUUCAUUGAAUACUUGACUAUGGCUUGCCUAGUGUAGUUUACCUUCCGCUGCAUAUCAAUAGGAUCAUUUCUAUUGUUUGUCUUUGAAACUCCCAUGUUUUGAAGACUUUCAUAAAAAUCGCCUAUUCACCCCCCCCCCUCUAGUCGAUAUCCAGCUCUUUCAUGUAUAUUGCACAAGCCUUCAUCUGGCUGCCCGUUUCUUUUGUUCCUCCUCAUCGCAAACAGUUAAUUGAGCUGAACCGUAUGCCCUGCAUUGCACACGCAACUAAAUUCUGAACCGUGUUUGAUGCAUCUGUCAUCGCAAACGUUUGCACCUUUUUGACGGGGGUUUUACACCACCGUUUGCGAUUAUGACAUCGCACACAGUUUGGUCGAAGGGUCUCUCAUCGUAGUGUCGCAUUUGGACCAUCCUGCAGUAGUGUAUGUUGUUGUUCUGUAUGCAAUCCCAUCGCACAACACACACGUCUUAUUAGCAGCAACCGUCUGUGUUAUUAUCGGUCUUCACACACAUUUCUGAUUACAUACCUGUUUGCCGCGUAUCACACACAUCUUGUUAAGUUGAACCGUUUCUGUUCUCAUGUCUCAACGCAAACAGUUCAUCCGAGUGAACCGCAUGCCGUAUAUCGCACACACCUUGAUCUGGUUGAUUGUUUCUUUUGUGUUGCCUAAUCACAAACAGUUCAUCCGAGUGAACCGUAUGUUGUGAAUCGCACACGCCUUCAUCUGGCUGCCCGUUUCUUUUGUUCCUCCUCAUCGCAAGCAGUUAAUUGAACUAAACCGUAUGCCCUUCACCGCACACGCAACUAAAACCUGAACCGUGUUUGAUGCAUUCGUCAUCGCAAACAUUUUAUACAUUUCUGACAGUUUUCAUACAGCGCCAUUUGCGAUUAUUGCAUCGCACACAGUUUCUCAAAGGGUCUCUAAUCGUAGUGUCGCGUUAGCAGCAUCCUGCCGUAGUGACAACAGCAAGCACAUUCUGGCUUGUGUAGUGCUUCCUUCCCCUGAAUGCCGCAGCUUGUGACCUCGGCACUCUGGCAGUGACAUGAGUACCAUCUAUUGCCCCAAUGCAAUCCUGAAAUGGCAAUACAAGAUUGUGUUAGUGCUCACCUUGAACUAUCCAAGCAUAUCAAGCAAUAAAAUACAUACUGCAGUGGUCACCUUGAAGUAUGGAUACCAUCUUGGGCUUGUGCGGAUCUUGGUAGGAGUCCGACCAGUUGGUGACUUGAUCAUCUCUCCUCCGAGCUCCCAAACAUCAUACAACACUUGCUUGAAGUACCUUGAGAUCUCCAUUGACCUCCUGAACAUGUUGUGGAUAACCCUGAACCUCUGGUUAUGGCCAACAAUAUGAAGGAACAUGGCGACUUGCUCUUCCACAUUGGUGUGGAUGCUAUCUUCUAGCAGCCCCUGAUACGUCUCCAACGUAUCUAUAAUUUAUGAAGUAUUCAUGCUAUUAUAUUAUCCAUCUUAGAUGUUUUAUAUGCAUUUAUAUGCUAUUUUAUAUGAUUUUUGGGACUAACCUAUUAACCUAGAGGCCAGUGCUAGUUUAUGUUUUUUCCUUGUUUUUGAGUUUUACAGAAAAGGAAUACCAAACGGAGUCCAAUUGACGUGCCAAUUUUGAUGAUUUUUUAUGGACCACAAGAAGCCCACGGAGCAUCGGAGAUGGACCAGAAGAGUCCCGAGCCGUCCACGAGGGUGGAGGGCGUGCCCUACCCCCCUUGGCGCGCCCCCCUAUCUCGUGGACGACUCGGAGACCCCCCUGACGUGAAACCGACGCCAAAAAUUCCUAUCAAUACAGAAACUCCUAGAAAGAAACCUAGAUCGGAAGUUCCACCGCCGUAAGCCUCUGUAGCCACGAGAAAUCAAUCUAGGCCCUCUCUGGCACCCUGCCGGAGGGGGCCAUCAUCACCGGAGGCCAUGGAGGAGGAUCCCGGAGGGGCCAUCAUCGCCAUGAAGGCCAAGGACCAGAGGGAGAACCUCUCCCCAUCUAGGGGGGAGGCCAUGGAGGAGGAAGCACAAGGGGGAGAACCUCUCCUCGUCUCUCUCGGUGGCGCCGGAGUGCCAUCGGGAGAGGAAUCAUCGCCGCGGUGAUCGUCUUCAUCAACAUCACCAUCAUCAUCACCAUCCUCAUCUCUUUUACGCGGUCCACUCUCCCGCACCUCGCUGUAAUCCCUACUUGAACAUGGUGCUUUACACCACAUAUUAUGAUCCAAUGAUGUGUUGCCAUCCUAUGAUGUUUUGAGUAGAUAUCCUUUGUCUUCGGGUUGAUUGAUGAUCUAGAUUGGUAUGAGUUGUAUGUUUUAUUUUGGUGUUGUCCUAUGGUGCCCUCCGUGUCGCGCAAGCGUGAGGGAUUCCCGAUGUAGGGUGUUGCAAUAUGUUCAUGAUUCGCUUAUAGUGGGUUGCUUGAGUGAUAGAAGCAAAAACCCGAGUAAGGGGGUUGUUGCGUAUGGGAUAAAGGGGACUUGAUGAUUUAAUGCUAUGGUUGGGUUUUACCUUAAUGAUCUUUAGUAGUUGCGGAUGCUUGCUAGAGUUCCAAUCAUAAGUGCAUAUGAUCCAAGAAGAGAAAGUAUGUUAGCUUAUGCCUCUCCCUCAUAUGAAAUUGCAAUGAAGACCACCGGUCUUGUUAACAAUUGCCUAGGAUAAUUCCGCACACCGACCCAUCAUUAUUCAACACUGGCUAUUUAUAAUAUUUAGUAAUAUAUUCUAACUUUAUGAUAACAGCACCUACUUUUAUGUUUAAGCUCUCCGAUAUUAUGCAAAGUUAUCCUCUUCAUACCCACAACGUAGUUUUAUUUCUCGUUUCUAGUUGGAAGCAAAAGUUCGGUGUACGUAGAUUCGUAUCAGUGGCAAAUAGGACUUGAGAGAAUAUUGAUCUUACCUUUAGAUCCUUGUGGGUUCGACACUCCAUACUUAUCAAUCCCACCUUUGGGAAUUGCUACGAUGAUUCCCUGCACUUGGGGAUUAUCAAGCUAUUUUCUGGCCCCAUUGCUGGGGAGCAAUAGCGUGGGGUUGAUAUUCUCGUGUGUGCUUGUUUGCUUUCUUCACUAAGUAGAUUUUGUUUGUCCUUUUUGUUUCUGUUUAGUUGUGGGUGAAACAUACAAAAAAAAUUAUAAGAAUGAAAAUACAAAAUAAAAAUUUACUUGCCUCUCAUGCCUAAAAAGUUUUUCAAUAAGAGAAGUGAUUGGAAGGUUAUGCAUUGAAGAAGUGAGGGUCGACCUUGAGCACUUAUGUUCAUGCUUAUGGAAACAAUGUAAAAAAUUUCAUGGAAGCUUCUUUGAAAAUAAUAUCCCUUGUAUAUAUCCAUUGUAUUAUAAAAAUAAUGUGCCAAGCUUUGGUUUUAGGAUGAUUAGAUUGCUUGUUUACCAUGUGCAGUACAAAAACAGAAACUUUGGCUGUAGCGCGUGAAUAUACAUUUUUUACUAGAAAGUCAAAUAGGUCUGAAACUUUCUGCACAUUACUUCUGUACAAAUUGUUUAAAUUGUCAUAUUUUUUUUAGAAUUUUUUGGAGUUACAGAAGUUUACUAAAUUUCCAGAUUACUACAGACUGUCCUGUUUUUGACAGAUUCGGUUUUCUAUGUGUUGAUCGCUUAUUUUGAUGAAUCUAUGGGUAGUAUCGGGGGGUAUGAACCAUGGUGAAGUUGGAAUACAGUAGAUAAAGUGCUAAUAUGAAAUUGGAAUGAGUUUGCAACAGUACCUAAACGUAGUGAUUUGCUUUAGUAUACUAACGGAUCUCACAAAGUUUUUGUUAAGUUUUUGUGGAUGAAGUGUUCGAAGAACGAGGAGUUACCGAUGUGAGAAGAAUAAAUAUGGGGCAAGAGUUCAAGCUUGGGGAUGCCCAAGGCACCCCAAGUAAAUAUUCCAAGGAUACUCAAGCAUCUAAGCUUGGGGAUGCCCCGGUUGGCAUCCCAUCUUUCUUCUUCAACAAUUAUCGGCAUACCUCGGUUUUUGUUUUGUUCACAUGAUUUGUGUCCUUUGUGUUAUUCUUUUUCUUUAAUAACCAUGCUAGUAUGAGAUAGCCCUUCAUCUAUUUAUAGAAUGCUUCAUGUGCUUCACUUAUAUCUUUUGAGUAUGACCUUAUAGAAUUCUCUUUGUGCUUCACUUAAAUCUUUUGGAGUAUGAAUAAUACUAUCAUCUAAAGUGGGUUUGGAAGAGUGUAAAAUUUAGGAAUUAGUGAUCCCACUAUUUUGGAGGGUGUUGAAUCUUAGUGUGAUAUAUAUGAAAGUGGAUUUGGAAGAGUGUCAACUUUAGUUAGUAAUGAUUCCACUAUUUCGGAAGAGGUUCCAAUUGAUCAUGAGAACAAAGUUGCUAUCUAUGAUGACUAUUGUGAUGACAUGUAUGCUAUAAAGAAUAAUGUUAACCAUGAAACUUGUCAUCAUGAUUUUAAUUUUCAAUUGGAUUAUGCCUCACAUGAUAGUUAUUUUGUUGAGUUUGCUCCCACUAUUCCGAAUGAGAAGAAUUUUGCUUAUGUGGAGAGUAGUAAAAUUUCUAUGCUUGUAGAUCAUGAAAAGAAUGCUUUAUGUGAUGGUUAUAUUGUUGAACUCAUUUAUGAUGCUACUGAAAAUUAUUAUGAGUGAGUAAUACAUGCUUGUAGGAGCUGCAAUAAUAUCAAGUUUCCUCUCUAUGUGCUUGAAGUUUUGAAGUUAUACUUGUUUUGCCUUCCUAUGCUAGUUGAUUCUUGUUCCUAUAAAUUGUGUGCUCACAAAAUCCCUAGGCAUAGGAAGUGGGUUAGAUUUAAAUGUACUAGUCAUAUUCUUCAUGAUGCUCUCUUUAUGUUUCAAUUCUUAUCUUUUAUGUGAGCAUCAUUGAAAUCAUCAUGCCUAGCUAAAAAGCAUUAAAGAAAAGCGCUUGUUGGGAGACAACCCAAUAUUUACCCUUUCUGUUUUUGUGUGUUUACAUGAUUAAGCUACUGUAGUAAUCAUGUUUUAUAGAUUUUGUUUCAAUAAAGUGCCAAGUAAGACCUUUGGGAAGACUUGGGUGAAAGUUAAUGUGCUCUUGCUGUAAAAACAGAAACUUUGCGCUCACGAGAUUAGUUGUCAUUUUUUAUCGAAGAGUGCUUUGGAGUUGAUUCUUUUUGAAGAAGAUUAAUAUGCAAAUUACUCACGUACACCAAUUUAUUUCAUAAUUUUUGGAGUACCAGAAGUAUGUUUCUGUUCAGAUCAUCACAAACUAUUCUGUUUCUGACAGAUUCUGUUUUCAUUGCAUAGUUUGCUUGUUUUCUAGUUUCUAUGGCUUAUAUUUCUCAAUAUAAAUUGUAGAAAUGAUAUGGUACAGCAGGCAUUGUGUGAGAACAAUUAUAAACCUUGUCUUUGAAAGUACCAAAGUGAAUGGUUUACUCUUUAUCAUACUAACCCAUCUCACGAAGUUCCAUUAAGUUUUGUGUGAUUGAAGUUUUUAAGCUUUGGGUGAGAUAUCGAUAUGAGGAGAAUAAGGAGUGGAAAAGACCCUAAGCUUGGGGAUGCCCAAGGCACCCCAAGGUAAUAUUCAAGGAAGACUCAAGCGCCUAAGCUUGGGGAUGCCCCGGAAGGCAUCCCCUCUUUCGUCUUCAAAACUAUCGGUAUACCUUACUCGGAGCUAUAUUUUUAUUCGUCACAUGAUAUGUGUUUUGCUUGGAGCGUAUUUUCAAUUUUACUUGCUGUUUGAAUAAAAUCAUUGGAUCUGAAAUCUUGAAUGAAAACGAAUCCUCCCAUGGCUAGUUAAUUAUUUGACUACUCAGUGUUCUUCACUUAUAUCUUUUUGAGUAGUUUGUCAUUUACUCACGUGCUUCACAUAUAUCCUAUGAGUAAAUGGUUGAAUAAAUUGAAUAUCAUAAAUCUGAAUUUAUAUACGUUUCAUAUGCUUAUAACAUGGGGAGUAAUGACUUCACACAUAAUAAGUAUAGGUAGUAAACUUAUUGAAAUUUAGCAAACGCAGAAUUGGUCACUUGAACAAUUCAUGAAAGAAUAUUAAAGGAAGAGAGAUUUCACAUAUAAAUAUACUAUCUUGGACAUCUUUUGUAAUUGUGAGCACUCAUUAAAAUAUGACAUGUUAAAAAGUUGAUGUUGGACAAGGAAGACAACUUAAUGGGUUAUGUUUUCCUAUAUCCGAAAAGUUUUAUUGUCUUGGAUCAUCCAACAUGAUGAGCUUUCCUUUCCCUCUCAUGCUAGCCAAAUUCUUUGCACCAAGUAGAAAUACUACUUGUGCUUCCAACAUCCUUUAAACCAGUUUUGCCAUGAGAGUCCACCAUACCUACCUAUGGAUUGAGUAAGAUCCUUCAAGUAAGUUGUCGUCGAUGCAUGCAAUAAAAAUUGCUCUCUAAAUAUGUAUGAUCUAUUAGUGCGAAGAAAAUAAGCUUUAUACGAACUUGUGAUAGGGAAGAAAUAAAAGCGACGGACUGCAUAAUAAAGGUCUUUAUUACAAGCGGCAAUAUAAAGUGACGUUCUUUUGCAUUAAGAUUUUGUGCAUCCAACCAUAAAAUCGCAUGACAACAUCUGCUUCCCUCUGCGAAGGGCCUAUAUUUUACUUUUAUCUUCUACCCUUAUACAAGAGUCAUGGUGAUCAUCACCUUUCCUUUUUACACUUUUUUUCCUUUGGCAAGCACUUUGUGUUGGAGCGAUCCGGAUUUAUAUAUCCACUUGGAUGUAGGUUUUCAUAAAGUAUUAUUGUUGAAUUACCCUUGAGGUAAAAGUUGGGAGGCGAAACUAUAAGCCCCUAUCUUUCCCUGUGUCCGAUUAAAACUUUGAACCCAUAAAUAUCACGUGAGUGGUAGCAAUUGUGAAAGACUAUAUGAUAGUUGAGUAUGUGAGAUUUGCUAAAUCAAAGCUCUUACAUAGACCCUUCCUGAAAAUAAGAUGAAUUGCAAUUGUUUGAUGACUGAGAACAUAGUUUGUUAGUUUUCAACAAAGUUUAUGGUCUAUGCUUUAACAUGUGAAUAGCUUGUUACUUGAUCAUAAGAAAUUUUGUGAGAUGAGAUACUGUUAUGACAUAUAAUGAUGCUAGAAAAGGUGAUUGAAAUUACCAUGGAUCAAACUUGUGCACCUGAUAGCAUUCACACUUCAUAAAUUAUUUCUUUUAUCAUUUACCUACUCAAGGACGAGCAGGAAUUAAGCUUGGGGAUGCUUGAUACGUCUCCAACGUAUCUAUAAUUUAAAAAGUAUUCAUGCUAUUAUAUUAUCCAUCUUAGAUGUUUUAUAUGCAUUUAUAUGCUAUUUUAUAUGAUUUUUGGGACUAACCUAUUAACCUAGAGCCCAGUGCCACUUUCUGUUUUUUCCUUGUUUUUGAGUUUUACAGAAAAGGAAUACCAAACGAAGUCCAAUUGACGUGCCAAUUUUUGAUGAUUUUUUAUGGACAAGAAGAAGCCCACGGAGCAUCGGAGAUGGACCAGAAGAGUCCUGAGCCAUCCACGAGGGUGGUGGGCACGCCCUACCCCCUGGGCGCGCCCCCCUAUCUCGUGGACGACUCGGAGACCCCCCUGACGUGAAACCAACGCCAAAAAUUCCUAUAAAUACAGAAACUCUCAGAAAGAAACCUAGAUCGGAAGUUCCGCCGCCGUAAGCCUCUGUAGCCACGAGAAAUCAAUCUAGGCCCUCUCUGGCACCCUGCUGGAGGGGGCCAUCAUCACCGGAGGCCAUGGAGGAGGAUCCCGGAGGGGCCAUCAUCGCCAUGAAGGCCAAGGACCAGAGGGAGAACCUCUCCCCAUCUAGGGGGGAGGCCAUGGAGGAGGAAGCACAAGGGGGAGAACCUCUCCUCCUCUCUCUCAGUGGCGCCGGAGUGCCAUCGGGAGGGGAAUCAUCGCCGCGGUGAUCGUCUUCAUCAACAUCACCAUCCUCAUCUCUUUUACGCGGUCCACUCUCCCGCACCCCGCUGUAAUCCCUACUUGAACAUGGUGCUUUACGCCACAUAUUAUGAUCCAAUGAUGUGUUGCCAUCCUAUGAUGUUUUGAGUAGAUAUCCUUUGUCUUCGGGUUGAUUGAUGAUCUAGAUUGGUAUGAGUUGUAUGUUUUAUUUUGGUGCUAUCCUAUGGUGCCCUCCGUGUCGCGCAAGCGUGAGGGAUUCCCGCUGUAGGGUGUUGCAAUACGUUCAUGAUUCGCUUAUAGUGGGUUGCUUGAGUGAUAGAAGCAUAAACCCGAGUAAGGGGGUUGUUGCGUAUGGGAUAAAGGGGACUUGAUGCUUUGAUGCUAUGGUUGGGUUUUACCUUAAUGAUCUUUAGUAGUUGCGGAUGCUUGCUAGAGUUCCAAUCAUAAGUGCAUAUGAUCCGAGAAGGGAAAGUAUGUUAGCUUAUGCCUCUCCCUCAUAUGAAAUUGCAAUGAAGACCACCGGUCUUGUUAACAAUUGCCUAGGAUAAUUCCGCACACCGACCCAUCAUUAUUCCACACUCGCUAUUUAUAAUAUUUAGUAAUAUAUUCUAACUUUAUGAUAACAUCACCUACUUUUAUGUUUAAGCUCUCCGAUAUUAUGCAAAGUUAUCCUCUUCAUACCCACAACGUAGUUUUAUUUCUCGUUUCUAGUUGGAAGCAAACGUUCGGUGUACGUAGAGUCGUAUCAGUGGCAGAUAGGACUUGAGAGAAUAUUGAUCUUACCUUUAGCUCCUUGUGGGUUCGACACUCCAUACUUAUCACAUCCACCUUUGGGAAUUGCUACGAUGAUUCCCUGCACUUGGGGAUUAUCAGCCCCUGGUCCUGAAGGUCUGAACAAGUCUGGCAAAUGGUGCUCUUUUCAUUCUAAGCAUCUACAGAGCCUCUGUCUCGUUGCAGUUGUAUAUGUAGUUCAGACUGGAGAUCCUCUUCUGCUCAUGCAUAAGCAUUGGAGAAUAUCUGAUGAUAGGUCUCUCAGCACGACGAACAACUCUCUUGUGCAUGAACAUUACCCAUGCCUGAAUGACAGCUAUCAGUGCUCCGGCCCGAAGUACCAACCGCAUCCGUGCGUCCAUAACCUAGUCCACAUCGAGGGUGCAUCGAGCAAUGGGUAAAUCGCUCCUACACCUUGCCUAACGGCCUAACAACGCACCUAACAUAGGCGACAUGCGGUGUUGCUUACCGGUAUCGGAGACAAGGACGACGAAGGGGGGGCAUGGCUGAGUUAAGGAUGACCAGAUGGUGGCCAAAUGGAAGAGCAGCAGCAGCUCCUACUCCGGAUCUGCCGCCGCCGCCUCGUCUGCACAGAUCUGAGUCGCCGCCGCCGGCGGUGGUGAGGCUAGAGGAGGUGGCUGUCCUAGAGGUAGCGUGACCGAGUAAAGGGGUGUGAGCCUAGAUUUGGCGACGUNNNNNNNNNNNNNNNNNNNNNNNNNNNNNNNNNNNNNNNNNNNNNNNNNNNNNNNNNNNNNNNNNNNNNNNNNNNNNNNNNNNNNNNNNNNNNNNNNNNNNNNNNNNNNNNNNNNNNNNNNNNNNNNNNNNNNNNNNNNNNNNNNNNNNNNNNNNNNNNNNNNNNNNNNNNNNNNNNNNNNNNNNNNNNNNNNNNNNNNNNNNNNNNNNNNNNNNNNNNNNNNNNNNNNNNNNNNNNNNNNNNNNNNNNNNNNNNNNNNNNNNNNNNNNNNNNNNNNNNNNNNNNNNNNNNNNNNNGCGUGCGAGCUUGCGCCGCCCUCAGCCUGGCUUCUAGCGAGCCAGGCUGAGGGUUGCUUUAAGCUUCGUGCGCAUGCGAGCCAGCCCAUAGAGUUCGCAACCAAACACACAUUUCAUGGCCCAACUGAGUCUGGUUGCGAUCUUAUGGGCAACCAAAUGCGCCCUCAGUGUUUUCUGAAAACUGUUAGCACAAUUGUGGUGUUUUUUUUGGACUGUAAUAACUGGCAAUCGUGUGCCAGAUUGCAAAAACCACCACACCCCCUCGUGCCGCAUGAAACCCAUCCCUUCUCUCGAUUUUCUAGGCCAUCCCGAUCCCCCCUCAAGAACCCCUCCCUUCUUCUUCCCGAUUUUCUGGGCCACCCGGAUCCCCCCACUGGUGGCGGACCCUUCCGAUUCUGCACACACACACGCUUGCAGUUUGAAGAAAGCGAAAAAAUGCGAUGGGAGGGGAAUUGAACCCUCAACCUCCAACAAUUAAUUUAGCAACAACAACUGCCUGGGCUACGCCACGUUAUUGAUUUCUUUCAACUUGCACACUACUUGUACAUUCCUGAGAUGAGAUUGAAUGAAACUGAAAAUUCAAACCGACAGGCUCACUUGUCUAGGAUUUGGAACUUUUUUCUGGACGUUUUACACCGGUUCAGAUGGUUCACAAACUCAGGCGUCCCCUCCCUUCCUUUUUUAGAUGCAAAUCACCACAAUGUUUGUACUUAAGUUAUCUGAUAUGAGGUUCGUAUAUUACCAUACUAUCUAGAGAGUAGCUGUCGAGUAUGUAUCUCAACAAUUUUUUCCCUCUUCUGGUAUAUAAGUUACCACGUAUGUGGUAUGCAAGUUAUCGUGGUAUUUCCACAUAAGUUACCGGGGUUAUGUUUUUUAAUAACUUUUUCUCCUCUUGGUCAAAAGUUAUUGCGGUGUUUGUACGUAAGUUAUCGGGUAUGUAGUUCGUAUAUUACCGUGUUAUUUUCACAUAAGUUAUCGAGGUUAUGUAUUUUAUAACAUUUCUCUGUUGAUCAAAGUUAACGUGGUGUCUGUACAUAUGUUUUUGACACCUUUUUCCCUACUUAGUCAAAGUUAUCGCGAUGUUUGUAUGUAAGUUAUCGGGUAUGCGUACGUAUAUCAUGGUGCUAUUUUCACAUAAGUUACCGGGGGUUAUGUAUUUCAACAACCUUUUCCCCUUUGGUCAUAGUCGCCGCCGUGUUUCUAUGUAAGUUAUCGGAUAUGCGAUUUGUAAAUUGCCAUGUUAUUUUCACAUAAUAUAAGUUGUUGGGGGUAUGUUUUUCAACAAGUUUUUUCCCACUCACAAAAAAAACAAUAAUUUUUUUCCUUUGGUCAAACUCACCACGGUGUUUGUACGUAAGUUAUUGAGUAUGAGGUUCGUAUAUUACCGUGCUAUUUUCACAUAAGUUAUCGGGGUAUAUUUUUCAACAACUUUUUUCCUUUGAUCAAAGUUAUCACGGUGUUUGUACGCAAGUUAUCGGGUAUGUGGUUCAUAUAUUACUGUAUUAUUUUCACAUAAGUUAUCGAGGGUAUAUUUUUCAACAAUUUUUUCCUUUGCUCAAAGUUACCGUGGUGUUUGUAUGUAAGUUAUUGGAUAUGUGAUUUGUAUAUUACCGUGUUAUUUUCACAUGAGUUAUCAGGUGGGGUUUUCAACUACUUUUCUUUCUUUGUCAAAGUUAUCGUGAUGUUUAUACAAAAGUUAUCGGGUAGUUUUGAUGAACCACGUAUUACGCUCAUGUAUUGCCAUCCUAGCACUAAACUAAUCUUCAGGACACUUAGCAUCUGAAUCAAGGUAAAAGUGCAGAAGACACUGCUCUCCGUUUAUAUGCUGUAGAUACUGAACUUUGCACCGCCCAACACACAAAGUUGCUUCCUUUUCUAAACAAAAAAAACACAAAGUUCUUCCAAUCCCAAAUGCCAUGGCACCAUCCAACAGUUUUUGCAACAAACAACAAUCUCCUGUUGUAGUACUAUCACAGCAGAGCAAACAGAAAACUCGAAAAAGAGGGCUGGAAUCACAUGAUUAUCAAAAAAAAGUGGCAACAAAUCUACGGAGACUAGCACAACAAGGUUGCCAUCAGUAGUAAAGAACAUCGAAGUUGUAUAACUACCCUGCAAUUUAUUCAGGCAACAGUAAGAGACACUGUCAGGCUCAUGCACAUCUACUCGUAGGAGGCACAACGAGCCCCGGCCAUGGAUGGGAAUGGAGCCGAAGACGGGGAUGUUACCUCGUCCGAUCUGGCAACCACNNNNNNNNNNNNNNNNNNNNNNNNNNNNNNNNNNNNNNNNNNNNNNNNNNNNNNNNNNNNNNNNNNNNNNNNNNNNNNNNNNNNNNNNNNNNNNNNNNNNNNNNNNNNNNNNNNNNNNNNNNNNNNNNNNNNNNNNNNNNNNNNNNNNNNNNNNNNNNNNNNNNNNNNNNNNNNNNNNNNNNNNNNNNNNNNNNNNNNNNNNNNNNNNNNNNNNNNNNNNNNNNNNNNNNNNNNNNNNNNNNNNNNNNNNNNNNNNNNNNNNNNNNNNNNNNNNNNNNNNNNNNNNNNNNNNNNNNNNNNNNNNNNNNNNNNNNNNNNNNNNNNNNNNNNNNNNNNNNNNNNNNNNNNNNNNNNNNNNNNNNNNNNNNNNNNNNNNNNNNNNNNNNNNNNNNNNNNNNNNNNNNNNNNNNNNNNNNNNNNNNNNNNNNGAUGGCGGUGAGGAACUGCAGCCGGAUCCAUCUAUGACGAGAAGCGGGGCCGGGGCCAUCCACAACAAGCAGCGGGGGUAGCGGAUCUCGGCUCCCUUCUCCUUUUGACCGGGAAGCAAGGCAACGACUGACGGCUUUAAGUGGCUGUGGGUCUCGCCGGAAUCUGGAACCCGGAGGCCCUUGCGGCUGGGAAAGGAGGUAGAGGUGCCAGGGGCUAGCCGGCUAGGUGAGGAGGGAAGGCGUGUUCUGCCGGAGCCGGGGGUGUGAGGCGAGCGGCAGGGUCGAGGUUGGAAGCGUGCGGCGGGGAGGCGCGUGGGCCACUGGGGAAGAAGGCGGGGAAGGGAACGCCUCGUUGGAUUUGGAUCGAACGUCUCUCCAAACCUGGCCAAAUGGGCCAGCCCGGCACGGCACGGCCCGCCCUGAGAUAAACGGGCCAGGCACGGCAUUGCCCGCUCAGGCACGCGAACUACUCGGGCCAUGCCGGGCCGGCACACGUGCCGGCCUUCGAGGCCCAGGCACGGCCCCUGGCUAAACGUGCUGGCCCGUAGGCACGUCUGGCCCGAGGUGGCCCACCGGCACGAGGUGGCCCGAUUUUUCAAAAAAAAAAAGCACGUCUGGCUGGAGCAAGCGCGCAUGGGCGGUGCAGGGCUGCAGGCGCGCUCGUCGGCUUGUGCCAUCGAUGCAGCAACGCAGGGCUGCAACCUUCAUGCAUGCAUACAUGCACGUCUCGCUUCGUGUUUUUAGUACAUGUUUCGCUGUACCUGGUAUGUGGCACUAGCACGAUAGCAACAGUAGGUUUUGCUACGUUUAUUACUUCCAAAGAAUUGUAGGACGUUUAUUACAGCCAGAAAAUAAGAAGAAAGUUUGUAUGUCAGAAAAUAAGUAUAGAAAGUUGAAAAAAUAUAUGACAAUGUGUCAUCAUGUGGGAUAAAUAUUGAGCUUUAUUACAGCAUGCCUCAUUAAAACCUUCCGUCCCUAAGAAGUAAAAGAGUACAAUGCCAUGCUCAAAAUAAAAAAACGAAAAUUACAAAGAGUACAACUACAUGGCUUGGUGCCCUGCGGCCUGCUCGUCUGUCUUGUCGUGUUUCUGCUUAUGGCGAUGAAGGUGGCCGAUUCCUCCGUUCCCCAGGCUCAAAAAGAUUCCACAUCUUUUGCACUUAGCUUUACGCACGUUGACAUCAUCCACCACAAAUACUUCUUCAUCAAAGUAGUUCCAGACGGGCGAGACUCUUCGUCGAACAUUUAGAGCAUCCAUGUGUUGAGUGUGGAAAUGAGAUGGGGUUUGAGUGUGAGAAAUAAGAGGGGGUAGGCAGCCCUUUAUAUAGCCAAAAAACUUACUAUUUUUACAUGGGCGGGCACGUUAGGCACGCUAGGCACGUUAGGCAAAAAUAAGUCCAAAAAAUUAAAAUGAGGAAAGUGCCAUCAUGUGGGAUAAAUCUCGAGCUUUAUUAGUGAUUGCCUCAUUAAAACCUUCCAUCCCUGGGAAGUAAAAGAGUACAAAGCCACGCUAUAGGUUACAAAAGGAAAAGAAAAUUACAACAGCAUAAGAAAAUUACAAAAGGAAAAAAAUAGAAAGACUACAACUACUCUUCGUUCUCUUCGUCUUCGAGUGCAAGAUCUUCGAACGUGGCCAUCAGUUCGUUGUUUUCCGCAGUGUGUUGGCCUCUUCUUCUGGCUAGUUCUCCGUCUUUCACGGUCAUGAUUGUUCUCACCAUAUCCGGGGUGAGACUCGUCCUUCUUUCCUCAAGUAUUCUUCCAGCUAGACUGAAAGCAGACUCUGAUGAUGUAGAUGAGACGGGUAUUGAUAACACAUCCCGUGCUAAUAUGGAAAGCACCGGAUAUGUAACCUUGUGUUCAUGCCAUCACUGAAUUAUGUCAAAGUCGUCGUCCUCAUCUUCAUUGAAGCUGACUUUGUCGCUGUUGAGGUACUUCGCUAACUCCCCACCACCUAAAAGCACAUGCGAUGGUCCUGAUGUGGAAGAGCUCGGGGCAGAGGUGGAAGAACCAAAUAACUUGCUCCACGCUCCUUUCUUUUUUCCAGUUGGUGCUGGUGGAGGCCGCUGCAUGCGAACUCCGGCAUACUUUUGAUCGUACUUAGCAUAAACUUCAGAAAGCUUAUCACGAACCUUAGUGGAAUAAGCGAUAUAAUCUAUCCCUAGGGCCCCAGUUAGUACAGCGAGUGCACUAGCAAACAAUUCAAGUUUAACCCUAGGAUCCAAGAUAAAUGCAAAUGCAUACAAAAUAGGAAUCUUCGCCCAAUAUUUGCAAUAUUUAAGUUUCAUGCGAGAAACCAUAGGACUUAAUAAAACAUUAUUUUCAUAUGCUUUCAAGUGAGAUGCAAUGUCUACAAGAGUGUGCAUCAUUAAAGGAGAUGUGGGAUAAUAAACCCCAGACAAAGAAAUUGUUGCAUCAUAAAAUAUCUCUAAAAACUUGACCAAAGCUUUAGCAACAUCCCAAGUAUCAGCAGUGAAAUGUUCUCUCCCCAUAUUUGCAUUAAUCCAUCCCGAGAAUGCAAUUUCGUCUCGGAUAACUGCCUUAAGCAUCAUAUAUGUAGAGUUCCAUCUAACAAGCAUGUCUAGAUUGUACUUAUGAGGAAUUUGUUCUAUUCCUAUGCAAUAUCUCUUAUAGCUAGUAAUUCGCUGAGUAGAGUUACCAAGAAAAGAAAUUGCAGUGCGUAUAGUCUCAACCUCUUUCUUGCAUCUUUUGAUAGCACAUUUAGCAAUAAGAUUAAUUAUAUGAAAAGCACAACGUUGAUGCAGUAAAAAAGAUGCAGCAUAUACAGAAAAUAGAGGACUGAGGCUCUCCAUUGCAGUUGCAUUUGCUGAAGCAUUAUCCAAAGUUACUGCAAAUAUCUUUUCGGCCAGACCAAAUUCUGACACAACAUUAAGUAUUGCCUGGGCUAUGUUUUCACCCGUGUGUGCUUCGUCAAUUAAUUCAAAUCCUAUAAUUCUUUUUUGUAGAUCCCAUUUUUUGUUAACAUAAUGAGCGACCACACUAAUGUAGUCUUGCUUUGCCCGACCACUCCAGAUAUCAAAUGUUAAAGAGACUGAAAAAGUGCAUGUAGUAAAAUCAUCUUUUAUUUUCUGAAGACUAGUUUUGCAUAAUUUUGUCAUAUCCCUACUUGUAGUUUGUCUAGAAACUGAUUUGAAACUAGGAGUAUGAACUUUUUGAAUGUAUUCGAUAAAACCGGGCGAAUCACCAAAACCUAAUGGCAAAUCAUUAGAAGCAAUUAAACGACAAAUUCCUUCUCUAUGAAGAUCGGGAUCAUAGAUGAAGUUCUGUAUCGUACCGUCGGGGUUGAAUUUGAGCGUGGCCUGUGUCCCCGCAGACUGCUUGUCCGCUUUCUCGUGCUUGAGGAUGUGCCUGUUGAGGUGGCCGGUUCCUCCUUGCCCCCCCAUGGAAAGCAAGUGGGUGCAUCUCUUGCACCGAGCUUUCAACACGUUGACGCCGUCCUCCACGACUAUUUCUUCUUUGAAAUGGUUCCAGCACGCUGAGGUUUUGUGUCGAACCCUCUUUGUGCCGAUGGAGGUGGAGGUAUUAGACUGGGUAGUGGAUUGGCUGCCGGACGCUACAUACUCGUCAGAAGAGGGGUAUGUGGUGGUAUUGUGGGCUGUAGGAUCCAUCCACUCGGGGAUGUCAACAUCUAGAUCACUAGUAUCGAAAUUUAACCGGCUGGGAUCAUCCAUGUUUGAGUCAGUGUGAGAAAUAAGAGGGAGAGGAGGUUUGAGUGUGAAAAUGAGAGGGGUGGGCAGCCCUUUUUAUAGCAAAAAUCUGACAUUUUUUGGGACCUAAUUUGCCCUACAACAUUCAAAUAUUCAAAAAUAAGACAAAACAUACCUAAGCCCCUCUAACCCCCCUAAACCCCUCUAACCCCCCACUAAACCCCACCCAUCGCUGCCAUCGGAGGAGGGCACGUCACACGCUCCCCCCUCGCUCCUCCCGAGCAACGGCUCUUUCCGUUUUUGCUGCUAUCGAUGGAAUCCCUCCCGUGCCGUGCGUGCCGUGCCGUGCUGGGCCGUGCUCGUGCCUGGCCCAUUACUGUGUGUGCCGUGCCGGGCUGGCACGCGUGCCGGGCAUCGCAGCCCAGGCACGCCCCUAGCCGGGCCACGUGCCAGGCACGGCCCACUUCGCCUCGUGCCGUGCCGGCCCAUGACGGGCCAGGUACGCGGGCUUUCCUGCGAGCCCAUUUAACAGGCCCGUUUGGCCAGGUUUGCGUCUCUCGAUGCGCGUGGCAGUUUUGCAAAAACGAUCCCGGUUGCCACAUACAUAUUUCGUUUUAUUUUGGAAAAACGAAAGGUGAUAGUUUUUUCUUUUUAAAUUAGAGUCUCUAUAAUUGUGGUGUUUUUCGCAAUUUACUCGAACUUGUGGGGAGACUGUAAAAAAAAUUACGCGUUUAUGAAACUGUUGACGAGCUCUUCUUGCCCAAGUUUUUUUGAGAGAUAAAUACACCAAGAGUCUUAGAACUUACACGCGAUGAUCAGUUUGGUGCAUAAACUUGUAAAAUACGUAAUUUUGGUCUUCAAACUUGCACAGGCGUGCAAAUACGGUCAUAUAUCCUGUACGCGGGCGUAUCCGAUGCUUGCUUGGCACGCCAGCGUGGAUAAGGCCCACUGUUAACAACAGAUGACACUUUCCCUAAAAAAACAGAUGACACUCGGUGCGACAUGUUCUUGCAUAAAACACCCUCGUCUUUUUCUAUUUGCAGAAAAAAAAUCAUCGUUGGUAGGGAAGGGCUCCUGCGAGGGCCGAAUACAGAAGCGGGUGGUGGGGGAUCAAACUAGCUAGCUUAGGUAGCCACAUGUUGGACCCGACCACUACAACACAUAUAUUUACGUGUCUAAGAUGAGAUACAAUUUCAUUUAUACUGAAAACGUCCGGUAUUAUCAACUGAAUAUGUGCCAUGCACAUGACUUGACUUGAUGAAAGUAAAGUGUAGAGUGAACAGUUUAUUAAAUAUACACUUGUGUAUUACCUAAAAUAUAUUUAGUUAAUACGUACAUUUAAAAUGUUUAUUAAAUAAAAAAAAUGAAUACAAAAAGAAUUAUAUGCUCAUGGCUUAUAUUUAAAUUAUACAAAAUUAUGAAUACGACAUUUACUAAAUAUUUAUGAAUAUUCAAUUGUGUAUAAUUUUGAAUCAUGAUUUAUAUUCAAAAAUAAUAUAUAAAUUCAUAUUAGACACGGUAAAUAUCAUACCAACAAUCNNNNNNNNNNNNNNNNNNNNNNNNNNNNNNNNNNNNNNNNNNNNNNNNNNNNNNNNNNNNNNNNNNNNNNNNNNNNNNNNNNNNNNNNNNNNNNNNNNNNNNNNNNNNNNNNNNNNNNNNNNNNNNNNNNNNNNNNNNNNNNNNNNNNNNNNNNNNNNNNNNNNNNNNNNNNNNNNNNNNNNNNNNNNNNNNNNNNNNNNNNNNNNNNNNNNNNNNNNNNNNNNNNNNNNNNNNNNNNNNNNNNNNNNNNNNNNNNNNNNNNNNNNNNNNNNNNNNNNNNNNNNNNNNNNNNNNNNNNNNNNNNNNNNNNNNNNNNNNNNNNNNNNNNNNNNNNNNNNNNNNNNNNNNNNNNNNNNNNNNNNNNNNNNNNNNNNNNNNNNNNNNNNNNNNNNNNNUUAUACACACAUUAAAUUAUAAAAAUGUAGAUAUAAUUAUUGGAACACUUUAUAAUUAAAAUAGUAUUUAUGAAUAGAAAUUUUAACAAUAUUUAUAUUAUUAUUAACCAAUUAUUUUAAAAUUCAUAAAUAUUAUUUUAAAAUAAUACAUGAACAAAGUUUCUGCUCCACAAAUUUCUAAAAAAUGAACAGCUGCAACUAUACAAACAUUCUUUAAUUAUGAAUAUUUUAAAAAAUAUUCUACAAAUUUUAAAAACGAACUUUUUUAAAAUUAUAAAUAUUUUAAAAGUAUCUAUUAAUUUAUAAAAAGACGAACAUAUGUAAAAUAGGCCGCACAAACUGGAGACCAUUUCUGCUACACGAGCUCCUUUGUUAUAGUGCAGUAAAGCAGAGUUAUCCUAUAAUACCAUCUACAGGCUUUUGUUCGAGUGGCUUGGCUGGCCUGUGUGCUAACCUAGGGCGUGGGAUCUCGAGACCUGGCCACACACUUUUUCUUGUUAUAAAUUUUGCUCUAUGCUGACAGGUGCGACCCACCAGUUGUUAAUUUUUUGGCAAAUACGAGGGGGUUUCGUGCAAAAAAAAUGUCGCACCGAGCGCCACAGUGGGCAGCCAAGCAUGAGAGAUGACCGUGUACGGGAUAUGUGACCGUAUUUGUACGUCUAUGCAAGUUCGAUGACUAGAAUCACGUAUUUUACAAGUUUAUACAUUAAACUGACCGUCACGUGUAAGUUCUAAAACUCUAAGUGUAUUUACCUCUUUUUUAAACCAUAGUUAUUUUACAGAACCGGCGGAGAUGCUCUUACCUAGUGAUUCCCCCAAGUCAACGAGAGAAGCCGCGUCCUGCAUUCCCCACUUCCCACCGCGCCACUGCAAGAUUCGAGCGCCGCCCCGCAGUUUCGACCAAGAAGCGACUCCGCGGACGGUGGUGUGGCAGCACGAGGCAGCAGCGACGGCAGCCGCGACUCCAGGUGACGGCGACGAUACAUUCUCAUGGUGUGCUCUUCUCCUUUAAUUUUCUUGGUUUUCUUCCGGUCGUUCUUCAGCUGUGUGAAUCCUCAUGCGAGUUAGAUGAUAGAUCUCGUUUAAAUCUCUAAUCAGAUGGAUCGAUUGGUCGUUUAAAUCUCUAUAAAGAGGUUGCCGCUAAUUCGGUUUUGAAACUACUUUUUUGGGUUCCCUUUUACAGUUAUCUUGUUUUGGAUCCACGACUUAUUGAGGACACUGUAUAUACAACAGAUGCUUGCUAUCUCUUGGAAGUGUAUUUAGAAAAUAAAUAAAUAAAUGCAUGGGAAGUCUAACAAACGCCGCAAACAUGAUAACCUGGAGAACCAACUACAGGAUCAAAGUUUAGAAGCACAAGCAAUACCGUUGAAAUACUUGGAAAAAAUCACAAACAACUUCUCUGAUGAGCGACUACUUGGUAAAGGUGGUACUGGCUUUGUAUAUAAGGUAAGCUUAAAACAUGCCCAUUUAGUCUUUCAAAAAUAUAUGUAACCUGCCCAUAUUAACAAGUGAUUUUAAACAGGGUGUGCAGCAAAGUGGGGAGAUAAUCGUUGUGAAGAGGCUUAUGCCAUCAAUGGUGGGCGCUCAGAGUUUAUUUGAGAAUGAGGUUCAUCAUCUUAUGAGGCUUAGGCACCCGAAUAUUGUGCGACUUAUGGGGUAUUGCUAUGAAACAAAGAAAGUUAUUUUAGAAUACAGAGGGAAAAAUGUUUUUGCUGAGAGGUCAGAAAUGUUGCUUUGCUUGGAGUAUCUCCCUAAAGGUAGCCUUGAUGGUUAUAUUUCAGGUAUGACAAUCCAAUAUAGGACAUGUAUUGCUUCUAAGUUUUUCGUGUUCCUCCGUGAUUGUAGUUUGCGUGGCUUGAGCGUAACUCCUAACUGCUGGAUUUUAUUCAUAUAUACUAAUGUUACAACAGAUUGACAUGUGGUGAUAAUAUCUAUCUAUGAACAAUAAAGGAUAACACACAAUAGGAGUUUUUUUUUUUUUUGUGGGGUAACACACAAUAGGAGUUUAUAGUCCUUUCAUAUGUUUUCUACAGCAAAAAAAAAUUGUUUUCUAGAGCAAACAAAUUGCUGUGAAGGAAAACACAAUGUGAUAAUUUACCUUGCGGAGGAUAGCCCAUCGUCAUGGCUGUAGGGGAUUAGAUUAAUUAUUCUUGCUUGACCCAGAGUAAAAAACAUAUCAUCCUUAUGUUAUUGAUGCUCGGGUCUGUGAUCCCUCCUAAUAUGAUUGGGCUAUGUGGAUCUUCCUAAUACAUUUGGACUCUUCCAGUUGUGUACUAAAGUUGUAGGGAGGUAGGGGAAGUGCCCUUGCCCCUGGGGCCAGAUAGUAGAUUUAUUCUUCUGAUUCUUGCUUGUUUUAUUCAUCAUAAGGGGUUCUCUUUACAUAGAGGCCUAGUAAUUCAAUAGAAAUAAUAAAUCAUAUGUUUCAUCUCUAAUUAUCUUAAGGUUGAAGCUAUGAGAUACUCCCUCCAUUCACAAAUAAGAUGUUCUAACUUUUUUCUGAACUGGAUGUAUAUAUACAUGUUUUAGUGUGUUUGUUCACUUAUUUCAGUCUGUAUAUAAUUCAUAUUGAAACAUUCAAAAUAUCUUAUAUUUAUGAACAAAGGGAGUAUAUUUCAAUAUUAAUCGUAAACUUUUCGAACUAAGAGAUCAUGGGGAUCCUAUAAGGGCGUCAUCUAUGUAUAUGGCCAAACUUGCCCUUACGAUGGGACCUGCAUACUAAUCCAUAAGGCAACUAAAUGCACCACUAUUUAUAUUGGGUCAAGAAUAACCAACUCGACUGAAAUUCGUUUUUUACCUAUGUUUUAUUUCCUAUAUAUACUAUGUGCUACUCCCUCCAUUCCCUAAUAUACGACCUUUUAGCUUUUUCUUGAUUCGUAUGUAUCUAGACAUAUUUUAGUAUGUAUGUUCAUUCAUUUUAGUAUGUAUGUAGUCAAUAUUUUAAAAUAGCUAAAAGAUCUUAUAUUAAGGCACAGAGGGAGUAGAUAAUAUUAUUCUAGUGCUUGUGGACUACUCACAAGCGUAAGGGCUCUCUUCAUCUCCAACUUAGACCCUCAAACCGCUCGCAUCCGUCCGGACCGGGCGGUCAGGACGUGAUUUGCCAUCCAACGCGUAACCCAUCAGCCCGUGAACCGGUACGUUUGUUUGUUUUCCUGCAAACCAGAGGCAAACCAGGGGGCUUUGCGGUAUCCGGACAACUUGGUCCCACCCAAAUCCCUCUCCCUCGCCCGCGCCCUCUCCCGCUCGAUGCGGUUGCCAUACAUUCAUGCCGGUUAGCGCUGCUCCAAAUCGCUAGUAUAGUAUUGAUGGCGUAUUAGAGCGGACGCGACCUCUCACUGGAGCCGGCAUUGAAGCGACACACCGUCCGAGAGCGUCGCCUGCGUUGCAUCCCAUUGUACGCGCCUUCUCUUCGCAUGCAACCAGUCCGUCCGCCUGCCGACAUUAAACAAGUGCGGUUGCCAAGAAACUAACUCCAUGUUGAGAAAUGUAGUGGAAAACAAAAAAAUUCACCCUACGAUCGAUCACCCAGGAACAAUAUGAAGAUGCAUAAGUGUUUGGAUCAACCAUUGUUACCGACUCCGGUGUGCAGCGGAAGUAGACGAGUCGGCGUAUAUCGUACUUGGAGUCCCUCGAUCCGCCCUCGAAUGAAAGACCGAAAACACGGCCUCUUUACUUAGUUGCAAGCGUACGGUCUUCACGAUCCAGCAGCGCUUCGCCGUCUAGAGCUAAUCGUCGCCGGAGAACUAGAGGGAAGAUAUUAGAACCACAUUGGACUUCUAAUUAUGAGGAUUAGAGGAACUAGGUCUAGCUCUAAUUAGUCGAUUAGGACCAACAAGAACUAGAACUAGAUGAACUAGAGGAGGCUUCAAAACUUGUGUGUUAAAAAAGGCCUAAUACCUCAAGUAUAUAUAGGUUGGGAGGGGAGGAGGGGGCGCCACACAAAGGGGAGGAAUCCUCCCUCCUUGCGCCGGCCCUAGGGGGAGGAGGAUUCCUCCCCCAAGUCCAGUUUGGCCUCCCUUAAGGGGGAAAGGAGGCGCCUCCCCUACAUGGGCCUUGAUGGCCCAAUUCUCCCUCCACUACUUGACCUUUUAAGGUCCGUUGAUAUUAAAUUAAAUAUAAAAGCCCUCUAACAAUUAUUAGAGUAUAUUAUAUCUAAUUUAACAUCACCGGAAACAUUUGUCACCUAUAUAUUAUUUAUCGGUAAUACCGGGUAUUGCCCGAUAAUCUCCGAAACCCUUCCGGUGACCCUAAAACGCUUCUGGUUCCUCUCGAAACAAUUCUGAAUAUUGAUGAAAUAACUCCACAAAUAAAUCCUUGAUACUCUCAUCCUACUAACACUCAGUAGAUCGUGAUUACCUUAAGCUUGUGACCCCGUAGGUUCGGUAAAUCAAGACAUGAACGAAACCCUUCGUUCAAUGACCGGUAGCGGAACCAUGGACGUCCAUAUCGAUCCCUAUGAUUACGCGAAUGACAUUCGAGUAAACCUUUGGUUAUAUUGUGAUGUUCCCUUUGCUUCCCGAUACUUUACAAAACUCGGGAUGCAUUGGUAUCCUCCUGAGUCAUACACAUGCUCACUAUCCGUUGAUCUCAUUACCGGUUUUGUUCUUCUUUCUCGUUGAAGUGUUCCGACAUCCCCGUGACAUAGUCACCUGUGUCUAAUAGAUGAUUAUGGAUGCCGUCACACCGAGAGGGCCCUAAGAAUAUCCCUCCAUCAUUGGAGGAGCAAAUCCUUCUUGAGCUAUACAGUCCCUUAUCAAACUUUUCGAUGAACCUGUAAGUCAUCGUUAUGACCACCGUGUUAUGGAUGACGUUUGAGCAACCCAAAGUACACCAUACGGUAGGAAGUGACUACGAUGCUCUCAUUGUCUGAGGAACUAAAACACAUGCUAACACUCUAUGUUAUAACAAUUGAUUUCAGACGAUAUUAUCUCAAAGUAUAAGAAACCAGAUUGGGUCGAUUCAAUAUAAUCAUAUUUCUAACGUCAUACUCUCAAUGUUGUUUCAGGACUAUCCUUACACUUAACGAUAUCCCGAGAUCCGGAAAACACGAUCACCAGCAACACUUGAGCUAGUCUUAGAGGCAGGACCCGGAAUGUAUUCUUUACCGUUUAUCAUUCCACACAUGCAUAUGAGUUUUCCACUAAAUCGCAUAUUGCACAAUCAUAACAGUUAUAGCAUGAAAUAAAAACUCUUUAAUUAUGAAAAUGAAAAUAAAAUAAAAUAAUAUUAUUGCCUCUAGGGCAUAUUUCCAACACUUUGGUGCCUGCAUGGAAACGCCACCCGUCCGUCCACCUGCCGGCAUUAAUACGUGGCGCGGUUGGCCUGACCGGCACCCGCUAUUUAUACGUGGCCGGGCCCUCGACACGAUCCACACCUCACCUCCGCUCCCGAUCUCCUCUUUGCACCAUGCCUGCCAUGGCCUCGAGCUCGAAAGCACUGUGGGAUAGCCUCUCCACCGAAUAGAAGUAGGAGAUGUAGGCACUGCUGCCGGUUGGCAGGCCUGCCAAGCCAGCCAGAUACAGGCUGGCUUGCUGGCUAGCUCUCCGAAGGGCAGCGAGGCUGACGAGUCGGUGCCACCGCCCUCGCCGGUCCAUGCCGACAUCACGUUGGGGCAAGCACGGGCGCACUACACCGAUAUGAGAUGAAAGAGCAGGAGGAGGCGUUCCGGCAGGCGUAACAGGACCAAAGGCACAACCUACGGCUCCUCGACAAGCACCGACUCGCGGAAGAAGAAAUCGUCGGUGACCAGACGAACGAAAAUGCCGUCACGACCAUGGUGGUAGACAGUCCGGUGCUCCCGGAUGACCAGCACAUGCUGAUCCUGUCUUACUGUAGCGCCCGCGAGAUCCGCCGCGAGCGAUGGUGGAUGUGAGUCCUUUGGGCAGAGAGAGAUGCCAUGUUCGCAGCAAUCGAUGCAACGGCGAAGGAAUUUGACAACGAGACUGAGGACGUCGUCAACUCCGCGUCAGCCAUUCCGCCGCCACCUUUCGUGCCCUGCCGCCACGGCAACAAGGAUGACUCAUCCAUGUACAACCCCGUCGACAGCGAGGAAAAGUAGAACAUUGGGAGGACGCCGCCGCUUGAGUUCCAAUAAGGCCACUGCCAACGUCUUGUCGGGCCUCACAGUCGGUAAGCUUGCCCGGAGCUUAGCGGAGGCCACUACUCUUCCCCUCCCGUUUAAGCUUCACUUCUUGGGGCUCAGGGCCGGCUGAAUUGCUGCCGGACAUGGGGAAGACAUGUCUUGGGAAAUGGUUGCCGCCAUGGACGGCGAUCAUUUAGACUAAGUUGAAUAACCUAGUUCGCUAUAGUUUAGUUGAAAUAUGUCGGAAAUGUAAUGAUUUUCGUCUUGUUUAUAUGAAAAUCAUCCGGUUUGUUCAAAUCCGAUUGAAAGGUAUGCGGGCAUGGUUGGAUGGCCGGCUCCCGUAUCAUUGUCCGUGGAGGCGACCCAUGCGUCUGCGGACGGAUACGAUCUGAGCUAAACUUGGAUAUGGAAGUCUUCUUUCGUCUAGGAUGAAGUAAGACCAAGCUCAUGAGCUUAUUAUCCUAGGUUGUAACGUUAUUUAACUAUCCAUAAUAGUGCGGAAAGAAAGCCUGGAGGAAGAGUGGCCUUGAGUUUCUCGCCCCUUUGCCGUAGGACUCGUUAAUUCUCUUUCUUGAUGGGACGAGGAAGGGAUAUAACUCAGCGGUAGAGUGUCAUCUUGACGCAGUUUUAGGGGUCUGUGUUGGAGAUGCCCUUAUGUUUUUUUUCUUUGUGGACAAUCCCUACCGUGUAUAUGGACAGCCCAUAAGAGUGCCUUUUUGCUUAUGGGCAGUUUUUUCCAUAUACACUGUAGAUGUCGUAACUAACUUGGCCCUGGGUGGGCCAUGCACUAUCGUACAUAACAUUUCCAUAAUCCAAUUAGCUUGCAAAAACGUUUAUAUUAUGGGACGGAGGGAAUACUUUUUUUUUCUAAACUAUUACUAAUAUUCUUCUCUCUCAUGGACUCCUCACCCACAACCUCCUAGUGGACCCAUGUCCACAAGACCACCACAACAAUAGAUUUUUCACCCGCAAAAAAACAACAAUAGGCUUUCAGAUAACAUCUGACAAAUGCUCUCUUUUUGGUACCAAAUGCAGAUGGAUCAUCCCAACUUGAUUGGCACACGUGCUACAAAAUAAUUGAGGGGAUUUGCAAUGGUUUGCACUACCUUCACGAGCAAAUUGACAAGUCUGUUCUUCACUUGGACCUUAAGCCUGCGAACGUAUUGCUUGACAACAAUUUGGCACCAAAACUUACAGAUUUUGGGCUGUCAAGACUGCUUGAUCAAUAUCAAACUAUGUUCACUCCAAAUCGUUUUGGUACAUUGUAAGUUUAGUGCCUCUUUAUAGUCCCUUCCUUCCAGUUCAUCGGCAAAAUUUGUUUUUCUAGUCUCUUUAGCACCACAAUAUUUAUGCAUGAUGUGCAUGCAGAGGCUACAUGGCACCAGAAUACAUCGAUGAAGGUACAAUCACACCUAAGACAGACAUAUUUAGUUUGGGUGUGAUUAUCAUGGAGCUAAUAACGGGACACAGGGACUACCCAAGUGUUGCGGGAACAUCUUCCGAGGGCUUUAUUGAGCAUAUAUGGGAAUUCUGUUUCAGCUUUCUCAGUUUGAUUCCAUUUUAGGAGACUAUGUUUCAUUUUAUCUUUGCAUUACCGACAUUCUGAUUCUUGUUCUGAUUUCACAGGUACUUAAAAAAUGGAGAAACACAUUGGAGAAAGCACAGGGGUACACAAAGCUAGAAAUAGAUUGCCAACAAAUUAAACGAUGCAUUCAAAUAGGUCUAAUCUGUGUUAAUCCUGAGUGGUCCAAAAGGCCUACAACAGCAAAAAUUAUCAAGAUGCUUAAAGGACUAGAAAGUUCAGAUUGUAGGAUUAGCAAUGAGGCAACGUCAUCAGCACAUCAGGUACAAUCACUCAAGGGGAAUGCAUUUGUGGAACAUGUACUAUCUGUUACUCUUUCUUGUUCUUUUAAAAAGAGAUAUCAUCAUAAUUUAUAACCCCCUAAGUGCACAAACCUUUGUAUUUUGAUAUAUGUCUCUACAAUGUUAGAAACACUACAAAAUAUCACUACUAAAUCCAUUAAUUAUCGAGAAUAGCAAGCAGAUUAUAGCUGUUGGCCAUCAACUAUGUUGGCUGGUAUGCUGUGUACAUCACUCGAUGUAGAGGCCGAGGGCUGUACCACUCUUUUCAAAAGACAAAACUAUCUUGGCUGCUGAAACUUUUAGAGCCUUUUAUUAGGUCCCCGUAAGAGUUGAAGCCCUAGGCACAUAUAUAGCUGUAGGUGGUCACCUGUUUCACUCGUUGUAUCAUGUUGUCUUUGGUCAUAUGCAGUUCGCAUUUUGGUAUUGCUAGGAUUGCUUUUCCUACAAAAAUCUCAAAUCAAUUAACUAUUUUUUACUUUUGGUACCUGUCUUACUCCAACAAGGACUACUUUUAUGUAUCUUUGUACAACGUUGAUGAAGGUAAUAUCAAUAUGAAGAAAUUUACUAAAAAUGGUUAUUACGGUCCCGGUAGAUAUACAUUAAAUUGCUCCCCAAACGUACAACCAGAACAAGUGAGGUACUGUUAAAGAAUGUUGUGAUAGACAUUAAAUUUACUAUAAAAAUGGUUAUUACGGUCCAGGUAGAUACUGAUUUACUAACAAGUUACUGGAAAUAUGAAAAGCUACUGCUCAAUUAAAUUCGAAUACAAAGGUAAUUAAGCAUGUAGUACAACAUAAGGAAGUAAGUUCGCAUAUAUCAGUAGCAACCUUGUGUCUUCAUGUUAAGAUAUAAGUUUGUACAGAGCUAACCGUAUACAUACAGAAGUGAUCCUCACUAAUCGCAAUGGAUGUUGCUCCCUCUACUUUGUCAUGCAAAUUACUAAAAAAAUCUAUUAGUCCCUCUGGUAAGAUUUACAAGCACAAUUUGUUUUACCCAUAAAAAAGGCACGAUUCAUUUGUCCCAAGUUAAACUUUUAUAAGUUUGACUGGAUUUAUCGAGAAAAAACAUCGUUAACAAGUUUUGACUUAGGACAAACAAAAUGUGUCUUGUAAACCCGGCCGGAUUCUAUCUCUAAGAAAUUAAAUACUGUUUGGAAGUCGCACGAACAAAUUUGUCUCAGAACAUAUACUUCCACGAUGUAUUAUUUCUUUUGGGUUUAUAAAUAUAUUUCAAUAUAAACUAGUAGUCAGAGUUGUGCAUUUUAGAUUUUCGAUGUCAAAGUUGUAUUUAUCUUCUGAGAAGUUUUAAGACUCUCCCUUUUACCUUGGUAAGAGGUGAUUUAAUCCUAGCCAUCGAUUAAUGGAGGGCAAUUUUGACUAUACAAAUACGGUAAGUACAAUAAAAUAAAUAGGAAACAUUCUUGAUAGAUUUAGAUUUCUCUUUCCAAGAUGAGAUUUUCAUUUGUGCUAUGUAUAUUCGUUAAAAUGAAAAUAUAGCUAGCUUACAUGUGUAUUUUUUGUAUGCCCUUCCUUGCCUUCAUGUUUUGAUGGCUCUAUAAUUUAUUUCCUUAUUUAUGGAAGUGAAAAGUCCAUACUAUUACUAGCCUCACAUAAUCAUUGACAACUUCUUACCCCACAAGAGGUAAUAGUAAUAUUACGGAUCAAUCAUGGAUGUUGUUACUCAUAUCUGUUUAGCACCAUCUUAAAAGAGCUCUUAUCUUCUCCCUUCUAACUGUCAGACUUCAAAUGGGGUUAGUGAACGAGGAAAACAACCUCCAAAAAAUACACUAUGUAUUGAGAUUUUGGAGCAAGCUGAAAGACAGGAUCUAGCAUUGGUCUCUCUUGCAAUUGCGGGUGACUGUCUAUGUGGAAAGUUGAAGUUGUUGUACCUAAAAAACGGAGGUAAUCUUCAUCUACAAGUUGUUUAUUGUUGCUGAAGAUUUUUUUUUAAUUCUGUUUUCUAUGGGGUUGCACUUGGUGUUGUUGCAUGCAGAACACAUUUCUCCACAGGCAUCCAUCGUUCGCAUCGUUGUCCCAGGCUCGCCUGCUGGUACCAAACUUCAUGUGGACCCCUACAUGCUCUCCGUGCGGAGUCCCUACCUUCGUGCGAUCUUCACCCGCCACAAUAAUCAAUAUGGUGCAUCUGAGGGCAGUGCGGAGGGCAACAGGAUGGACCUCCAAGAAUUUCUAGGCAAGGAAGUGAAGGUCGAGUACGAUGCGCUGUUACUGGUACUCUUGUACCUGUACAGUGGCCGUGUCGGAGACCUUCCCGAGUCGGCGUACAUAUGUGCCGACGAGAACGGUUGUGCGCACCUCGGCUGCCACCCCACCGUCUCCUUCAAGGUGCAGGUUCUCUUUGUUGCCUUCACAUUCCAGGUCCCCGAGCUCACCAGCCUCUUCCAGGUCUGCAUCUCCCUUUCCCCUUUGCCAAUGGUCAGAAUACUGCUAUCACACCUUUAAUGCAAUGUGCUAAACUAGUUAAAGAUUCAGAGACUAUGGCUCUGAUAUGAAUUUAUCAAAACUACAUGGGCAGGAUAAAACCAACAAGCUAUGGUGGGAGUGACUAAGAGGUGAUUGGCAAAAGAAAAGAUUCACACAAAAUAAUCGAAGAAAACUAAUUGAGAUGUGAUGUUUUAAGAAAAAGAUUAUAAGAUCAAAUCAUACUGAGUAAUUGUUUUAUAUCUAUACUAAAGAACUAUAAGUCAAUGCAACAUAGACACACAAAAUCGGAUGAUAACUGUGAAUCUUCAAAACAAGCAAUCUGCAGAUAAUGCCUUCAACAAGGCCAGAUCAUAAGUUUUCACUGCAUCCUACCACAUAGGCGGUGACGACCACGCUCAGUUAGGAAGGAUGCUAGGAAGGAUGAGUUAGGAAGGAUGCGGUGACGACCACUUGGGUUUUUGCAUCCUUCGUUCGCUCAUGCUUCGUUCCCUUCUCCAUGGUAGGAAGUGGUUGGACAUAUGUCUUCACGUUGAGGCCAGAACAUGAGGAACCAAAGAAUAUCCCCCCCCCCUCCCGAUCCCCUGACCCCCGCGUCGCCAACCCUAGGCGACACGGGGGGAGAUCGCACCGCCGGCCCUCAGCCACCUCUCUCCGAUCUAUCCCUCCCGCCGCCGCCCGAGUUCACGCCGGCGAAGCCCGGGCUGUGGGCUGUGACGGCGGCGGCGGGGUCUUCUCCCUCGCACGCGGUGGCGUCUUCUUCUGGCGGCGGUGACAUGGUCUAUGGUGAUUCGGCGGCGCGGUGCCGCGGGAGCCCGGCGGCGGACGUGGCGGCAGCGACAGCGGCAGCGCGGCCUUCCCGCGGCGGAGGCGCCCCUGUGGCGGCGACCGGAGUCUCGGAUCUCGCCGGGCCCAGAUGGGCUUUAGCGGGCCGACGAAUCUGGUACGCGACGGCAGGUUGGCGUGCUAGGCCUGACAAAGUCGGCUGCUUUGGCACCGUGGUGGUGCCGCGGCCGGUCAGGCGGCUGGAUCCUUGUGGUCCAGUGCCCGACAGAGAAGGCGGCGAUCCGUGCACAAGAAGUUGGAUGGAGUUCUUCGAACAGAUCUGGGUGAAACCCUGCUCUCCGCUAGAUGCCAAGGCCGGCGAUGGCGGCGCUGUACGGUGUCGUUCCCUUGUUGAAGGCAUCGCCAUGGAGAAGUUCUAUUCCACUAUCUGCUACCUCCGGGGGAAACCCUAGAUCGGUAGAUCGGAAGACGGUGGCGCUCUUGUGUCGUUUACCCCUUGGGGGCGUCAUUCUUGGAGGUGUACAUGGGCUCGAGGGACUAGUGGACGACAUUUUUGGUGGAGCGGUGCUUCAUCCUACACGCAGAUCUCGACAGCAUGGCGCCCUGGAAAUUCAGUGUCCGACGUGUGACGAUGGACUCGCGCAGGAGGAUGACGUUGUCUGGCGUCGUGGUGGCGUUGAUGGCAGAGAGGCCUCGCGCAGUCGAUGCGUCAGUUUCUGCUCUGAAGAUGGAUCGGUGGAAGAUGGUGGUGACGGGCCUUGCAGUGUGCGCAUGUGGUGCCCACUAUGAGUGUGCUGGACCGGUGUGUGACCCAGUCCAGGUUGGGGCAUCUGGCUUUAGAUGUUAGGCUUUGGUGCGAUGUUUGUUUGGUAUUAGGCUCGGACAUUUGGCACCCCUUCAUCAAGGGGAUAGGAGUAGCAACACGUGUUGCCAAGAUGGUGGCUUCAGACAUACUGAUGUAUUACAAAGGAUGUAUUACUUUGUAAGGUCUUUGUGAAUAAUUAAUAAAAUAGUUGCAUGCAUCGCCCAGAUGCAGAGGCCGGGGGUACAUCCUCCUUUGCAAAAAAGAAAAUGGUAGGAAGUGGUUGCAUAAGGUAUCGUUGUUGGGUACCUUACUCGUAGUUUGGGUGUUGCCAACGAUGGUGUGUUGGUCUUUGAUGUUUUGCUGCAGCGGAUAGUUUGCCUUGGCUUGACUUCUGCGGAUCCUUUUCUUUAUUUCUUUUGUGUAAUACUUUGGGUUUGUGCAUCCUUGAUUUCUCAACUAGCUCUUGAUAUCAUGUUGUUGUAGAGGCCAAGUGUAUUUGAGAUAUACUUCCUCCAUUCGGAAAUGACUGACGUGGUUGAGUUUGAACUAAAACCCAGUUAUUUUCUAACGGUAACUAUUAUCUUCGUAGAAAAAGAAAAUCACACUAGUGUAGUUCCUUAUUUAUUUAUUUAUUCCAAAAGGAUGGUAGUUCCUUAUUUUAACUCUAUGAAUCUUCAAAACAAGCUUUCACUACCUGAGACAUCAUAUUGCAAUUUGAUUUGUUCUAUACUACUCCCACCAUCCCAUAUUACUUGUCUUAGAUUUGUUUAGAUACGGAUGUAGGUUGUACGGGAUGUAAAUGGCAAAUAAAUGGUGUCCGCAAGUCCCCUUUAGUUAGCUUUACCUAGCUCCAUAGUUCAUUUUCCCGGAAAAGAAAACAAAAUUUAAACUGUUAGAUUAUAUAGUGGGUUUAAAUGGGAUUAAACGGGACCCGGCUGACAUCCCGUACUACUCCCCCGUCCCAAAAUAAGUGUGUCAACUUUAGUACAACUUUAUACUAAAGUUAGUAUAAAAUUGAGACACUUAUUUUGGGACGGAGGGAGUAUUAUUUACUAAGGCUGCCCACUAUCGUCAUAAAAUGUAACUAGCUGAGUAAUGUUCUUCUAUCGUAGCUAAAGUUUCACCUACUAAUAAGAAAAUAAUUCGCCUCUUUGCAUGCAGCGGGAUCUCCUUGAUGUCCUUCAUAAGGUUGAAGUGGAUAACCUUCCACUGAUCUUGUCUGUUGCAAACUUAUGCAAAAAAUCUUGCGGGAAACUGCUCGAGAGAUGCCUUGAGAUGGUAGUCCAGUCAAAUCUUGACAUGAUUACUCUUGAGAAAGUAUUGCCUCCAGAUGUUGUUAAGCAAAUUACUGACUUACGGCUAAGUUUUGGAUUAGCUUCAUCCGAGGACAUGGGCUUUCCUAACAAACAUGUAAGAAGGAUACUCAGAGCCCUUGAUUCCGAUGAUGUGGAGCUAGUAAGGAUUCUGAUCAAGGAAGGGCAGACCAAUCUUGAUGAUGCAUUUGCGCUCCAUUAUGCUGUAGAACACUGUGACUCAAAAAUUACAACAGAACUUCUGGACAUUGCACUUGCAGAUGUUAGUCUCAGAAACCCAAGAGGUUACACUGUUCUUCACAUUGCCGCCAGACGGAAGGAUCCUAAAAUCAUUGUCUCCCUUUUAACCAAAGGCGCUCGGCCUUCCGAUUUUACAUUUGAUGGAAGAAAAGCAGUUCAUAUCUCAAAGAGACUCACAAAACAUGGGGAUUAUUUUGCGAAUACUGGAGAAGGAAAGCCGUAUCCUAAUGAUAAAUUAUGCAUUGAGAUACUGGAGCAAGCUGAAAGAAGGGAUUCACACUUUGGAAAAGCAUAUGUUUCUCUUGCAUUGGAUGGUGACGUUCUUCGUGGAAGGUUAUUGUACCUUGAAAACCGAGGUAAUAUUCAUCUAUAAAUCAUGUAGUGUUGCACUUUUGCUUGAAUCUUUGAAAAUUGUCUGUUUUGUAUGGUCUGCACGCACUUGGUGGUGUUUCAUGUGGGGUGAAGUUCUCCAUAGGCAACUAGCCAAUGCACACCUUUUUUUCUUCUCUUGGAAGUUGUGUAUUCACACAAUUAUUUUCAUGCUAUGUAGUUGCGUUGUCGAGGAUAUUGUUUCCAGUGGAGGCAAGAGUAGCAACGGACAUUGCUCAAGUUGAUGGUACUUCGGAAUUUGCCCUUGGUCAUCUAGUUGCCAUUGAUCUAAAUGGAACUCCUACCAAAAUGAAGGAUGAACACUUAGCUCGGAUGAGAGCUCUCUCCAAAACAGGUGAGGCACAGCUUGUCUUUGUAAAACCAGAACGCUUCUAUAUUAUUUGUAUUGUCAUUCUAAUAAUAUUGACGAUUUCUUGAUUUUCGAAAAAACAUUUGUUUCUUUAGCAUUCUCAAUAAGAAAGCUGGUGUAGCUGAAGUUGAAAUCUCAGAUUUUAUCCCCUCCCCUGCUAAUAAUAGGUCUACUGCCGAAUGCCUUGAAAGAUUAUAUGAUCUUGCACAUCAAACAGAAGAGAAUAAUACUUGGCUUACAAUCAGUUUGCCAAUGAUGGACAAUUUGGCCCUUUUGUGCUCUUUGCAAAACUGAAGGCUAUAUGCUUAGACUAAAUGACCAUAGACAUACAAAAUGCUGAUCGGCAGUUGGACUGCUAAUAACUAGUCUUGCUUGUGUAUGGGAGGGUGUCGGUUGACCUAGCUGUGCAUAAACCUUUUGGAAUUUAUAAACUGAUAUUUUACCAAGUUUAUGUAUCUGGACUAAUUGCAAUCUGAAUGUUUAUACCAGUCGAACUCGGCAAACGUUACUUCCCGCGCUGUUCAAAUGUGCUGGACAAGAUCAUGGAUGAUGAACCUGAGCUGGCUUCGCUCGGAAGAGAUGCAUCCUCCGAGAGGAAGAGGAGGUUUCACGACCUGCAAGAUACGCUUCUGAAGGCGUUCAGCGAGGACAAGGAGGAGUUUAACAGAACGACAACCCUUUCAUCUUCCUCAUCGUCGACGCCCACUGUAGCAAGGAACUUGACAGGUCGGCCCAGGAGAUGAUGAGCACCCUGGCCCAUUCUUGCCAUAUUGUUAGCUGAUUCUUUUUCUGUCUGAAACUGCCCGCCGGAUUUAUUUUUUUCUGUUUAACGAGUACUAGUAGUCUAGCAUCAUCGUCAGAUAUGAUGAAGCUGUUUGGCUUUGGCCCUGUAAAUCGCCUAGUUAGAGUUGCUGUAAA
Molecule: long non-coding RNA, 121091 nt
Filed under: Triticum aestivum (bread wheat)
Lineage: Eukaryota; Viridiplantae; Streptophyta; Magnoliopsida; Poales; Poaceae
Description: long non-coding RNA (TAES_LNC028541)
Source: RNAcentral